Molecule: long non-coding RNA, 100305 nt
Filed under: Triticum aestivum (bread wheat)
Lineage: Eukaryota; Viridiplantae; Streptophyta; Magnoliopsida; Poales; Poaceae
Description: long non-coding RNA (TAES_LNC026544)
Source: RNAcentral
UUCCUUCUUCAUCUUCUCCUCCCCCUCCUUCCGUGAUGCUCACUCGCCUAUAAAUAGCCCUCGCUGCCUGCCAUUGUUCCUCAAGCCAGCAAGCAAGAAGCACACAGGAAGCUCCUAGCCAACACCAAUCAAGGCCUCCAUCCAAUCCCAAGCAACCUCGAAUAUGUCUUGCUGCGGAGGAAACUGCGGAUGCGGCACCGCCUGCAAGUGCGGCAACGGCUGCGGUGGCUGCAACAUGUACCCCGAGGUUGAGGCCGCCGGCGCCACCCUCCUCGUCUCCGCCACUGCCACUCACAAGGGGUACGUCCCUUCUCUUGACAAAAUUUUCUCCACAGCUCAUACAUCAUCAUGCACUCGAUCUUUUUUUUUUGCGGGGUACGUGCAGGAGCUCCGGCGGCAUGGAGAUGGCGGCCGAGAACGGCGGCUGCGGCUGCACCCAGUGCAAGUGCGGCACCAGCUGCGGCUGCUCCUGCUGCAGCUGCUAGAUCAUUGAUCAUGCAUGCGCCGCGUGCAUCAUAUCUAUGAUCUACGUAUCCAUCUACUACCAUGUAAUGCCACCUGAUCGAGGGUCUUUGUAUGUAUGUAGUAUGUACGCACCUGCCUGCAUGAGCAGAGCGGGUGCCAUUCCAUGCAUGUAAACCCCUAAAUAAAAUCUCCCGUGGUUUUGCUUACAUCGUGUUGUUAGAUCCUCCUCCUAUUAGUGUUGCUUUCGGGUUCUUCUUAUGCACUAGCAGGAUCAGAGGCCGGUCUUUUGUUCUUGGUCUUCUCCUCAAACUGUCGUUUUCCUCUUCUCUAUGGUUCCAUGUGCGGCAGUAUUUUCUUCUUCUGUUGCCGAGUGUUGUAUCAGACUGUACCUUGUUUUGUGGUUUAUUCCUAUCCAUCUCGAAAUAUAGUGCAGGAAUUUAUUUGCAAAAGGUGGAUCUCAACAAGACACGACGGUAUGUGUAUCUUGCAGGAUUUAUUGAUCGGUCUAUCUUAUGCAUCUUAUUAAAAAAAUACAUUAAGGUCUCAUGGUCAAGCCAAAUUAUCAUUGUUUUUCCUUGCAUGCAAAAUGCAGCAAUAAAUCUUCGUCCUUGGCUUGUUUCUCAUUUCACUGCCUACGUUGCAGGUAUCCGACCCUGUUGGAAUCUCCUUUUCUGUCAUUGUGUUCACUUUCUGUGAUGUGAUGUGUGCGCAAAUAUUCCCACAACAACAACAUAAUAAUAAAGCCAUAUACGCAAGCAACCGAAUAAUGGCAAUGAUAUAUUACUGCUCAAGGCGCAUCUCCAAAUCAACCUGUCAUGUCCAUGGCUGCGUCUAAGCACUCGGGGCAGAAAUACUCACUCUCCGCCACUGAUUCAUAUCACCGAAUCCACACGGCCAAAUUACGUCCUCCAUGUUUUAAGCGAUGCCACUAUAUCUCGUGGGAAAAUUGUUUCCACAGUUCGAUAUCCCUCCCUUUGAUGAAAAAAUUCACGCUUGGCUUCUGCAUCACAGAGUGCAGAUAACGAAUAUUGUUUUCUAUGUUCUGAACUGGAACACUAUAUCUUGUGUAAAAAAUUGUGUCAACAAUAUCGAUAUUCCCUCCUAUAAAAUAAAAUCAUCAAUAGCUCACUUCUCUAUAUAACUGGAUGCAAAGUAAUGGGCGGUGUGGAGCACCCAAGACAGCACGCAAAAUAUCGGUGUUAUUUUAACUCCACUACGUAGACAAGUCACUAUAUUUACACAAUUAUGUAAGAAAAAGAGCUCUUUUAUGGUACCCUGUAUUGAAUAUUGACCGUCCAUCUGCAAAGAUCCAAUGGUGGGUACUUAUCUGUACUGGUGAAACUGGAUUAGCAGCAUCGCUAGUACCGCACGUCUCACGUCCACCGGUAUACUGCUCGGAGGGCAUUAUCGGUGACUCUGCAUCACCGGCAGCCGCCCGCCGGGGCUCGCCUCCUCUUCGCCCCCAUGCCCGCUGGGGCGCCUCCUCCCUGCCUUUAAUCCGCUGUGCUAUGCAUGCUUCUAUGGUUUUGGACUUCUGGCAUGGCACCGUGCGCCCCAUCCCCCUUCCACGCUACGGCCGCGAUGUUCUUUGCCGCCCCGCAUGGCUGAGCAGUGAGCACCUUAGCAUCGCGUUUAUUGUGUUGCCUCGUUCAUGACGACAGUGCAUGCCAAACCACCCUGCGUUGACGAUGAGGCCAGGAUGUGUACAACGUCGUGGUCUUCACGGAGAGCUGCGGCUACGAGAGUGCCGGAGCCUGGCGGAACCUCGCCUAUUUUGUGCUAACCAUGCCCUCGCUACGCUCAUGGCCGUCCUCCUUUAUUUUACUACCGCUUGCCUUCAUGAUCGAGCUCUUCAUGGCCUGGAUCACGCUUUACUUUAGCCUCAGCUUGCCGGACGUGGAGCAGCUACUCAUCUGCCUUUGCUGUGAGGUCGACGACCACGUCAUUGUUCAAAAGCUCACCCAGGCAGGGCUCAACAUACCUGUUUCCUCGUCGUCACCCCGCUGUCACAGACUCACAGGAGUGCACGAUGCAUUCCGAAAUAUUGAUUCGCCAGAGCAAUUCCCUUCACGAACACAAGAAGAGCUUUCACCGUCACAUAUACUGCUCCCUCCCCAGUAGCAGUAUAGGGUACCAUAAAAACCCUCAAGAAAAAUAAAUAACUCAGAGAACUGUCUGGCCAUAGAUGGAGCUUUCUACAGAUGGGGACAAGAAUUUGGCACCACCCACUCAAUUUCCCUCUCACCUUUUUGCAUUGCUUUCAUAUGUAAAAAAACAAAAACAAAAUAGUGAGUUGACUUGCGAUCUGCCUUAAAAUGACAAGAUGACGGUUGGGGGUUAAAAAAACAUUCAAAUGCAUUUUAUAUAUUCAUAUGUUUACUUAUUUUGUAUUUGUUUGUGCAUGUCAUAAAAAUCAUCAAUUUCCACAAGCAUACAUAAUACUCAAUGAUCUACAUUGACAAUAGGCUUUGAGAUUUUUCAACGCAUGACAAGAAAAAUCAAAUGAGGUCAGCUGGAAAUUAAAGAUCAGUUUUGACUUCCAAAAAAUUAUGAUCUCUUUUGUCCAAACUUAAAAGGAAUCAUUACAGAAAAUUUGGAGAUUCCAAUUGUUAGAAUAUUUUCCUACAGGACUAGUAGGGCUGGGAACCAUAAUGAUAUUUUCUAUGGCCUAAUUGACAUGUUUAUGUUGAGCCAAAUCUUUUGGAAAUAGUUUCGUUGAUUCAGUGACAACUAUGUGCUUGCACCUAACGCUUGAGAAAAUUCUUGUAUUUUUUCCCUCUUGCAAUAAAUCAACAUCCAUAUUUUACGCAUUUACUCCAUCUUCAAUUCCCACAGAAUUCAACACAGCAUGACCUGAAAUCUGUGUGUUAAGUUUUCCGGUUCCUGUCUUUUUAAAAUGCUGCAAAAGUAUGUGGCAUGUAAUCUUUAAAAAUAGUGGGAGUGUGAUAGUUAUUGAAAUGCAUGUAGGAUGGAAACUAAAAUUUCAGUAAAAUUCAGCUUAUAACACUAAAAUUGAAAAGGUUGCCAAGCCUAUGGCAACCAAGAGCCGCCAAGAUUUCUUAAAUAACAAAUAUUUUCGGCGACCUCCCCCAAAGAAGACAUAGCUUUUUCCUUGUCUUGACAUUCAAAAGCACUGAGUGAGGGGUAUCGGCUGAAUAUAUUCACUAAGGGCAUGCACAAAAGAGAGUUGACUAUUAUUAUUUUGCAAUGCUUUCAGAAUUUAGUUUGAUAUUGGUUUAAUUCAUAGUUCAUAAUUUACCGAGAAAUACCACUACGAGGUCAAGCACCCCUAAACUUGACCGUUAUGGCUGCAUGCAUCAAUGUAUGCCGAGGGCCGCGCGCGGGGGGUCUUGUUUGGAAAAUAAUAAUGAUCUUAUAGUGCAAUGAUUGGUCAUUGCCUAAGGUAUUUCCCUCUGUUCCAAGAUACAAGGUGUAUUUUUUAUUAAAAAAAACAAAAUUCCCUAUGUUUGACCAAAUUUAAAAUAAAACGUCUCUGUGUUUGGAAACCAUUUAUAUUUUUAUAAGCUCGAUCAAACAUAGAAGAUUUGACUUCAGAAAAAAAAAUAGUACAACUUAUAUUAUGAAACGGGAGUUAGUAGGUACACCAAUAAUUCGAUAUACGCACAAAAUGCUGGCUGUAGUUCCUUUCAUGGCUCCUUUGAUGUAAGAAAGAUGCUAGUAGAGACUAGAGACAAAGGGAAUCAAAUUAUGGGAGGAGGCGGCCCUAUCUAUAUUCCUCUUCCCCAAGCGGUUGCUCCCGUCCAUCCUUUGCCAAAAGUGGAGCAUCUCCCAUUUCCUUCUUCAUCUUCUCCUCCUCCUCCUUCCUUCGUAUUCACUCACCUAUAAAUAGCCCUCGCUGCCUGCCAUUGUUACUCAAGCCAGCAAGCAAGAAGCACAAAAGAAGCCAACACCAAUCAAGGCCUCCAUCCAAUCCCAAGCAACCUCGAAGAUGUCUUGCUGCGGAGGAAGCUGCGGCUGCGGCAGCGCCUGCAAGUGCGGCAACGGCUGCGGCGGCUGCAACAUGUACCCCGAGGUCGAGGCCGCCGGCGCCACCCUCCUCGUCGCCGCCACCGCCACCCACAAGGCGUACGUCCCUUCUCCUUCCUCAUAUAUCAUGCACUCGAUCGUAACAAUAUGACUGUAUGUUGAUCUUGGUAUGGGUGGGGUACGUGCAGGAGCUCCGGCGGCAUGGAGAUGGCGGCCGAGAACGGCGGCUGCGGCUGCACCCAGUGCAAGUGCGGCACCAGCUGCGGCUGCUCCUGCUGCAGCUGCUAGAUCAUCGGUCAUGCAUGCACCGCGUGCCUCAUAUCUAUGAUCUAUCUAUAUAUCCAUCUACCACCAUGUAACGCUACCUGAUCACGGUCUUUGUAUGUAUGUACGCACCUGCCUGCAUGAGCAGAGCAGGUGCCAUGCCAUGCAUGUAAACCCCUAAAUAAAAUCUCCCGUGGUUUAACCCCCUAUACAUGUGUUUGUGUUAUAGUCUUAUAGACCAACUUCUGGCCCAUGUUUACUAUGAACUUGCGACUUGCGAGGUGCCUGGGUUGUUAAUAGACCAGCUGGAUGCUCUCUUGAAGCAACGUAUGCACCGCUUGGAGUCGGUGUAUCUUUAUACACAUGUAUUUAUUUUACAGGUGUAUAUCAUCGGCCACACCUGGGAAAAAACGAUGGAUGGAGAAGUGUAAAUUUACAGGGGUAUUGCUCUGUGAAACGAGAAUCGAAUCAGGGCCUUAAGGGUAGGGAUGGCAAUGGGUAGGGUAUGGGCGCGUACGACUUUUUUCUGCCCAAACCCAUACCCAAAUCUUUUUUCUAUACCCAUCUAUUUCAAUAUCCAUGGACACAAAUUGGUACCCAUGCCCAUACCUAUCGGGUAUAUUAUACCCAAUGGAUAUCCAAUGGGUAUAGUAUCUAACAUUGGCAUGAUAAAGGUAAGCCAAGAAAAGGGCCUAAAACUAAAUUUAGGUACUCGGCCAUCACAAUCCGGUUUGCACUUACAUCAAAAUUUUACAAUGUGGAUUGACACACAAAUGUCUUAAUCUUCAUUACAAACUAACUUAAAAAAACAAGUUUCAAACUUGCAAUGCCAAUCACUGUAGGUAUUAUAGGGUUUAAUUUAUUUAUUAAUUUUUCUGGGUAUCCAUUAGGAUACCCAUGGGUAUAAUUUCAUACCCAUACCCUACCCAUGCAUUUUGCGGGUAUGGACACCCAUUACCCAUGGGUAUGAAGUAGUAAAAAGUCUUAUCCAUGCCCACUGUUUUCGGGUAGGGUACCCGCGGGUACCCAUACCCAUGGGCAAAACUGCCAUCCCUACUUAAGGGCGUUUGAUACAUGCGAAUAUUACUGGCCAAAGUUGAGUAUGAGAUACAUACAAUACAAACUUGACACUUUUGAAAGUCGUGCUAUCAAUCAUGAGACGCAUAGUUUAGCCAAAUUCUCGCUUAAUCUUUGUCAAAGGGUGUCACAUCUGGUUUGGCCAACCCCAUGAUCCGAUAUGUAUCCUACUCUCUGUGGUUUUCGAUGAAUAAAAUUUGGUUAAACCCUAAAAAAACUUAUUUGACGCGCCUUAGUUUUUUUCGAGAAUUUUUUUUAAAUCCGUUCAUCAAUCAUGGCAGUACAAAAAUCACAACCAGGUCCAUGAACCACCUAGCGACGACUACACUCACUGGAGCGAGCUAAACGUGCGCCGCCAUUAUCGCCCCUCCCUUACCGGAGUCGGACAAACCUUAUUGUAGUAGACAGUUGGAAAGUUAUCGUGCUAAGACCCUCAAGGACCACCGCACUGCAUAGCAACCAUCGUCGAUGAAAAGAGUUGUAGAUUGGAAAGAUCAAAGCUAUAACCACACAAGCGAAGACGAACAAAAAUGGAUCCAAUAGAUCCACCAAAGUCCAGCACGACAGAAUCCUGUGAGAUCCGGCGGGGACACACCUCCACAUGUCCUCCUCCGAUGUUAUUCGCACCACCGGGACGAGGAUCGGAUGUGGGAGACAUUAUUCCUACCCAGGGACAUCACUACCGUCACACAGCCCCAACCAAGACGUUAAACCUAACAAAAACGAGAACGGGUCCCUCCCGCUGCCGGGGGGCCAAGAUCCUCCGCACUCCGGGGAAUCGGCGCCGGCGGCAACGGGAUGAGAAAGGAAACUUUUCUUGAGAAGGAGGAAAGACAGACACAUACUGUUGUGUCUAAAUUACCGUGUCUUAGUUUGAUGUACUAUUUGCACCAGCUACUUCAUAACUAGAUUGCCAUGGUUGACGAUGGGUGUGUUCCCCUCUACUAAUAGUGCGGCAGUGCCCUAGCGGCGACAACUAUAUCAUGAACAAUUAAAACUUCACGAAAUUGGUGGCCUGGUGACUUAUGCCUGUGCCUAUAUCGCACGCUCUUUUGUGAUGACAAAGAAACAGAUUAUCAUUUUCGGAGGUUAAAUGGAAACAGAUGGAGUGAACCACAUGUAUGUUGUACCAGCAAAACAAUAUUUAAAUCGAUUCGUUGAUGAUUUCCUUGAUAUAAAAUUUGAGGUGUGCUCUACAACACCCCACCCUACCCCCGGAGCUCCUAUUUGGCACGCUAAGCGCUAGCGGUCGAGCCCGUGCGCGUCCCCUUCCCUUGCACACCCAUUUGGGUCGGCCCAUGCGCGGGGCGGGACACGCCGUUUUUAUUUUUUAUUUUUCUUUUAUUUAUUUUUUAAAUAAUUCAGGAUUUCAAAAAGUUUCAAAUUUAAAAAAAAUGUCAACUUUGAAAAAACAAAGAAAUCAUAAAAUGUUCAUGGAUUCAAAAAAUAUCUUGAAUUUGAAAGACAUGUCCGGACAUUCCCAAAAUGUUCAUAAAUUUGAACAAAAUGUUCACAAAUUAAAAAACAUGUUCAGAAAACUAAAUAAAUGAUUCUCAAUUACGAAAAUAUUGAAAAAUCAAAAAAUGUUCGUUGAUUCAAAAAAUGUUAAUUAAUUUCGAAAAAUAUUUGUCAAACAAAUAGUAUUCAUGAAUGUCAAAAAUUGUUCCCAGAUUUCAAAAACUAUUUCUUGUCAAAAAUUAUUCAGCAAUUCAAAUGUCCAUGAGUUUUAAAACAAUGUUUACAAUUUUAAAAAAUUCUUAGAUAUAAAAAAAUGUUUGUGAAUUCAAAAAAUAUUCAAGAUUAAAUUAAAUUCAUGAAUUUUUAAACAUGUUCAUGAAUUUGAAAAAUAAUCACAACAAAACAAUGUUCAUGCAAUUGGAAAAUGCUCACAAUUUAAAUAAUGUUAAAAAUCAUUAAAAAGUUCAUAAAUUUGAAAAUAAGUUCAAAAAAUGAAAGACUGAAAAAAGAAAAGAAAAACUGACAUCAAAAUAGGAAAAUAUAAAUAAGGUAAAAACGAAAACGAAAAAUAGAAAUGAAAUAAUGAAAAUGAAAAAACAAAAAUAACCCGAAAGGAAAAAACUGGUAUGGAAAGGUUCUAGAACGUUCCCAAAACCGAAAAGGAGGUACUUGGGCCGCCCCAAAAUGUGUACCUAGUGGGAGGGGCGUAUGCGCUAGGAUUAGCCCCCUAAAAAGCUUCACAACUUUUGAGCAGAUCAAUGGUCUAGAUUAAAACAUGUCCUUUACUUUAGAAGGGGUAAUAUAAAAAAUUCACAUUAUAAAAACACUUGCAAUAAAAAAGAUAACGGGCGCUCUAGAAACCCAUGGCGGCUAGUGCGACUUGUUUGGAGCUAUUCGUCUCCUUCCCAACCCUUAUCCACUACCCCGGUCGUCCAUGUAUCUGUCAAAAGUGUUAGAUGAAGGAAAUAUGCCCUAUAGGCAAUAAUAAAGUUAUUAUUUAUUUCCUUAUUUCAUGAUAAAUGUUUAUUAUUCAUGCUAGAUUUGUAUUAACCGGAAACAUAAUACAUGUGUGAAUACAUAGACAAACAUAGUGUCACUAGUAUGCCUCUACUUGACUAGCCCGUUAAUCAAAGAUGGUUAAGUUUCCUAACCAUAGACAUGAGUUGUCAUUUGAUUAACGAGAGCACAUCAUUAGGAGAAUGAUAUGAUUGACUUGACCCAUUCCGUUAGCUUAGCACUUGAUCGUUUAGUAUUCUGCUAUUGCUUUCUUCAUGACUUAUACAUGUUCCUAUGACUAUGAGAUUAUGCAACUCCCGUUUACCGGAGGAACACUUUGUGUGCUAUCAAACGUGACAACGUAACUGGGUGAUUAUAAAGGUGCUCUACAGGUGUCUCCGAAGGUACUUGUUGGGUUGGCGUAUUUCGAGAUUAGGAUUUGUCACUCCGAUUGCCGGAGAGGUAUCUCUGGCCCACUCGGUAAUACACAUCACUUAAGCCUUGCAAGCAUUGCAACUAAUGAGUUAGUUGCGGGAUGAUGUGUUAUGGAACGAGUAAAGAGACUUGCCGGUAACGAAAUUGAACUAGGUAUUGAGAUACGGACGAUCGAAUCUCGGGCAAGUAACAUACCGAUGGCAAAGGGAACAACGUAUGUUGUUAUGCGGUUUGACCGAUAAAGAUCUUCGUAGAAUAUGUAGGAGCCAAUAUGAGCAUCCAUGUUCCGCUAUUGGUUACUGACCGGAGACGUGUCUCGGUCAUGUCUACAUAGUUCUCGAACCCGUAGGGUCCGCACGCUUAAAGUUCGAUGACGGUUAUAUUAUGAGUUUAUGGUUUUUGAUGUACCGAAGGUAAUUCGGAGUCCUGGAUGUGAUCACGGACAAGACGAGGAGUCUCGAAAUGUUUGAUACGUAAAGAUCAAUAUAUUGGACGACUAUAUUUGGAUAUCGGAAUGGUUCCGGGUGAGAUCAGGAUAAUACCGGAGCACCGGGAGGUUAUUGGAACCCUCCCCCCCGGAGGUAUAUGGGCCUUAAUGGGCUUUAGUGGAAAGGAGGGAAAAGGAGCAAGGGAGGGGGCGCCCCCCCCCCCCCCAAGCCCAAUCCGAAUAGGGAAGGGGGCCACCCCCCUUUCCUUCCUCCCUCCUUCCUCUUCCUUCCCUCCCCCUCUCCAAAUAGGAAAAGGAGGAGUCCUACUCCCGAUGGGAGUAGGACUCCCCCCUUGGGCGCGCCUCCUCCCCUUGACCAGCCCUCUCCUCCCCUCCUUUAUAUACGGAGGAGAGGGGCACCCCAUAGACAGAACAAUUGAUCUCUUGGAUCUUUUAGCCGUGUGCGGUGCCCCUCUCCACCAUAGUCCACCUCGAUAAUAUCGUAGCGGUGCUUAGGCGAAGCCCUGCGACGGUAGAACAACAUCGUCACCACGCCCUCGUGCUGAUAGAACUCUCCCUCACAGCUCGGCUGGAUAGGAGUUCGAGGGAUGAAACCGAGUUGAACGUGUGCAGAACUCGGAGGUGCCGUGCGUUCGGUACUUGAUCGGUCGGAUCGUGAAGACAUACGACUACAUCAACCGCGUUGUGCUAAUGCUUCCGCUUUCGGUCUACAAGGGUACGCGGACACACUCUCCCCUCUCGUUGCUAUGCAUCACCAUGAUCUUGCAUGUGCGUAGGAAAUUUUUUGAAAUUACUACGUUACCCAACAGUGGUAUCAGAGCCAGGUUUUAUGCGUUGAUGUUAUAUGCACGAGUAGAAAACAAGUGAGUUGUGGGCGAUACAAGUCAUACUGCUUACCAGCAUGUCAUACUUUGGUUCGGCGGUAUUGUUGGAUGAAGCGGCCCGGACCGACAUUACGCGUACGCUUACGCGAGACUGGUUCUACCGACGUGCUUUGCACACAAGUGGCUGGCGGGUGUCAGUUUCUUCAACUUUAGUUGAACCGAGUGUGGCUACGCCCGGUCCUUGAGAAGGUUAAAACAGCACUAACCUGACGAACUAUCGUUGUGGUUUUGAUGCGUAGGUAAGAACGGUUCUUGCUCAGCCCGUAGCAGCCACGUAAAACUUGCAACAACAAAGUAGAGAACGUCUAACUUGUUUUUGCAGGGCAUGUUGUGAUGUGAUAUGGUCAAGACAUGAUGCUAUAUUUUAUUAUAUGAGAUGAUCAUGUUUUGUAAUCGAGUUAUCGGCAACUGGCAAGAGCCAUAUGGUUAUCGCUUUAUUGUAUGCAAUGCAAUCGCCCUGUAAUUGCUCUACUUUAUCACUAGGCGGUAGCGAUAGUCAUAGAAGCAAUAGUUGGCGAGACGACAAUGAUGCUACGAUGGAGAUCAAGGUGUCGCACUGGUGACGAUGGUGAUCAUGACGGUGCUUCGGAGAUUGAGAUCACAAGCACAAGAUGAUGAUGGCCAUAUCAUAUCACUUAUAUUGAUUGCAUGUGAUGUUUAUCUUUUAUGCAUCUUAUUUUGCUUUGAUUGACGGUAGCAUUAUAAGAUGAUCUCUCACUAAAUUUCAAGAUAAAAGUAUUCUCCCUGAGUAUGCACCGUUGCCAAAGUUCGUCGUGCCCAGACACCAUGUGAUGAUCGGGUAUGAUAAGCUCUAUGUCCAUCUACAACGGGUGCAAGCCAGUUUUGCACACGCAGAAUACUCAGGUUAAACUUGACGAGCCUAGCAUAUGCAGAUAUGGCCUUGGAACACCGAGACCGAAAAGUCGAGCUUGAAUCAUAUAGUACAUAUGAUCAACAUAAUGAUGUUCACCAUUGAAAACUACUCCAUUUCACGUGAUGAUCAGUUAUGGUUUAGUUGAUUUGGAUCACAUGAUCACUUAGAUGAUUAGAGAGAUGUCUAUCUAAGUGGGAGUUCUUAAAGUAAUAUGGUUAAUUGGACUUUAAUUUAUCUUGAACUUAGUCCUGGUAGUAUUAGCAUAUCUAUGUUGUAUAUCAAUAGCUCGCGUUUAGCUCCCCUGUUUUAUUUUUGAUAUGUUCCUAGAGAAAACUAAGUUGAAAGAUGUUAAUAGCAAUGAUGCGGAUUGGAUCCGUGAUCUGAGGAUUAUCCUCACUGUUGCACAGAAAUAUUAUGUCCUUGAUGCACCGCUAGGUCACAGACCUAUUGCAGGAGCAGAUGCUGACGUUAUGAACAUUUUGACAAAAGCUCGGUAUGAUGACUACUUGAUAGUUUAGUGCACCAUGCUUUACGACUUAGAACCGGGACUUCAAAAAUGUUUUGAACGCCACGGAGCAUAUAAGAUAUUCCAAGAAUUGAAAUUGGUAUUUCAUACUCAUGCCAGUGUCGAGAGGUAUGAGACCUCUGACAUUACUUUGCCUACAAGAUGGAGGAGAAUAGCUCAACCAGUAAGCAUGUGCUCAGAUUGUCUGAGUACUACAAUCACUUGAAUCAAGUGGGAGUUAAUCUUCUAGAUAAUAUAGUGAUUGACAGAGUUCUCUAGUCACUAUCACCAAGUUGUUAGAACUUCAUGAUGAACUAUAAUAUGCAAGGGAUAACGGAAACGAUUCCCAAGCUCUUCAUGAUGCUGAAAUCGACGAAGGUAAAAAUCAAGAAAAGCAUCAAGUGUUGAUGGUUAACAAGACCACUAUUUUCAAGAAAAGGGCAAAUGGAAUAAGGGGAAUUUCAAGAAGAACGGCAAGCAAGUUGCUGCUCAAGUGAAGAAGCCCAAAUCUAGACCUAAGCCUGAGACUAAGUGCUUUUACUGCAAAGGGACUAGUCACUGGAAGUGGAACUGCCCCAAGUAUUUGGCAGAUAAGAAGGAUGGCAAAGUGAACAAAGGUAUAUUGGAUAUACAUGUUAUUGAUGUGUACUUUACUAGUGUUUAUAGCAACCCCUCAGUAUUUGAUACUAGUUCAGUUGCUAAGAGUAGUAACUUGAAAUGGUAGUUGGACAAUGAACAGAGACUAGUUAAGGGUGGAGCAACGAUGUGUGUUGGAAGUAGUUCCAAGAAUGAUAUGAUCGUCAUCGCACACUCCCUAUACUUUCAGGAUUAGUGUUGAACCUAAAUAAGUGUUAUUUGGUGUUUUCGUUGAGCAUGAAUAUGAUUUGAUCAUGUUUAUUGCAAUACGGUUAUUCAUUUAAGUUAGAGAAUAAUUGUUAUUCUGUUUACAUGAAUAAAACCUUCUAUGGUUAUACACCCAAUGAAAAUGGUUUGUUGAAUCUUGAUUGUAGUGAUACACAUAUUCAUAAUAUUGAAGCCAAAAGAUGCAAAGUUAAUAAUGAUAGUGCAACUUAUUUGUGGCACUGUCGUUUAGGUCAUAUUGGUGUAAAGCGCAUGAAGAAAAUCCAUGCUGAUGGGCUUUUGGAAUCACUUGAAUAUAAAUCAGUUGAUGCUUGCGAACCAUGCCUCAAGGGUAAAGAGGACUAAGACUCCGUUCUCCAGAACAAUGGAGCGAGGAACUGACUUAUUGGAUAUAAUACAUACUGAUGUAUGAGGUCCGAUGAGUGUUGAGGCUCGCGGCGGGUAUCGUUAUUUUCUGACCUUCACAGAUAAUUUGAGCAGAUAUGGGUAUAUCUACUUGAAGAAACAUAAGUCCGAAACAUUUGAAAAGUUUAAAGAAUUUCAGAGUGAAGUGGAAAAUCAUCGUAACAAGAAAAUAAAGUUUCUACGAUCUGAUCGUAGAGGCAAAUAUUUGAGUUACGAGUUUGGUCUUCAAUUAAAACAAUAUGGAAUAGUUUCACAAACUCAUGCCACCUGGAACACCAUAGCGUAAUGGUGUGUCCGAAAGUCAUAACUGUGCUUUAUUUGAUAUAGUGCAAUCUAUGAUGUCUCAUACCGAUUUACCACUAUCAUUUUGGGGUUAUGCAUUAGAGAUAGCUGCAUUCACAUUAAAAAGGGCACCAUCUAAAUCUGUUGAGAUAACACCGUAUGAACUGUGGUUUAGCAAGAAACCUAAGGUGUCGUUUCUUAAAGUUUGGGGUUGCGAUGCUUAUGUGAAAAAGGUUUAUCUUGAUAAGCUCAAACCCAAAUCGAAGAAGUGCGUCUUCAUAGGAUACCCAAAAGUAACUGUUGGGUACACCUUCUAUCACAGAUCCGAAGGCAAGAUAUUUGCUGCUGAGAAUAGAUCCUUUCUAGAGAAGGAGUUUCUCUCGAAAGAAGUGAGUGGGAGGAAAGUAGAACUUGAUGAGGUAACUGUACCUGCUCCCUUAUUGGAAAGUAGUUCAUCACAGAAAUCUGUUUCUGUGACUCCUACACCAAUUAGUGAGGAAACUAAUGAUGAUGAUCAUGUAACUUCAGAUCAAGUUAUUACCAAACCUCUUAGGUCAACCAGAGUGAGAUCCGCACCAGAGUGGUACGGUAAUCCUGUUCUGGAGGUCACGUUAAUUGACCAUGACGAACCUACGAACUAUGAGGAAGCGAUGAUGAGCCCAGAUUCCGCGAAAUGGCUUGAGGCAUGAAAUCUAAUAUGGGAUCCAUGUAUGAGAACAAAGUGUGGACUUUGGUUAACUUGCCCGAUGAUCGGCAAGCCAUAGAAAAUAAAUGGAUCUUCAAGAGGAAGACGGACAGUGAUAGUAGUGUUGCUAUCUACAAAGCUCGAAUUGUCGCAAAAUGUUUUCGACAAGUUCAAGGUGUUGACUACGAUGAGAUUUUCUCACUCGUAUCGAUGCUUAAGUCCGUCCGAAUCAUGUUAGCAAUUGCCGCAUUUUAUGAUUAUGAAAUUUGGCAAAUGGAUGUAAAGACUGCAUUCCUGAAUGGAUUUCUGGAAGAAGAGUUGUAUAUGAUGCAACCUGAAGGUUUUGUCGAUCCUAAAGGUGCUAACAAAGUGAGCAACCUCCAGCGAUCCAUCAAUGGACUGGUGCAAGCUUCUCGAAGUUGGAAUAAACGUUUUGAUAGUGUGAUCAAAGCAUAUGGUUUUAUACAGACUUGCGGUGAAGCCUGUAUUUACAAGAAAGUGAGUGGGAGCACUACAACAUUUCUAAUAAGAAGUGUGAAUGACAUAUUGUUGAUCGGAAAUAAUGUAGAAUUUUCUGGAAAGCAUAAAGAAGUAUUUGAAAUGAGUUUCUCAAAUAAAGACCUCGAUGAAGCUACUUACAUAUUGAGCAUCAAGAUCUAUAGAGAUAGAUCAAGACGCUUGAUAAGUUUUUUCAAUGAGUGCAUACCUUGACAAGAUUUUGAAGUAGUUCAAAAUGGAACAGUCAAAGAAAGAGAUCUUACCUGUGUUACAAGGUGUGAAAUUGAGUAAGACUCAAAGCCCGACCACGGCAGAAGAUAGAAAGAGAAUGAAAGUCAUUCCCUAUGCCUCAACCAUAGUUUCUAUAAAGUAUGCCAUGCUGUGUACCAGAUCUAUUGUAUACCCUACACUGAGUUUAGCAAUGGAAUACAAUAGUGAUCUAGGAGUAGAUCACUGGAUAGCGGUCAAAAUUAUCCUUAGUGGAAUAAGGAAAUAUUUCUCGACUAUGGAGGUGAUAAAAGAGUUCGUCGUAAAGAGUUACGUCGAUGCAAGCUUUUUACAUCGAUCUAGAUGACUCUAAGUCUCGAUCUGGAUACAUAUUAAAAGUGGGAGCAAUUAGCUAGAGUAGCUCCAUGCAAAGCAUUGUUGACACAGAAAUUUUCAAAAUACAUAUGGAUCUGAAUGUGGCAGACCCGUAGACUAAACUUCUCUCACAAGUAAAACAUGAUCACACCUUAGUACUCUUUGGGUGUUAAUCGCAUAGCGAUGUGAACUAGAUUAUUGACUCUAGUAAACCCUUUGGGUGUUGAUCACAUGACGAUGUGAACUAUGGGUGUUAAUCACAUGGUGAUGUGAACUAUUGGUGUUAAAUCACAUGGCGAUGUGAACUAGAUUAUUGACUCUAGUGCAAGUGGGAGACUGAAGGAAAUAUGCCCUAGAGCCAAUAAUAAAGUUAUUAUUUAUUUCCUUAUUUCAUGAUAAAUGUUUAUUAUUCAUGCUAGAUUUGUAUUAACCGGAAACAUAAUACAUGUGUGAAUACAUAGACAAACAUAGUGUCACUAGUAUGCCUCUACUUGACUAGCUCGCUAAUCAAAGAUGGUUAAGUUUCCUAACCAUAGACAUGAGUUGUCAUUUGAUUAACGGGAUCACAUCAUUAGGAGAAUGAUAUGAUUGACUUGACCCAUUCCGUUAGCUUAGCACUUGAUCGUUUAGUAUUCUGCUAUUGCUUUCUUCAUGACUUAUACAUGUUCCUAUGACUAUGAGAUUAUGCAACUCCCGUUUACCAGAGGAACACUUUGUGUGCUACCAAACGUCACAACGUAACAGGGUGAUUAUAAAGGUGCUCUACAGGUGUCUCCGAAGUUACUUGUUGGGUUGGCGUAUUUCGAGAUUAGGAUUUGUCACUCCGAUUGUCGGAGAGGUAUCUCUGGCCCCUCGGUAAUACACAUCACUUAAGCCUUGCAAGCAUUGCAACUAAUGAGUUAGUUGCGGGAUAAUGUGUUAUGGAACGAGUAAAGAGACUUGCCAGUAACGAGAUUGAACUAGGUAUUGAGAUACCGACGAUCGAAUCUCGGGCAAGUAACAUACCGAUGGCAAAGGGAACAACGUAUGUUGUUAUGCGGUUUGACCGAUAAAGAUCUUCGUAGAAUAUGUAGGAGCUAAUAUGAGCAUCCAUGUUCCGCUAUUGGUUAUUGAACGGAGACGUGUCUCAGUCAUGUCUACAUAGUUCUCGAACCCGUAGGGUCCGCACGCUUAAAGUUCGAUGACGGCUAUAUUUUGAGUUUAUGGUUUUUGAUGAACCGAAGGUAAUUCAGAGUCCUGGAUGUGAUCACGGACAAGACGAGGAGUCUCGAAAUGUUCGAGACGUAAAGAUCGAUAUAUUGGACGACUAUAUUUGGAUACCAGAAUGGUUCCGGGUGAGAUCGGGAUAAUACCGGAGCACCGGGAGGUUAUCGGACCCCCCCGGAGGUAUAUGGGCCUUAAUGGGCUUUAGUGGAAAGGAGGUAAAAGGAGAAAGGGAGGGGGCGCCCCCCCCCCCCCAAGCCCAACCCGAACUGGGAAGCCCCCCCCCUUUCCUUCCUCCCUCCUUCCUCUUCCUUCCCUCUCCCUCUCCAAAUAGGAAAAGGAGGAGUCCUACUCCCGGUGGGAGUAGGACUCCCCCCUUGGGCGCACCUCCUCCCCUUGGCCGGCCCUCUCCUCCCCUCCUUUAUAUACGGAGGAGAGGGGCACCCCAUAGACACAACAAUUUAUCUCUUGGAUCUUUUUGCUGUGUGCGGUGCCCCUCUCCACCAUAGUCCACCUCGAUAAUAUUGUAGCGGUACUUAGGCGAAGCCCUGUGACGGUAGAACAUCAACAUCGUCACCACGCCGUUGUGCUGAAGGAACUCUCCCUCAAAGCUCGGCUGGAUCGGAGUUUGAGGGACGUCAUCGAGUUGAACGUGUGCAGAACUCAGAGGUGCCGUGCGUUCGGUACUUGAUCGGUCGGAUCGUGAAGACAUACGACUACAUCAACCGCAUUGUGCUAAUGCUUUCGCUUGCGGUCUACAAGGGUACACGGACACACUCUCCCCUCUCGUUGUUAUGCAUCACCAUGAUCUUGCGUGUGCGUAGGAUUUCUUUUUAAAUUACUAUGUUACCCAACAUUAGACUCCUCCACUUUAUCUUACUCCUCACAUUCCCAUCAUCCGACAUAGUAUGACGACAUCUCAGCCCCUUGUAUUCACAUCACACGGUGUUCAAAUCGCACGAGCCACGAGGCCUUGUUUUUUAAACAGAAGUGGUGUACCCAAGCACCCCUAAUGAAAUUGGCGUUCCCUUGAUCCAAAGAAAAAAAGAGUAAAAAGAAACCAAACACUCCCCCCCCCACAUACACCUCCAGCGUUCCUAUGCACCGAAUUGUACACAACCAAUAGUUUCUACAUUGCUACACAUGAAUGAUGCUUACAGUUGAAAUAAAAGGCAACUCAUUGUCGCUUACAACUAAAUAGCAAAAGGAUACUAGGAGUAGAGUUUGACAUAGGCUAGAGUAAGUGCAUUAUAUAUCCUUAUUUCUGUUUCGCAAUUUUUUUUCCUUAUUUCUAGUGUGUGAUUGCCACCCAAGAUUGCAAUAGAACACCAGGUCAACUGACAAUCCAAUCCCUGGUGUUCUAUUAUAUGUCGAGUUAAAUACUAAAAAGUGCUACUAGGAGUAGAGUAUGAGAUGAACGAGAGUAAGUGCAUUAUGUAUAUCCUCAAUUAUAGUGUGCGGUCACCACCCAAGAUUGCAACAGAACACCAAUUUGGCUGACGAAACCAAUCUAGUCCAAUCGCUUAUUGAACUAAAAGUCGGUAUAUGUACUUAGGAGUUGCCUAACUAAAGCAUGCGGUUCAACUUGAUAGAUCUAGUAAGAUUCAACUCGAUAAUCGUUUAAUUCCUAAUGGUUUCUAUAAAAAAUAGUUACAAUAACUAACUCAAACGAAAUAUAAGCGAACAAUCAAACAUCGACCGGCUCACAUGGCUUCCAAAUAAAACUAAUUAACAGAUCGAGUAAUACAUUGUUUAUUCCUUGCUCUUAAUAUGAGGUUAUACAUAACAUAUUUUGGUCCAUCCUGAAGUAAGUAUUACGUAACAAGUACUAGCUAGUAUUUCAGUCUCUACUAGCAAAUGUUGCAAUAGCAAACAGCCUUGAUGGCGUUCUUCUUAUCACAGUGGUAGUCCUUGAGGCUGCCCUUCCUAUCACGUGCAAACACGUCACACGUGGCCUUGCAUAGAGGCUUGGUGCAGAAAAACUCCCCGCCGUCGUCAACGACCGCGAAAUUGUGCUGCACAACACCAAGAAAACACAAACCAUUAUAUUAGAAUAUUAGCGACAAACCCCCAUUAGAUUAGAUUAUACGUAUUUGACAAACACAAUUAAACACACCUGCAGAAAUAGGAGUACCCACAAGUGUUAGCACCACGAGGAAGCAAACAAUAGCAGCCCGUGUGUCCAUCCCAAGAGUUCUCUCCUUUUUUGAACUAGAAGGAAAAAUAUGUGUUCUCUUCGUCUAUUUUAAUUUGGCUAUGGGACUAAUGUUUAUGUCUUGAAGUGCUUGGAGUGUUGUCUUAUAUAGACUUAUUGAAAGGGACAAAAAUAAAAGCAUUUAAAUGAUUGUUAAACUUAGCAAAAGAGAUAGAGGUGAGUCACACCCCAAAAAUGGAAGCACUUAAUGCUGGGUGAGAAAUUAAAUGACGAAGGCAAAGAAUAUAUGAGUGAUGUUUAUCCAAUAAUCAAGGCUUUAAUUUUCGACUACAAAAUAAGCAUGACCAUUCAAAAAAUGGAGUCAUCUUUUUGUCGCUGGUGACAUUGAUCAAACAUGGUUUUUUAUAAAAAAAAAUGUAUAGCCACUUUAAUUGCAAACACCAUUGUGCAUUGAAAUUCAGUUGACUUCAACAAAACAAUCAAUAUGAAUUGCAUGCUUGAUAUGUAACCAACUAAAACUAAAAUUGUAUGUUGUCUCGAGUUGACUAAAUCACCAUUUUUGGCUAGACAAUGUUUAAAACUGUGUCAACUGUGUCAAUUUGCACGGCGCCUGGGACAAUGCAAUGUCAAAUCUUGCACUAUUUUAAACCACCACAAGAUAAGCAAGCUGAGUUGGCCCGGGCCUCUUGCCAGACGCUGGCAUCCACCUCGAAAUCUAUAUCAAUAUAUUUUUUGUAUCACAUGAAUCAUAUAGUAUUGGUCUAAAAUAUAUUUUCUCUUGUUGCAAAAUAUGAAAGAAAAAUCGGCACAACAAUAUUAUAUAGACCCAUCGCAACAAUAGCAUGCUUCACAGUCGGUGGGUCCCAUGUAAAGACAUUUGGAAAUACCUCAAAAAUGCAUAUGUGUACUAUUUAUUAUUGUCCAAGAAUUUCACAUGCUCACUCACAACAAACUGUUGAAGAAUUCCGUGCAACUUAGAAACUAACGUAUGCAACAACGCGAGCACAACAUUUGUGUUAGGACUAACAAAAUUACAUUACAUUGUAGCAUGUCACACAUGUGUAUGUAGUAUGACGCAAAUGAGUUCACAGCAUACCAAAACAACGAAUGGUAACUACAAAAAAUUCCCAUAAAUCUAACAUUUUACAACCAAAAAAUUUGGUGGGCACUGACCUCACCUCAUCAAACUUGCUCUAAUAUUCUAGUUAGUGUAGAGUUUUGGAUUAAGCUAAAGUUGCUCUAGUAUUAUGCCACAACAAAAAGGAAAGAAAUGGGGGAAAACAAAGAAGAGCGGAGCAGGGUGGCUUACUCGGAUCUAAGUCGGCCAAUAUCAAUCGCAUUGCCCUCCUAAAUCCUGAUUACUCAAGCCAGCCCAAAAUUGAGGGGCUACUAAAAUAGAAGUUGAGCCUAUGGUGCAAGAACAGAAAAGCCAUUGGAUUGGAUAUGGAUAGCACAUGAUCUGGUGGAGCGAUCUCAGGCCACUUUUUGUAUAUUUUAUGAAAAAACCCUAUUAACAGUUAGGUACAAAACAAAACAUUCGCAGUGACCACCUUAAGUAUCUCAUCUCCCAAUCCAAUAGUGGAGUUAACGACCAUUUACAGAUUUCAGGUUUUUUCCAGCGACCAUUUAUAGAAUUUGCACAACCUCAUAUCCUAUCAGUUUUAUAAAAUAUAUUUUCACAUACCGAGCACAAAUAUAUGGUUGUAAGAAUGAAGAACUCAUACUCAUGCUUGUUUUAAUUCUAGUAUUUACACCCCUAAGGUUGUUAAGGUCCGGUUACAAAAACUCGAAUUUAAUUCUCUUAUAAGAACUUGUUAGAGUCCUGUCAUAGUGCACAUCCUCUCGUGGAUUCGAUAACUCAAGGUUGCUCCUUCGGGAAAAGGGAGGGAAACCUUUGUUGUCCAAACCGGAUCUCAAAGAGCACCACCCAUCUCUCACCCUACUCGAUGAUACAACAUCGACGACCAGGUACGUGUGUAACCAACCGUCUGCUCCCUCGCUCUGUCACUGUGGUGCUAUUCAUUACAUCAAGUCGGGACCCAUUUCCUUCCUUUUGAGGUUAACAAUUAAGGUUUCUAGUCUAUAUGAGGGCCUUCGGAUUCAACUUAUAAGAAUGUUAGUUCAAAUUUAAUGAUGAUUAUUUCAAGUGGAUGGUUAUGUGAACUAGGUUGGUAGAGUGGUGGCCGACCACUGUUGCGGCGGACUUCAGGGAUGUUUGAUCUAUCCACCUGGCUUGAUCAAGCAGCGUCGACAUUUGUGCAUCAUUAUUUUGUUGAAUAUGUUCGUUCGAUUUGCUUGUUGCAGGGGUGAUAGCCUCUGGUCCGACGUUUGGUUACACGAGACAAUAAGCUCCCCUUGCAAAAGUGUAUGAUGUGGGAAUUACGUGUUGUACUCCUCAGGUGCAAACGCACGUAUAUAUGAUGUACAGGAGUAGGCCACGACCUCAAUUAUACAAGGCAACUAGGAGGUGGGCCCAAUACACAAAUAUGCACAACAAAGACUGGACCGGAACUCCUCAAAAUGAUGCCGUAGGCAAGUCCUUGGUCAUGGUAUAUGCAAAUUGUUGGGAAGUAGGGACGUGUAAAACACGAAUAUGGCCAAGGGCCACCUAUUCCCGAACAAAAUGAAUAUCCAACUCAAUAUGCUUGGUCCGUCGAUGAUGCACCGGGUUAGCGGAGAGGUAGACUGCCGAGACGUUGUCGCAAUAGACCACCGUGGCACGGUCAACAGGGAAAGAGAGCUCCUGAAGCAGCUGGCGAAGCCACGAACACUCGGCGACGGUGUUGGCCACCGCAGGAUACUCAGCCUCAGCGUUGGAACGAGAGACCGUAGGCUGCCGCGUGGAUGACCACGAGAUAAGUGAGGGUCCAAGGUAGACACAAUAGCCCGAGGUGGAGCGACGAGUUUUAGGGCAGCCCGCCCAGUCUGCAUUGAAGUAGGCGGCGAGGGCAGUGUCGGCGGAGGCAUGAAGCGUGACACCAAGAUCCAUAGUGCCACAGACAUAGCGGAGAAUCCGUUUGACAACGGCCCAGUGCAUCUCGAGGAGCAUGCAUAUGAAGACACACCUGCUGCACGACAUACUGGAUCUCUGGUUGAGUUAAAGUGAGGUACUGAAGAGCACCAACAAUAGACCGAUAAAAAGCAGCAUCCGAAGCAGGAGAACCAUCCGUGGCAGAAAGCUUGGCCUUUGUAUAAACAGGCGUAGCAGCGGGCUUGUAGUUAAGCAUGUUGGCCCGCUCCAGGAGCUCAUGAGCAUACUUCCGCUGAUGAAAGAAGAAGCCAUCCGGACGGCACACCACCUCGACACCGAGGAAGUUGUGCAAAGGACCCAAGUCCUUGAUGGCAAACUCAGCGCGAAGACGAGCCAUGAGCUGACCGAGGAGACCAACCAUACAUGCCGUCAGGAUGACGUCGUCGACAUAGAGCAGAAAGUAGGCCGUGUUAGAGCCCUGAUGAUAGACGAAGAGCGAGGCGUCCGAGCGGGUGGAGCGGAACCCAAGCUGGUGGAGAAACGCUGCGAUGCGCUGGUACCAAGCACGCAGAGCCUUCUUAAGUUCAUACAAGGACCGCGAAAGCAGGCACACGUGGUCGGGAAGCGCCGGGUCAACAAACCCGGUGUGCUGCUGGCAGAAGACCUGCUACUCCAGGUGACCAUGGAGCAAGGCGUUGGAGACGUCCAUCUGGUGCACCGGCCAAGCACGGGAGACUGCAAGGUGGAGAACCGUGUGUAUCGUGUCGGGCUUGACGACCAGAGCGAAGGUGUCGAUGAAGUCGAUGCCAGCACGCUGUCGGAAGCCACGAACGACCCAACGCGGUUUGUAGCGAUCAAAGGUACCAUCGGGACGGAGGUUGUGUUUGAAGACCCACUUCCCGGUAAUCACGUUGGCGUGCUGAGGACAGGAAACAAACAUAGAAGAUUUGACUUUAGAAAAAAAAUAGUACAACUUAUCUAUACCUAAUAUUAAAGGACGGAGAUUUUUAUAGUUCUCCAUACAUCUAACUUUAUUAAUAGUCUUCAUCGGCCCACCGGAGCAAGACAAUAAGUAGGCCUGGAAACACUCGAUUCAAUGGGCCUGAAAAAUAAACGGGCAUGCAUCCUCUCUCGCUCAUCUCUCUCCUCUCGAACCCCUCAUAAAAAAUUUCUCUCCUCUCGAUCCCUUCGCUCUCUACUACGAGCGCUCCUGGGGCAGACAUGUUCUCCCUUCUCUCUACCGCUGCGGAUGGCCCAACUUGACUCCGAGACGAACUCUGCUCGAGCACGCACCCAUAGGGUGUCCCGACAGGUUCUUUGCGGUUCCGCAGGCUGGUCUAGGAACAUAUAGAAACAAAUUGACGCCAUCAAACGAAGCCCCAGCUCAAUUGCCUGGUUGCGGAGUGCGGCGGCAUGUCGAGCCGAACGCCGGCAAGAUCAUACAGGAUGAGGCAGUAGAUGCCAACGAUAGUGUGCGUCACCCAACUCGACGCAGGCGAGGAAGAUGAGCAGGACGGCGUUGGAGCUCAGCAGGGCGCCGACGAGAACGUACGGGAAGAGGCGGUAGACGCCGAUGGCGGUGUAGGUAACCCACCCAGCUCGACGAAGGUGAGGAAGAUGAGUAGGACGGGGGGUAGCCGGGGAUUUGAAGAGGACUCGGAAGGGCUACACGAGCAUGACCAGGUCGUCACUGAAUCGGAUCCGUCACCUCAUGCGGCUGAGCUGUUAGAGGACGAUGCAGAGGCUCUGGUCAAAGGCGACCAUGAUGGAUGUGUCACCGCCGGCCACGCGAUAGAGGAAGAAGGUGAGGCUCAAGAGCCGGCCAGCCGAGUGGACGUGCCGGUGCAGUUGUGACCGCUCGGGAGGUUGAAGGCAAGCGAGGGAGCUCAUGCGGCGACGUCGGCAAGGCUCGGUGGCGAGAUAGCGCAGAAGAGCGGUGCAGCGGAGCGACAACCACGAUGCUAGGGCGUUGCGGAGAGAAAGGAUGAAGAGAGAUAGGGCAAGGGAGUCCUACUGCUGGUGGAGGCACGCAGGAGGAGCUCGAGCAUCAGUUGGCGGGCGAAGCAAGGAGUCGCAGGGCUUUCCAGCGACUAUGAUGGUGCGGGUUGAUCUGGGGAGGCUGGGAGAGCUGCCUCCUAGGGGCGCUGGUUCGGGUUGACGUGUGCGUCAUGUGCACUGCUACAAAAUUGCUGGAUAUGUGUAUCUAUAUGUGUGCGGCUGCGAUUUGAAAGUCGUAGCAAUGCACAGGCUUAUAAUUAAAUAAUUAUAUAUCUUUACUUGUUCAGUAGCAACACAUGCUAGCAAGCAGCAGAGACAGUAUACUAUGUUGGCGAUCAUUUGGCGAGCGAGCAGUUGAAUUGCUGCUGGCAUGCAUUGUGCAGGGGCAUGUUCGCUUGGGUCUUGGGACGAAAUCGACUGAGUCAAUAAAUAAUUUUUUAAAAGGAUAUUAGACCCUCGGCCUCUGCAUCAUUCAUUAUGAUGCACACAAAUAUUUUUAGCAAAGUUAGCCAUGGGUCGAACCAUUAGAUAUCAAAUAGACAUCUACAACUAAGUCGACUUCUGCUGCAACAUCUCUUCAAGAAGGGAUAAACUUUCUCGCCAUCGACCGAAACAAUCCGUAAGAAGAAGAAAAUGAUCACACAUGUGAAACAUAAUUGUCAAUACAAAUACAUGACACAUGGUGGUACGAACACACAUCACGAUGGAAGAAUACCAGCAACUUAAAAGCAAGCCUACAUCAAAUCUAUAUUUCAUUAGUAUUUAGUCCAUAUUUUUAUUUCUAUCAACCUAAACUCCAAUUACGUUAAAAUUUAGGUUUGAACUGCAGAUAUGAGAUUUCGAAUUUAAAGAUUGAACGUAUAUUUAAAGUUCUCAUAGUAUGUGUCUAUUUUUUGGGGUGUCUUUUUACUCGAUAGGAAUCCAAUUCAAUGCUCAAAAUCAAAUAACAAGAUUAUUGCUACAUAUUUUGAUAAAGCUAAAUUUUACUUGAAUUUUGGAUGUAGUUUAGACAAAUAAUUCUCACUAAAUCUUACUAUGGGCCAAUUUUUCUCUACCGUUGCAACACACCGGAUCGAGAGUUUCCAAGAAAACAUUGUCAGUCAGAUGCAUUUACUCCAGAUCAUAACUCAUGUCCUAAGCUUCACGUCGUGAUCCUCAAAUCAUGCAUCUUUUUAUUUUCUCAUCAUCAACCGUUGUGACAUGACACAGUUCCUCGACCUGGCCAACCAUGGUUCAUAGGAACUGGUAUAUUUCUCCCGCUGCAACGCACGGGCAUUCGUGCUAGUAUUUUGAAACGGGAGUUAGUAGGUACACCAAUAAUUCGAUAUACCCACAAAAUGCUGGCUCUAGUUCCUUUCAUGGCUCCUUUGAUGUAAGAAAGAUGCUAGUAGUGACUAGAGACAAAGGGAAUCAAAUUAUGGGAGGAGGCGGCCCUAUCUAUAUUCCUCUUCUCCAAGCGGUAGCUCCCGUCCAUCCUUUGCCAAAAGUGGAGCAUCUCUCAUUUCCUUCUUCAUCUUCUCCUCCUCCUCCUUUCUUGAUGCUCACUCGCCUAUAAAUAGCUCUCGCUGCCUGCCAUUGUUACUCAAGCUAGCAAGCAAGAAGCACAAAAGAAGCCAACACCAAUCAAGGCCUCCAUCCAAUCCCAAGCAACCUCGAAGAUGUCUUGCUGCGGAGGAAGCUGCGGCAGCGCCUGCAAGUGCGGCAACGGCUGCGGCGGCUGCAACAUGUACCCCGAGGUCGAGGCCGCCGGCGCCACCCUCCUCGUCGCCGCCACCGCCACCCACAAGGCGUACGUCCCUUCUCUUUCCUCAUACAUCAUGCGCCUCGCUGUAAUAUGACUAUAUAUGUUGAUCUUGCUAUGGGACUAAGGAUGGAUGGAUGGGUGCAGGAGCUCCGGCGGGAUGGAGAUGGCGGCGGAGAAUGGCGGCUGCGGCUGCACCCAGUGCAAGUGCGGCACCAGCUGCGGCUGCUCCUGCUGCAGCUGCUAGAUCAUUGAUCAUCGAUCAUGCAUGCACCGCGCGCAUGCAUCAUAUCUAUGAUCGAUCCAUCCAUCCAUCUAGUACCAUGUAACGCUACCUGAUCGAGGGUCUUUGUAUGUAUGUAAGCACCUGCCAGCAUGAGCAGAGCAGGUGCACUCCCAUGCAUGUAAACCGACCCCUAAAUAAAAUCUCCCGUGGUUUAACCUAUACAUGUGUUUGUGUUAUAGACCAGCUUCUGGCCCAUGUUUACUAUCAACUUGCGAGGUGCCUGGGUUGCUAAUAGACCAGCUGAAUGCUCUCUUAAAGCAACGUAUGCACCGCUUGGAAUCGGUGUAUCUUUCUUUAUACACAUGUAUUUAUUUUACAGGUGUAUAUCAUCGGCCACACCUGGGAAAAACGAUGGAUGGAGAAGGGUAAAUUUACAGGGGUAUUGCUCUGUGAAACGAGGGUCGAAUCAGGGUCGUAAGGGUGUUUGAUACGUGUGAAUAUUACUGGCCGAAGUUGAGUAUGAGAUACAUACAAUACAAACUUGACACUUUUGAAAGUCGUGCUAUCAAUCAUGAGACACAUAGUUUAGCCAAAUUCUCGCUUAAUCUUUGUCAAAGGGUGUCACGUACUCACGUCUGGUUUGGCCAACCCCAUGAUCCGAUAUGUAUCCCACUCUUUGUGGUUUUCGAUGAAUAAAAUUUGGUUAAACCCUAAAAAAAACUUAUUUUGCGCGCCUUAGUUUUUUUUUCAAGAAUUUUUUUUAAUCUAUUCAUCAAUCAUGGCCGUACAAAAAUUAUAACCAGGUCCAUGAACCACCUAUCGACGACUACACUCACUGGAGCGAGCCGAACGUGCGUCACCGUUAUCGCCCCUCCCUUACCGGAGUCAGGCAAACCUUAUUGUAGUAGACAGUCGGUAAGUCAUCGUGCUAAGACUCUAAAAGACCAUCGCACUAGUGUAGCAACCAUCGCCGAUGAAAAGAGUUGUAGAUUGGAAAGAUCAAACCUAUAACCACACAAACGAAGACAAACAAAAAUGGAUCCAAUAGAUCCACCAAAGUCCAGCACGACAGAAUCAUGUGAGAUCCGGCAGGGACGCACCUCCACAUGUCCUCCUCCAAUGUUAUUCGCACCACCGGGACGAGGAUCGGAUGUGGGAGACAUUAUUCCUACCCAGGGACAUCGCUACCGUCACACAGCCCCAACCAAGACGUUAAACCUAACAAAAACGAGAACGGGUCCCUCCCACUGCCGGGGGGCCAAGAUCCUCCGCAUUCCGGGGAAUCGGCGCCGGCGGCAGCGGGAUGAGAAAGGAAACUUUUCUUGAGAAGGAGGAAAGACAGACACGUGCUGUUGUGUCUAAAUUACCGUGUCUUAGUUUGAUGUACUAUUUGCACCAGCUACUUCAUAACUAGAUUGCCAUGGUUGACGAUGGGUGUGUUCCCCUCUACUAAUAGUGCAGCAGUGCCCUAGCGGCGACAACUAUAUCAUGAACAAUUAAAACUUGAUGAAAUUGGUGGCCUGGUGACUUAUGCCGUGGUGCCUAUAUCGCACGCUCUUUUGUGAUGUCAAAGAAACAAAUUAUCAUUUUCGGAGGUUAAAUGGAAACGGAGGGAGUGAACCUCAUGUAUGUUGUACCAGUAAAACAAUAUUUAAAAGGAUUCGCUGAUGAUUUCCUUGAUAUAAAAUUUGAGGUGUGCUCUACAACACCCCACCCUACCCCCGGAGCUCCUAUUUGGCACGCUAAGCGCUAGCGGUCAAGCCAGUGCGCAUCCCCUUCCCUUGCACACCCAUUUGAGUCGGCCCAUGCGCGGGGCGGGACACGCCUUUUUUAUUUAUUUAUUUUUAUUUUUCGUUUAUUUCUUUUUUAAAUAAUUCAGGAUUUCAAAAAAUUUCAAAUUUCAAAAAACGUCAAUUUUGAAAGAAAUAAACAAAGAAAUCAUAAAAUGUUCAUGUAUUCAAAAAAGAUCUUGAUUUCCAAAGACAUGUUCGCAUAUUCCAAAAAUGUUCAAGAAUUUGAACAAAAUGUUCACAAAUUAAAACAACUGUUCAAAAAACUAAAUAAAUGAUUCUCAAUUACGAAAAUAUUCAUAAAUCAAAAAAUGUUUGUUGAUUCAAAAAAUGUUAAUUAAUUUCGAAAAAUAUUUGUCAAACAAAUAGUAUUCAUGAGUGUCAAAAAUUGUUCCCAGAUUUCAAAAAAUAUUUAUAUUCAAAAAUUAUUCAGCGAUUCAAAUGUCCAUGAGUUUCAAAAGAGUGUUUACAAUUUUAAAAAAUUGUUCUCAGAUAUAAAAAAAUAUUUGUGAAUUCAAAAAAUAUUCAAGAUUAAAUUAAAUUCAUGAACUUUUAAACAUGUUCGUGAAUUUGAAAGAUAAUCACAAUAAAACAAGGUUCAUGAAAUUGGAAAAUGCUCAGAAUUUCAAAUAAUGUUAAAAAAUCCUUAAAAAGUUCAUAAAUUUGAAAAGAAGUUCAAAAAAAGAAAGAGUGAAAAAAGAAAAUAAAAAAUGACAUGAAAAUAGGAAAAAUAUAAAUAAGGUAAAAACAAAAAAGAAAAAUAGAAAUGAAAUAAUCAAAAUGAAGAAACAAAAAUAACCCGAAAGGAAAAAAACUGGUCUGGAAAGGUUCUAGAACGUUCCCAAAACCGAAAAUGAGGUACUUGGGCCGGCCCAAAAUGUGUGCCUAGUGGGAGGGGGUAUGUGAUGAAGCUAUGUACCUAGGGUAGGGUCAUGCACCUGUCCUAACUGCCCCACCCAAGGACAUCUCUAGAAGAAGUCACCUUUCAAUCGACUUGGAGGUGUUCCACUCGACAGACUCGAAGACACUCGACCAAGAAGCAAUCACUCGACCAAGAUCCAACCACUCGACGGCCAGGAGACCUAAAGUCACUCCGCACGCUAACGGUCGGUCAUUAAGUAGCUUUUAUGGUCAUCAUAGCACUUUAUUAGGGGCGUUACCAGUAACGCCCGACCUUAAUGUAUUUGAAACCCUGCAUAACUAAGGGCCAGAGGGGUCUGGCGAACUCUAUAUAAGCCACCCCCUCCUCAGUGUAAAGGGUUCGCACCCCUGUAAUUCAUACACACAUAAUCCAGUCGACCGCCUCCGGGCUCCGAGACGUAUGGCUAUUACUUCCUCCGAGAAGGGCCUGAACUCGUAAACCUCGUGUGCUUACAACUACUCCAUAGCUAAGAUCUUGCCUCUCCAUACCUACCCCCCCUACAUUACUGUCAGACUUAGAACCACGACAGUUGGCGCCCACCUUGGGGAAGGUGUCUUGGCGAUUUGUUGGAGGAGUUGCGAUCUUUUCCGAUCCAAAUCAUCAUGGUUUCUGGCGGAGUUUUGGUGGAGGGCCGCGAGAUCCGUCUCGGCGCGCUCACGUUCAUCGCCGACGACUCCGCUUGGCUUCAGGAGGCUCCGCUCAACGUCGACGCACUCCUUGUCCGUGGGGAAACACACUUUCGCGGGUGCGUUCGCGGCGUUCUCUUGCGUCAACCGUCGACCCGUUAUCGGUCGGCCCCUGUGUUGUCCUCCCUCCCUGUUUCCCGCCGGCGCAAGCGCUCCGGUCGGUCGAGACUUCGGCGGUGGGUGAGACACGUGGUGGCACGCCAGUCGGCCACCCCUCAAGUCACGGCGAUCGAGCCCGACGAAUCCCUCUACGGCCUGCUCGACCUAUCGACUGGCUCUGCAGAGACCGCAUCCGAGUGCGACAACAGUGAUCUGGCGGCGAAGGUUCUGAUGGUCGAUGGACCGCGCAGUCCUCCGGAGAUUUCCCCGCACCGACGGAGGCGCAGGUGGAGGCGACCCGUCGCAUCCCCAUGAGGAAUAUCUCCCCGAGCCUUUCACGUCGCUGCAGAGAGAAGAACUUCGUCGCCGGAACAUGGAUGCACUACACACUCUUAUCGUUGGAGAAACACCCGAAGCUCGUGCCUUGGAGGACGCGCGCCUGGCAAACUUGGCUGAGCGCACUCGACUGGAGAACCUCCAGCGAGCACUUGACGAGCGUGCGCGACAACGGGUUCCAGAAUCCAGUCGACGUCAGCUCUUUCCGCCCUCGCAGGUAUAUCGAACUCCGAUUCAGAAUUUAGCAGCUGCAGCCCGUAUAGCAGAGUCGAUCAAGCCUUCCCAAUCAGAGGCUGGCAGAGGCUUGCUGCAGAAAAGAGCGUUACUCCGGGCAGCAGGAGACCAGAAUUCCGCUGUUUCUCAGUCGCGGAACAGGAUUCAUAGCAGAUCCAUUGCUGCAGACACAGUCCAGUCGGCUCAUAGUCCAAGAUCGCCCCCGAGGCGUGAGGGACGUGGGGACCGGCGUGAUCAGUACGGAAACCGUGAGCAGUAUGAUCACCGAUUCGAUCGUGACGACCGACGUUGAGUGCCCACCCCUUCCCCGAGGAGUGGAUCGUAUGUGCCUCGACAGCAGGAUGACAGGCGCCCUCAUAGUGUUGGGCGAAGGAUUCCAGUCGACCCCAGGGAACCAGGCUUUGAUGCGAGAUCCAUUCUCGUUCAAGGUUUGGUCGACAGGAACAGAGCUCGCCGAGAAGGUCACGACAGAGAUGCACCUACCAGCAGCAGAGUACAUGUUUCAGGGCCAGAGUGCUUUAGUAGAGCCAUCAGGGCCGCUGUGAUUCCUCCCAACUUCAGGUUGGCGACUGGAGUCAGUAAGUUCACUGGUGAGUCCAAACCCGAUACUUGGCUUGAAGACUACCGAGUGGCUGUCCAGAUUGGCGGUGGCAAUGAUGAAGUGGCCAUGAAGCACCUGCCUCUCAUGUUGGAGGGCUCGGCCAGAGCGUGGCUGAAUCAGUUAGCACCCAGCAGCAUUUACACUUGGGAAGAUCUCGCCCGAGUGUUUGUCACUACAUUUCAAGGAACAUGCAAGCGAUCGGCAGGACUGACGGAACUGCGGUCUUGCAUGCAGAAGCCGAAUGAAACCUUGAGGGAUUACAUCCAGAGAUGGAUCACGUUACAUCACACGGUAGAGAAUGUGCCUGAUCACCAAGUAGUCUGUGCCUUCAAAGAAGGCGUCAAGUAGAGAGAACUGAAUCUGAAAUUCGGUCUAACCGGAGACAUGUCUCUGAAUCGGAUGAUGGAGAUUGCCACCAAGUACGCUAAUGGUGAAGAUGAGGAUCAACUCCGGAGUGGCAAGCACAAGUCAGUCGCCCAAGAAACCGAAGGAGGAAAUUCCAAUCGGAAACAGAAGCGGAAAGCCGAGCCAGCUACUCCUGGGGAAGCCUUGGCUGUAACUCAAGGAAAGUUUAAGGGGAAACCCAAAAAGCCUUGGAACCCCAAGAAAGUUAAAGAUCAAGACGGAAAUGAUGUGUUGGAUUUGCCAUGUCACAUCCACACCAAGAAAGAUGAAGAGGGUAAGCUCAUUUACCCGAAACAUACCACUCGACAGUGUCGGCUCUUGAUCCAGCAGUUCCAGGGCAAACAACCCAAAGAUAAGGAAAAGGAGUCGGACAAAGUUGAGUACAAGGAAGACAGUGAUGAUGGAUACCCCCCAGGUCAAUUCCACCUUGAUGAUUUUUGCUGAUGUUGAAAGCAAAAGUUGACUGAAAGUUAUCAACCGUGAGGUGAAUAUGGUUGCUCCGGUGACACCCAGUUAUCUGAAGUGGUCUUAGACUGCCAUCACAUUCGACCAGUCCGAUCACCCAACGCACAUUGCCACCCCUGGGAGGCAAGCUUUGGUGGUCGACCCAGUUGUUGAAGGCACUCGACUGACCAAAGUCUUGAUGGAUGGUGGCAGUGGUUUGAACAUACUGUAUGCUGAGACGUUGAAAGGGAUGUGCAUUCCGAUGUCCAGACUCAGUACCAGCAAACAUGAGUUUCCAUGGAGUCAUUCCUAGGAAGAAGGCUGAGUCACUCGGCCAAAUUGCUCUUGAUGUGGUUUUUGGUGAUUCCAAGAAUUGCCGCAAAGAAAAGUUGACAUUCGAAGUUGUGGAUUUCCAGAGUGCUUAUCAUGCUAUUUUGGGCAGGCCAGCUUACGCACGCUUCAUGGCUCGACCAUGUUAUGUGUAUCUCAAAUUGAAGAUGCCUGGUCCCAAAGGUGUGAUCACUGUUACGGGCAAUCGGAAGAAAGUAGAAGAGUGUUUUCAGAAAGGCUCAAAGAUCGCUGAUGCUCAGAUGGCAGUGGUGGGGCUGCAGGAGUACCAGAAGACUACAGACCCGAGUGAUUUGUUGCGAGCCAAGAAGCCCGCUACAGAAUCAGCUUUUCAGUCGUCUGGUGAAACGAAGCCGGUUCACAUUCACCCGACUGAUCCCAGUGCUGCACCGACUCAUAUCUCAGCAACACUCGACUCCAAAUAGGAAGAAGCGCUCAUCUAGUUCCUCCGUGAGAACUGGGACAUCUUCGCAUGGAAGCCUUCUGACAUGCCGGGUGUUCCCAGGGGGCUGGCUGAGCACCGCCUACGAGUCGACUCAAAAGUGAAACCCGUCAAAGAACAUCUCCGACGGUCCGCCGUCUAGAAGAGAAAGGCUAUUGGUGAGGAGGUGGCUCGGCUCUUAGCAGCGGAGUUCAUCCGAGAGAUUUACCACUCUGAGUGGCUCGCCAACGUUGUCAUGGUCCCCAAGAAGGACAAGUCACUUCGCAUGUGCAUUGACUUUAAACAUAUCAAUCGGGCCUGCCCGAAAGAUCAUUUUCCUCUCCCUCGCAUCGACCAAAUAGUCGACUUGACUGCGGGAUGUGAGCGACUGUCUUUUUUAGACGCCUAUUCCGAGUACCAUCAGAUCCGUCUGUAUGGACCUGACGAGAUCAAAUCAGCUUUCAUCACUCCAUUCGGGUGCUUCCGUUACGUUACCAUGCCAUUCGGCCUCAAGAAUGCCGGAGCCACAUUCAUGAGGAUGAUUCAGAAGUGUUUGCUCACUCAAAUCAGUCGGAAUGUGGAAGCAUACAUGGAUGAUAUUGUGGUCAAGUCACGGAAGGGUUCCGACCUGCUGACUGACCUUGCUGAAACCUUUGCCAACCUCAGGAGGUAUGAUAUCAAGCUUAAUCCAUCAAAGUAAACAUUCGGAGUUCCUGGCGGAAAGUUACUCGGUUUUCUCAUUUUCGAACGGGGAAUCGACGCCAAUCUAGAAAAAGUCGGUACUAUACUCCGGAUGAAACGUCCCGUGCGAGUGCACGACGUCCAGAAGCUUACUGGUUGCUUGGCCGCUUUAAGUCGAUUCAUCUCUCGUCUCGGUGAAAAGGCAUUGCCUCUUUAUCGAUUGAUGAAGAAGUCAGACAAGUUCGAGUGGACUCCUGAAGCUGAUGCAACGUUUGCAGAGCUCAAAGCUCUGCCCUCCAUCCAGCCGGUGCUUGCUGCUCCAAUCAGCAAAGAGCCUUUGUUGCUUUACAUCACAGCCACGGGACAAGUCGUUAGUACGGUACUUACGGUCGAGCGGGAAGAAAAAGGAAAAGCCUCCAAAGUUCAGCGCCCAGUAUAUUAUGUUUCUGAAGUUUUGACCCCGUCAAAGAAAAGAUAUCCUCAUUAUCAGAAGCUUGUAUAUGGGAUUUAUAUGACCACAAAGAAGGUUGCUCACUACUUCUCUGGUCAUUCCAUUACGGUCGUCAGCGACGCUCCAUUGUCAGAGAUCCUGCACAACAGAGAUGCAACUGGUCGAGUGGAAAAAUGGGCAAUUGAACUCCUUCCUCUAGAUAUCAAGUUUGAGGCAAAGAAAGCUAUCAAGUCCCAAGCAAUAGCAGAUUUCGUCGUCAAGUGGAUUGAACAACAACUGCCGACUCAGGUUCACUCGGAGCAUUGGACCAUGUUCUUCGACAGUUCCAAAAUGCUGAAUGGUUCCAGUGCCGGAGUAGUAUUGGUCUCCCCCCGAGGAGAUAAGCUCAGAUAUGUUCUUCAAAUCCACUUUGAUUCCUCCAAUAACGAAGCAGAAUACGAAGCACUUUUAUAUGGGUUGCGCAUGGCCAUUUCACUCGGCGUCCGUCGCCUCAUGGUCUAUGGCGACUCAGAUUUGGUGCUUAAUCAAGUUAUGAAAGAGUGGGACGUCAGAAGUCCGGCCAUGACUGGUUAUUGCAAUGCAGUGAGAAAGUUGGAGAAGAAAUUCGAGGGGUUAGAACUUCAUCACAUACCCCGACUGAAAAAUCAAGCAGCUGAUGAUUUGGCAAAAAUUGGUUCCAAAAGAGAAGCCAUUCCCAGCAACGUGUUUUUGGAACACAUCCACACACCAUCAGUUCAGGAGGAUCCCUUCACUGAAGAAGCCCCGCAGCUAAAAAGUGCCACGGAUCCGAUUGAAGUUGAAGUUCCAGCUGUGGUCGACCUGAUCAUGGAAGUUUUGGUCAUCACUCCCGACUGGACAGUACCGUACAUCGCGUACAUCCUAAGGAAAGAACUCCCAGAGGACGAAGAAGAGGAUCGAUAGAUCGUCCGUCGAUCCAAGGCCUUUACAGUCAUAAAGGGACAGUUGUAUAGAGAAAGCGCGACUGGAGUCAGUCAGAGGUGUAUAACACCAGAAGAAGGUCAAAUAAUCCUUGAUGAUAUCCACUCGGGGACCUAUGGUCAUCAUGCGUCCUCUCGGACCAUUGUGGCUAAAGCAUACCGAGCGGGAUUCUACUGGCCAAGAGCGAAUGAAAUGGCGAAAGAGAUAGUCGACAAAUGUGAAGGAUGUCAGUUUUACUCCAAUAUGUCGCACAAACCCGCGUCAGCCCUGAAAACCAUUACACUUGUCUGGCCCUUCGCUGUUUGGGGACUGGAGAUGGUUGGACCACUGAGAACGGGCAGGAGCGGCUUCACUCAUGUGCUAGUAGCAGUCCACAAGUUCACCAAAUGGAUUGAAGCUAAGCCUAUCAAGAAUCUUGAUGCUUGCACUGCUAUCAGUUUCAUCAGAGAGUUGAUAUUCAGAUAUGGAGUUUCGCACAGCAUCAUCACUGACAAUGGGUCAAACUUCGAUUCCGACAAAUUCAGAGCCUUUUGCGCCUCUCAAGGCACACGAGUCGACUAUGCUUCAGUCGCUCACCCCCAGUCGAAUGGACAAGCGAAAAGAGCAAACGGCUUAAUUCUCAAAGGACUGAAACCCUGACUGAUGCGCGAUCUCAAGCACACAGCAGGUGCAUGGGUCGACGAGCUUCCAUCAGUUCUUUGCGGAUUGAGGACAACCCCGAACCGAUCGACUGGAAGAACCCCAUUCUUUCUAGUCUACGGAGCCGAAGCAGUUCUGCCGAGUGACCUGCUUCACAACGCACCCCGAGUCGAGCUCUACUCUGAAGAUGAAGCAGAACAAGCCCGCAGGACGCAGUCGACCUCCUAGAAGAAGAAAGAGAAAUUGCCAUGAUCCGAUCGACCAUCUAUCAGCAAGACUUGCAUCGAUUCCAUGCCAGAAAUGUGAAGAGUCGAGCCUCCCAAGAAGGAGACUUGGUCCUCCGAGUGGAUCAACAGAAACCACACAAACUCGCUCCUACUUGGGAAGGUCCCUUCAUAUUUACCAGAGUCCUCCACAAUGGAGCGUACCACCUUUAUAAUGUCGAUCGCCAGAUUGAUGAGCCACGAGCCUGGAAUGCGGAGCUGCUCUACCCCUUUUAUACUUGAAUUCUUACUCAGAUGAGAUGUAAUAAGAAAAACUUCUGAAGUUUAUUUAUCAAAGACAAGAGCGUUAUAAUUUUCCCAGUGAUUGAUAUUGUUUUUGUUUGCAUGAGAAAUCCCCCAGUGGGUGGCUUAGCUGCGAAUCCGUUUCGCUUAAGUUUGUAAAAAUAAUUUCCUACCGAGUGGUGAGCCAGCCUCCCACUCGGGGGCUUAGCUGCGAACCCGUUUCGCCUAAGUGUUUGAAAAUCCUACCGAGUGGUGAGCCAGCCUCACUCUCGGGGGCUUAGCUGUAGUCAAGUACUCGCCUAAGUAUUUGAAAAUCCUACCGAGUGGUGAGCCAGCCUCCCACUCGGGGGCUUAGCUGCAGUCCAGUACUUGCCUAAGUAUUUGAAAAUCCUACCGAGUGGUGAGCCAGCCUCCCACUCGGGGGCUUAGCUGCAGUCCAGUACUCGCCUAAGUAUUUGAAAAUCCUACCGAGUGGUGAGCCUGCCUCCCACUCGGGGGCUUAGCUACAGUCCAGUACUCGCCUAAGUAUUUGAAAAUCCUACCGAGUGGGGAGCCAGCCUCCCACUCGGGGGCUUAGCUGCAGUCCAGUACUCACCUAAGUUUGAAAAAUCCUACCAAGUGGAGAGCGACCCUCCCACUCGNNNNNNNNNNNNNNNNNNNNNNNNNNNNNNNNNNNNNNNNNNNNNNNNNNNNNNNNNNNNNNNNNNNNNNNNNNNNNNNNNNNNNNNNNNNNNNNNNNNNNNNNNNNNNNNNNNNNNNNNNNNNNNNNNNNNNNNNNNNNNNNNNNNNNNNNNNNNNNNNNNNNNNNNNNNNNNNNNNNNNNNNNNNNNNNNNNNNNNNNNNNNNNNNNNNNNNNNNNNNNNNNNNNNNNNNNNNNNNNNNNNNNNNNNNNNNNNNNNNNNNNNNNNNNNNNNNNNNNNNNNNNNNNNNNACACAUCCCAAUCCGCAGGGACGACGAGGUGUAGGUCGACUGCCACCUUCUCCUUCGGAGCUUCGCCACAAAUACAACAUGCGCUCCAUCCCAAUCCGCAGGGACGACAAGGUGCAGGUCGACUGCCACCUUCUCCUUCGGAGCUUCGCCACAAAUACAAUGUGCGCUCCAUCCCAAUCCGCAAGGACGACGAGGUGCAGGUCGACUGCCACCUUCUACUUUGGAGCUUCGCCACAAAUACAACAUGUGCUCCAUCCCGACCCGCAAGGACGACGAGGUGCAGGUCGACUGCUACCUUCUCCUUCGGAGCUGCGCCACAAAUACAAAAGUUGUCUCGAGUGAAGAACGAGUUCNNNNNNNNNNNNNNNNNNNNNNNNNNNNNNNNNNNNNNNNNNNNNNNNNNNNNNNNNNNNNNNNNNNNNNNNNNNNNNNNNNNNNNNNNNNNNNNNNNNNNNNNNNNNNNNNNNNNNNNNNNNNNNNCAGGUCGACUGCCACCUUCUCAUUCGGAGCUUCGCCACAAACACAACGUGCGCUCCAUCCCGACCCGCAAGGACGACGAGGUGCAGGUCGACUACUACCUUCUCCUUCGGAGCUGCGCCACAAAUACAAAAAUUGUCUCGAGUGAAGAACGAGUUCCACUCGACGGAGAAUUCAUGAAGAUAUUCAACGAUAAACCAAGUUCAGAUAAAUCCUAAAGGUUCCAGACCGCAGAUCGAAGUGCUCGGGCAUUCAGCCCGAAAGAUUUUAAUGGUUACAAAAACCACUCGGCAUUCCGAGGCAAAUUUAAGGUGGGGCACAAAAGUUAGUUCACUCCACAGGAGGAGGACUGGCAGGCUCGACGAACUCGUCCAGGUCGACGCCAUCGGUGAUCCGAGUGGCUGCAGCAAUAGAAGUCUCCAUAAAAGAUCAGAAGUCAUGCCUCUGGGUGUUGGCGACCUUGAUUGCUGCUAGCUUAUCUUGUCGCACCUCCUUGCAGUGGACACGAACCAAAGACAGAGCCACAUCAGCACCACACCGGGCAAAAGAUUUCUUCCACUCCUGCACUCGGCCAGGGAUCUCGUUAAGUCGAGUCAUCAGAGACUUGAGAUCAUUCUGGAGCGUGGCCCCUGGCCAAAGUGCCGUGUCGAUCCGUGACAUGGCGACCUUCAGUCGAGCCAAGUAGUCCAUAACACCGUCGAUGUGGGAUUCUAGUCGGAGCAGAUUCAUGGCAGUUUCAUCUUUCAUGGGAGAGUUGAUGGGGUCCAAACCUGGCUCAAUCCGCCCAGUCUCCUCCUCGAAGUUCUGGCAAAACUCUGCAUUCAUGAUCCAAGGAUAAGUCAAUUUUCGUAUGCUGAGUCGACAAAAAGAACAUCAGUCGGAACAAAAUGUAUACCUUCAAGCUUGAUGAACAACUUCUUGGCAAGGCUCCUUAGAUAACUCUCCAGAUCGUCCCUCCUGCGAGUGAUGCCUUCCAUCUUCUCGUACAGGUUGACAUUGUUUUUCUUCAAGCGCGUGCACUCCUUGUUGGCUUCGUUCAUGGCAGAUUUCAUCUUGGCGUUCUCUUCUUCCAAUUGGCCGGCUGAAGCCAGUUUCUGUUCAGCCAGAGAGGUUCUAUCGUCAGCUUUCUUUUGAGCAGCAGCCAAAUCCUGAUCCUUCUUCGCCAGAGCUUCGUUCAGUUUUUCUGUAAAGAAAUGGUGCUUGAUUUAGAAAGAGCAGAAGGGUACUCAAGCCUAAGACAAACCAGUCUACAAGCUCGUCUUACCAUUGGCGUCGUCCUUGGCCUUUUGCAGCUCUGUCUUGGCCAAUUCCAAGUCAAGGUUUAGCUGGAUCUGCUGUUUCUCCAAGUCAGCAAAGCGAGCUCCAAGAUCGCAAGAUUUCUGCAAACAGGGAGGGGAAGUUAUUUUACAGCGAAAAACGACAAAGACAAUCAAUACUAAGACUACGGUCGACUGCCCGCAGUCCACCAUAGUCUCGGGGACUACACCCAGUAGGUGCACUUUGCGUGCCCCCACCGGUUCGGUUUACACUCGACAUGGCCAGACCAGAUCGAGCGAAAGAAUCAAAAUACAAAGACUACAGUCGACUGCCAGCAGUCCACCGUAGACUCAGGGACUACACCCAGUGGGUGCACUCAGCGUGCCCCCGCUAGUCCAAAAAUUCAAUCGACGCACCCAGUGGGUGUACAGAUGCAAAGAUUUUCGGAAAGAGAGUCUCCAGAUAGCAUAUCCUAACAAAACAAGCGGUGACCAGCUAACCUGAACAUUGCUUUGGAGAGCCGAGCUGGCGUCAUAGGCGGCCUGACUGGCGUCCCUCACCAUCUUCACCUUCUCCAUCAUAAUGCCCGCCUGGCAUAUGGCUUCCUUGGCAGCAUUCACUUCGUCCUCUGGGACAUGAUGGAUUGCAAAAACUGAAGGUGGGUCGGCAGGAGCUUGAGCAGUCGACGAAGAAGGCAGGGCACUCGACAAUGGUACGGCGAAGGUAAGAGAACCCCGAUUGGCAUCACCAGCGUCCUGAACGACUGGUUCCGCCAUCGGCGUCGAAUGUGGCACCUUGCUUGCAGGAGCUUUCCUAUUUUUCCUCGUCAAAGGCCUCUCAGGCUCCUCAUCAUUAUCAUCGGGGAGGUCAAUAGUAUUAGGAGCUGUUCAAAGAUCAAUCGCCAAAAUCACAUCACCCAAUGGUACACAUUGCAGUUGAGUCGACCAAAUAAAGACAGAAUGACAGAAAUCAUACCCAGAUUGGAAGUGACUACAUCCUCCAUUACCUCGUCCUCAUCUCUGUAAGCUAAGGUCCCGGAAGUAGCAGCGCUGCCAGUUCCAAAGUUCGUCUGGUUAAAUCAAGAAAAAAUAAACAGCACGGAGCGUUGAGUGAAUACAAAGGGAGACACUCACGCAGAAGCGACGGGGAUGUCAAUCUUAAUCUUCGGCAACGCCUUCCGAGGCUUCUGCUCUGCAACUUUGAGAUGCUUUGACACUUUUUCAGUUGGGGUUGGUGAAGAUGUCCGAGGACGCUUUGAAGACUGACCAGUCUGAGCAAUCGCCUUUUCACGGGCGCUCGGUCGUUCUUGGUCAAGCUUGGAUCGCCUCUCCCUGCGAGGAGGCGACUCGACUUCUUCUUCGUCACUUGAGUCGUCGCUUUCUUCAUCCUCUUCUCCGUCAGAAUGCCAUUUGCCACUGUCGCCGCCGCUCGCCUCUCCUUCCAGAUCUUGCUCUUGCUCUCCGUUGGGCACUGAGUACAUUUCGAUAAGGGCCUGAAAGAAAGCAGGAAGAAUAAAGUCAGUCGACGCAGUAUAGACAGCUGCGCUAGUGGAUUCAGAUUAUAAUCAAAGGCUCAGAACCGGACCUUUUCUGGUUCGUGGGACUGGUCGAAUGGAGGAACUCUCCUGGCUCCCCUGGGGUUGUCCUUGUUUCCGGUGAUGCCCGACAGCCACCCCUCCAGUGUGUCGUCAUCAACCUCCUCCGGGUGAAUCCGAGUGGUGUCAUCAAGACCCGAAUACAUCCACAUCGGAUGGUCUCGAGCUUGAAGAGGCUGGAUGCGCCGCCGAAGGAAAACCUCCAAGAGAUCCAUACCAGUGACCCCGUCACAGAUAAGCUGGACCACUCGUUUGACCAGCACCCUAACUUGCGCCUUCUCCUCCGGGAGCACCUUCAAAGAGGAGGGUUUCCUCACUCGGUCCAUGGUAAAAGGAGGGAGGCCAGUCGACUGCCCUGGCGUCGGCUGGUCUUUGCAGUAAAACCAGGUCAACUGCCACCCGCGGACCUAGUCGGGAAGAAUCAUGGCUGGAAAGGAACUUUUCCCUCUCAUCUGAACACCAAGACCCCCACACAUCUGAAUCACUUGUGUUCUCUCGUCACUCGGAUUGGCCUUUUUCACCGUCUGAGAACAACAGGUGAAAAUGUGCUUGAAAAGACCCCAGUGAGGCCGACAACCCAAGAAAUUCUCGCACAAAGACACGAAAGCAGCGAGAUACAUGAUUGUGCUGGGAGUGAAGUGGUGGAGUUGUGCCCCAAAGAAAUUCAGAAAUCCCCGAAAUAAAGGGUGAGGAGGCAAGGAAAAUCCAUGGUUGACGUGGGUGGCAAGGAGAACGCGCUCACCCUCCCGAGGUUGCGGCUCGGAUUCCUUCCCCGGAAGUCGCGCCGAUCCAUGGGGGGUCAGUCCUCCAUCGGCUAGAUCAUCGAGGUCUUCUUGGCAGAUCGCCGAGCGGAUCCAGUCGCCCUGGAUCCAGCCCUUCGGCAGGCUGGCUCAUGAGGAAGAUCCACCCCGACUGGUCGCCUUCCCCUUCGCCUUUGCCGUUGCCUUCUUCGCCCGCUCUAGAGCCGCCGUCUUCUCCUUCCCCAUCGUCGCCGGCGAGAUGCGUACGGAGCGGCGCGCUGGGGCGAGAGCGAGCGCGACGAAGAAGCCUGAAGAGGAGAAGAGGAAAUGAGAACGCACUGUUCAAGAAACCCCGGUCCGACGCCUUAUAUGAGGUCGCUUCUGAGUGGCUGGCUGGUAGGCCCGGACGAUCCUGUCAAAUCCCGUAACAAUCGCGCGCGUGAUACGUGGCGAAAAAGGUGGCGCGGGGAUCAAGGCGGCUCCACCCUAUCCCAUCCGAUUACUGCGGCCUCCCCCGUCCCGCGCGCUUCCCAAAAUUCGAAUCCCGCGAAACCUGCGAGCAGCAGAACAACUUGUCAGACGGAAGAUCUCCUCCACACCGUCACUCGGAGCUUUUUGAGUAAAGAAACUCACUCGACAAAAAACUAAGAAUGGAUCAAUGCGACUGAAAAGGAAGUUGCUGUCAUCACUCAGGUUCAUUGAUCCGAAACAAGAUAUGCUCAUGGCAUGAAAAAUGAGUCGGAGAAGUUCUCAACUCCUUCCCCACUCAAACCUCGAUCCAUUCAGGGGCUAAUGAUGAAGCUAUGUACCUAGGGUAGGGUCAUGGACCUGUCCUAACUGCCCUACCCAAGGACAUCUCUAGAAGAAAUCACCUUUCCAUCGACUUGGAGGUGUUCCACUCGACAGACUCGAAGACACUCGACCAAGAAGCAAUCACUCGACCAAGAUCCAACCACUCGACGGCCGGGAGACCUAAAGUCACUCCGCAUGCUAACGGUCGGUCAUUAAGUAGCUUUUAUGGUCAUCAUAGCACUUUAUUAGGGGCGUUACCAGUAAUGCUCGACCUUAAUGUAUUUGAAACCCUGCAUAACUGAGGGCCGGAGGGGUCUAGCGAACUCUAUAUAAGCCACCCCCUCCUCAGUGUAAAGGGUUCGCACCCCUGUAAUUCAUACACACAUAAUCCAGUCGACCGCCUCUGGGCUCCGAGACGUAGGGCUAUUACUUCCUCCGAGAAGGGCCUGAACUCGUAAACCUCGUGUGCUUACAACUACUCCAUAGCUAAGAUCUUACCUCUCCAUACCUACCCCCCUACAUUACUGUCAGACUUAGAACCAUGACAGUAUGCGCUAGGAUUCCCCCCCUAAAAAGCUUCACAACUUUUGAGCAGAUCAUGGUCUAGAUUAAAACAUGUCCUUUACUUAUGAAGGGGUAAUAUAGAAAAUUCACAUUAUAAAAACACUUGAAAUAAAAAAUAUAACGAGCGCUCUAGAAACCCAUGGCGGCUAGUGCGACUUGUUUGGAGGUAUUCGUAUCCUUCCCAACCCUAAUCCACUACCCCGGUCGUCCAUGUAUCUGUCAGAAGUGUUAGACUCCUCCACUUUAUCUUACUCCUCACAUUACCAUCAUCCGACAUAGUAUGACGACAUCUUAGCCCCUUGUAUUCACAUCACGCGGUGUUCAAACCGCACAAGCCACGAGGCCUUUUUUUAACGAGAGUGGUGUACCCAAGCACCCCUACUGAAAUUGGCAUUCCCUUGAUCCAAAGAAAGAAAGAGUAAAAAAACCAAACACUCCCCCCCACACACACCUCCAGUGUUCCUAUGCACCGAAUUGUACACAACCAAUAGUUUCUACAUUACUACAUAUGAAUGAUGCUUACAGUUGAAAUAAAAGGCAACUCAUUGUCGCUUACAACUAAAUAGAAAAAGGCUACUAGGAGUAGAGUUUGACAUGGGCCAAAGUAAGUGCAUUAUAUAUCCUUAUUUCUAGUGCGUGAUUGCCACCCAAGAUUGCAAUAGAACACCGGGUCAACUGACAAUCCAAUCCCUGGUGUUCUAUUAUAUCUCAAGUUAAAUACUAAAAAGAGCUACUAUGAGUAGAGUAUGAGAUGAACCAGAGUAAGUGCAUUAUGUAUAUCCUCAAUUAUAGUGUGCGGUCACCACCCAAGAUUGCAACAGAACACCAAGUUGGUUGAUGAAACCAAUCUAGUCCAAUCCCUUAUUGAACUAAAAGUCGGUAUAUGUACUUAGGAGUUGCCUAACUAAAGCAUGCAGUUCAACUUGAUAGAUCUAGUAAGAUUCAACUCGAUAAUCGUUUAAUUCCUAAUGGUUUUUAGAAAAAAAAUAGUUACAAUAACUAACUCAAACGAAAUAUAAGUGAACAAUCAAACAUCGAACGGCUCCACAUGGCUUCCAAAUAAAAGUAAUUAUCAGAUCGAGUAAUAAAUUGUUUAUUCCUUGCUCUCAAUAUGAGGUUAUACAUAACAUAUUUUGGUCUAUCGUAACAAGUACUAGCUAGUAUUUCAGUCUCUACUAGCAAAUGUUGCAAUAGCAAACAGCCUUCAUGGCGUUCUUCUUCUCACAGUGGUAGUCCUUGAGGCUGCCCUUCCUAUCACGUGCAAACACCUCACACGUGGCCUUGCACAGCGGCUUGGUGCAGAAAAACUCCCCGCCGUCGUCAACGACCGCGCAAUUCUCUGCACAACACCAACAAAACAGAAACCACUAUAUUAGAAUAUUAGCGACAAACCCCCCAUUAGAUUAGAUUAUACGUGUUUGACAAACACAAUUAAACACACCUGCAGAAAUAGGAGUACCCACAAGUGCUAGCACCACGAGGAAGCAAACAAUAGCAGCCCGUGUGUCCAUCCCAAGAGUUCUCUCUUUUUUUGAACUAGGAAGGAAAAAUAUGUGUUCUCUUCGUCUAUUUUAAUUUGGCUAUGGGGCUAAUGUUUAUGUCUUGGAGUGCUUGGAGUGUUGUCUUAUAUAGACUUAUUGAAAGGGACAAAAAUAAAAGCAUUUAAAUCCUUGUUAAACUUAGAAAAAGAGAUAGAGGUGAGUCACACCCCAAAAAUGGAAGCACUUAAUGCUGGGUGAGAAAUUAAAUGAAAAAGGCAAAGAAUAUAUGAGUGAUGUUUAUCUAAUAAUUAAGGCUAUAAUUUUCGACUACAAAAUAAGCAUGACCAUUCAAAAAAAUGGAGUCAUCGUUUUGUGGCUGGUGACAUUGAUCAAAAAUGUUUUUGUUAUAAAAAAUGUCUAGCCACUUUAAUUGCAAGCACCAUUGUGCACUGAAAUUCAAUUGACUUCAACAAAACAAUCAAUAUGAAUUGCAUCUUGAUAUGUAAUCAGCUAAAACUAAGAUUGUAUGUUGUCUCGAGUUGACUAAAUCUCCAUGUUUGGCUAGACAAUGUUUCAAACUGUGUCAAUUUGCACGGCACCUGGGACAAUGCAAUGUCAAAUCUUGCACUAUUUUAAACCACCACAAGAUAAGCAACCUGAGUUGGGCCCAUGCCUCUUGCCACCCGCUGGCGUCCACCUCGAAAUCUAUACCAAUAUAAUUUUUGUGUCACAUGAAUCAUAUAGUAUUGGUCUAAAAUAUCUUUUCUCUCGUUGCAAAAUAUAAAAGAAAAAUCGGCACAACAAUAUUAUAUAGACCCAUCGCAACACUAGCAUGCUUCACAGUGGGUGGGUCCCAUGUAAAUACAUUUGGAAAUACCUCAAAAAUGCAUAUGUGUAUUAUUUAUUAUUGUCCAAGAAUUCCACAUGCUCACUCACAACAAACUGUUGAAGAAUUCCGUGCAACUUAGAAACUAACGUAUGCAACAAUGUGAUCACAACAUUUGUGUUAGGACUUACAAAACUACAUUACAUUGUAGCAUGUCACACAUGUGUAUGUAGUAUAACGCAAAUGAGUUCACAGCAGACCAAAACAACAAAUGGUAACUACAAAAAAAUUCCAUAAAUCUAACAUUUUACAACCAAAAAAUUUGGUGGGCACUGACCUCACCUCAUCAAACUUGCUCUAAUAUUCUAGUUAGUGUAAAGUUUUGGUUUAAGCUAAAGUUGCUCUAGUAUUAUACCACAACAAAAAGGAAAGAAAUGGGGGAAAACAAAGAAGAGCAGAGCAGGGUGGGUUACUUGGAUCUAAGCCGACCAAUAUAAAUCGCAUUGCCCUCCUAAAUCCUGAUUACUCAAGCCGGCCCAAAAUUGAGGGGCCACUAAAAUAGAAGUUGAGCCUAUGGUGCAAGAACAGAAAACCCGCCUAAGCCAUUGGAUUGGAUAUGGAUGGCACAUGAUCUGGUUGAGCGAUCUCAGGCCACUUAAUGUAUAUUUUAUGAAAAAAACCUAUUAACAGUUAGGUAUAAAACAAAACAUUGGCGGUGACCACCUUAAGUAUCUCAUCUCCCAAUCCAAUAGUGGAGUUAACGACCAUUUACAGAUUUCAGGUUUUUUCCAGCGACCAUUUAUAGAAUUUGCACAUCCUCAUAUCCUAUAAGUUUUAUAAAAUAUAUUUUCACAUAUCGAGCACAAAUAUAUGGUUGUAAGAAUGAAGAACUCAUACUCAUGCUUGUUUUAAUUCUAGUAUUUACACCCCUAAGGUUGUUAAGGUCCGGUUACAAAAACUCAAAUUUAAUUCUCUUAUAAGAACUUGGUAGAGCCCUGUCAUAGUGCACAUCCUCUCAUGGAUUCGAUAACUCAGGUUUGCUCCUUCGGGAAAAGGCAGGGAAACCUUUGCUAUCCAAACCGGAUCUCAAAGAGCACCACCCAUCUCUCACCCUACUCGAUGAUACAACAUCGACAACAAGGUACGUGUGUAACAAACCGUCUGCUCCCUCGCUCUGUCACUAUGGUGCUAUUCAUCACAUCAAGUCGGGACCCAUUUCCUUCCUUUUGAGGUUAAAAAUUAAGGUUUCUAGUCUAUAUGAGGGCCUUCGGAUUCAACUUAUAAGAAUGUUAGUUCAAAUAUAAUGAUGAUUAUUUCAAGUGGAUGGUUAUGUGAACUAUGUUGGUAGAGUGGUGGGCGAUGACUGUUGCGGCGGACUUCAGGGAUGUUUGAUCUAUCCACCUGGCUUGAUCAAGCAGCAUCGACAUUCGUGCAUCAUUGUUUUGUUGAAUGUGUUGGUUCGAUUUGCUUGUUGCAGGGGUGAUAGCCUCUGGUCCGACGUUUGGUUACACGAGACAAUAAGCUCCCCUUGUAAAGGUGUAUGAUGUGGGAAUUAUGUGUUGUACUCCUCAGGUGCAAACGCACGUAUAUGUGAUGUACAGGAGUAGGCCACGACCUCAACUAUACAAGGCAGCUAGGAGGUGGGCCCAAUACACAAAUAUGCACAACACAUAUACUCAACACCCCCCCCCCCACGCAGUCGAAGCGGCACUGCGCUGACGCAAAGACUGGACCAGAACUCCUCAAAUGACGCCGUAGGCAAGUUGUUGGUCAUGAUAUCUGCAAAUUGUUGGGAAGUAGGGACGUGUAAAACACGAAUAUGGUCGAGGGCCACCUGUUCCCAAACAAAAUGAAUAUCCAACUCAAUAUGCUUGGUCCGUCGAUGAUGCACCGGGUUAGCGGAGAGGUAGACCGCUGAGACGUUGUCACAAUAGACCACCGUGGCACGGUCAAUAGGGAAAGAGAGCUCCUGAAGCAGCUAGCGAAGCCACGAACACUCAGCGACGGUGUUGGCCAACGCACGAUACUCAACUCAGCACUGGAACGAGAGACCGUAAGCUGUCGCAUGGAUGACCACGAGAUAAGUGAGGGUCCAAGGUAGACACAAUAGCCCGAGGUGGAGCGACGAGUGUCAGGGCAGCCCGCCCAGUCUGCAUUGGAGUAGGCGGUGAGGGCUGUGUCGGCAGAGGCAUGAAGCGUGACACCAAGAUCCAUAGUGCCACAGACAUAGCGGAGAAUCCGUUUGACAACAGCCUAGUGAACAUCUCGAGGAGCAUGCAUAUGAAGACACACCUACUGCACGACAUACUGGAUCUCCGGUCGAGUUAAAGUGAGGUACUGAAGAGCACCAACAAUAGACCAAUAAAAAGCAGCAUCCGAAGCAGGAGAACCAUCCGUGAAGAAAGCUUGGCCUUCGUAUCAACAGGCAUAGCAGCAGGCAUGCAGUUAAGCAUGUUGGCCCGCUCCAGGAGCUCACAAGCAUACUUCCGCUUAUGAAGGAAGAAUCCAUCCAGACGGCACAGCACCUCAACACUGAGGAAGUUGUGCAAAGGACCCAAGUCCUUGAUGGCAAACUCAGCGCGAAGACGAGCCGUGAGCUGACUGAGGAGACCAGCCGUACAUGCCGUCAGGAUGAUGUCGUCGACAUAGAGCAAAAAGUAGGCCAUGUCAGAGCCCUAAUGAUAGACGAAGAGCGAGGCAUCCGAGCGGGUGGAGCGGAACCCAAGCUGGUGGAGAAACGCUGCGAUGCGGUGGUACCAAGCACGCAGAGCCUGCUUGAGUCCAUACAAGGACCGCGAAAGCAGGCACACGUGGUCGGGAAGCGUCGGGUCAACAAACCCAGUGUGCUGCUGGCAGAAGACCUGCUACUCUAGCUGACCAUGGAGGAAGGCAUUGGAGACAUCCGUCUAGUGCACCGGCCAAGCACGGGAGACCGCAACGUGAAGAACCGUGUGUAUCGUGCUGGGCUUGACGACCGGAGUGAAUGUGUCGAUGAAGUCGAUGCCAGCAUGCUGUCGGAAGCCACGGACGACCUAGCGCGGUUUGUAGCGAUCAAGGGUACCAUCGGGACGGAGCUUGUGUUUGAAGACCCACUUCCCGGUAAUCACGUUGGCGUGCUGGGGAUGGUUAACAAGCUGCCACGUUCAGUUGUGCAUGUAACAUCCCAAAUUUUCAAUUUGGAAUGUUAUACACUAGAUCAUCAUUGCAUAUCAUAUUUAUUGCAUUUUGGUUGGUCCUAGAAAUUUUUCUCAACUCAAGGACCAUCGGAGAGAGUUGGGGAUUUCGUUAUUUUCAUAUUUGAGUUGUCUCUAAUUUUGAAAAUAGGGUCAUUUGAUUUUAUUUAUUUUAUCUUCAAUAAAUUUCUAUCACAAAAAUAUGAGAGAGGGAAUAAAAUGACUUUCCCAAAAUAAAGAAAUAUUGAGGAUUUAAUAAAAAAUCAAAUAAGAUUUUAUUUGGUUUUAUUUGCUAUUUAUUUGAAUUAGGAAAAAAUGCGCGUUUUUCAAAAUUGUAUUUAGGCCCCAAAUAAAUGUUCAUCCUGUGCGGCUUGAUUUUAGAAGCCGGAGAAAAUUUAUUUCGGGAUUUUUGGAGUCCGUUUAGUAUUUCUUUUAUUUUUUUUUCUGCGCGUUAUUAUUAAAAAAACGCGAACUGACUCCGGGCCGUACCCGAGCGGGACUCCGCCCGGGGCAGCCCUUAUAAGCCGCCGCCCGGGGCCCGAGUCAGCCCACCCGGGCCGAAACCCUAGCCCCGAUGCCGCCAGCGCCGCCGCCCGCCGCCGCCUCGCCGCUCGCCGGACCCGCCGCCCGGUUUUUUUUAAUCCGCGGUUUAUUUUUCAGAUUCGUUUUUUUAUUAAAACGGUUUUUUCGGUUUAGACUAAUUAGCGAGCUUUCGCUCGUUCGUUCGUUUUAACGAACAUGUUCGUCGUUUAGAUCCAGUUAACGAACGUUCGUUCGUUAGACUGUUCGUCGUUUUUCUUUUUCUCGGAUUAAAUCCACGAUUUUUCUGAUCGCGAUUUCUGAUCCGAUUUUUGUUUUAGUAUAACUUUUCGCUCGUUUAUCGGAAUCAGGCGAUUCAAGCGCCUGGAGUUUCGUCUCAAAACGCUCUUUCCGUUUAACCAACUUAAACAAGUUUUUGCCACUGUAAAAAUUGCCCUAGACCCAGAAUAGUAAACGAAGUCUGUUUCUUUUGCCGUUUGUCUUUCGUUGCUUCGUUCGAUUUGAUUCUUUUUGCCAGCCGGAGUUCUUAAGUUGAACUUUCUGGUUAGAUCUCUUAUUUGAGUUUUACUUGUGCAUUAGUUGAGUACUUAUUGUAUGCUUGUUUGUUUGCGAUAGAGUACCCGGAGUGCACCGCUUGUUACAUCGAAUCACUAAGUUUCGCGGAUCAUCAGCAAGGCAAGUAACACUUUGAUCAUACCCUCUACUACCCAGUUUUAUUGCAUUAGAUUAACCCUUAUACAUUGCAUGAUUAGGAUCUAAUUAAAUUGUGGGUUUGGGAAGUAGUUGAGGUAGUACCUAUUACCUAUUUAUUAUCAAACCUUUGGGAGUUACUUCUACGUUUGUUUAUUUUUGCUAUGAUAUGCUAGUAGACGUGGAUUGGGUGAGUGAUAUCCAUGACAGAUGUGAGAUUUUUAAAUCAAUGGUUUAUCUAUGGUGGCAACUUAAAUACACAUCUGGGUGGAUUGAGGUACCUGGGUAUUCCAGGAUUGCCUGUUUUCUUUUGGACCGCCACCCAGGCUCAAAGGGAUCAUGAGAUUUUUCAUGCUAGAAACUUCCGUGUGCAGCCACAAGCUAUUACGGGCUCUAGCAUAGUUGACUAAGUUGUGCAAACUCUUACAGUGGUAGACUAGCAGAUGUAGGGGAUGUAGGUGGUACGGUCUACCCAUCGUAAGGUGCUAGCGCUUCUGAAAGACUAUGUCUCGGUCAUCCGUUUCUCAAACACCGUGUAGUGCGAGAAUCCAAACGGAGGUGAUCGAGUCUUGUGGGGAAAAUUGCGCAAACCUCUGCAGAGUGUAUAAACUAAUCAUGAUUAGUCGUGUCCCCGGUUAUGGACAUCUUGAGUAUCUAGUACCUGGAUUAUCAUGUGAAUCUCAACAUGUUACUAUAAAUUUUAAUUUGAUGGGUUUGUUUAAUGAUGUUACUUAAUUGGGAUUGAGGAUGCUGUCAACCAUUCUCAAUGUUGAACAACCACCAUAAUAGUUAAAUAAAAAUUUAUUCCUUUGCAGUAGGGAAAAAUUGGCUUUACGCAAAACUGUAACCAUAGAGCUUUCCACCAGCCAAAUAUGCAUAUAGUAUAGCUGUUUCAUUCCAUUACUCUCUACGUGUUACAUUGCCAGCAUAUUCCAUGUGCUGACCCGUUUUCGGGCUGCAACGUUAAUGUUGCAGACUUUUCAGACGAUGAUUAAGGAGUUUUAGGUCGUGGUUCUAUACUCAGUGAUGCCGUUGGAGUUGAUGGACUCACGUAUCUUCCAAGCCUUCCGCUGUUAUCGUUAUUAGAUGGACUUAAGCCAUAUUUAUUGUAAUAAGUUCUCUAUUGAGACACUCGAUGUAAUAAGUGUGCGAUUGCUACUCUGUUAUUUUUCCUUUCAAGUACUGUGUGGUGUCAGCAUUACUGAUCCAGGGAUGACACCAGAGCAUAGAGAUUGGACCGUUUGAGGUCUGGUCGCUACAAGAUGGUAUCAGAGCACACGCUGACUGUAGGACACGACCACUAAGCUAAAGACCUAGAUCACUACUCACUCUUCUCUUCUGGCCUCUCCUCUUUUCUAUUCUUUAGGAUGGCGGAUGCAAGGAACAAGUUCACACAACCGGACGAAGAUACACCCUUUGGACGUCACUUGAAGGAAGUCACUAGAUACCUGAACAUAGGAGUACCAAGCUUCACCGGAACCUACAAUGCCACUUUACCUGAAGAAGAGCGCUGGAUGAUUCAAGUUCAAGUUCCAGGAAGGACGUUCAUGCCAGUCAGAGCCCAUAGAGUUUUCUUUUGAUGCACCAACUUGGAGUCUAGCAAAGAGCAUGGCAGCUCACAUCGCCAUGGGACGCAUUGGAGAAUCCUACCGCAAUGAUCUCAAGGAUACUAUCUACCAGAUUUGUGGGCGCCGAGAUGAGCACUGGGAGAUGAUUAGCACCAGAAAGGAUAGAUCAAUUGCAGCUUUUAUCCAGGAGUUAAACCAGCACAUUCGACGUCAUGAGAUUCAGAUGUGCGCCGACAUGAUAGACCUGAAGAAGGCAAGGACAAGAAUCAAGGAACUGGAGGAAGAACUCAAGGCUACACGUGAAGAUUAUGAAGAGGAAAUCGAAGUAUUAGUGGGGAAGAAUGACGAUCUGAUCAAGAAGAUUGUAAUAUUUAUGGGAGGCCCUACGCCAGUAGAUGAAGACGAAGAACCCAAGGAGAUUCGCCCGGAAGAUUACAUCAUCAUCAAUGACACCGACUGGGAUAUAGAUGAUAGCGAUGAUGACUAUGUUGAUGAAGCUGGAGCAGAUAUCAUGGAGUCUGCAACCGAAGAAUAUUUCUAGUAGACCACCUGAUCAGUAGUAGUAGUCCACCAUGUAAAUAUAGUAGUCCGAGCACUUUUGCGAUAGUUAGAUCGAUUGUAUGCCCUUGUUUGAUUGAAUGAAGUGAAUUGUUUGCUUUUGCCUCAUGUGCAUAUGGGUAGGGUUUUCUCUUUAGACCCCCUCUAUUCUUAAAUCUCAUCUUUUCUAAACCCUCAGAUGCCUCCGAGACAUGACCCCAGAUUUACCUUUCCACCGGAGCUCACCCAGUUGAUCCAGCAGCAGAACACAUUGAUGUAGUUGCUAGUCCAGAAUCAGAAUCAGGGGAACAACAACAACAACCCACCACCACCACCACCACCACCUGUUGAUCACUUAGCCCGUUUUCUUAGGAUGAAUCCCCCGGUGUUUUCCAGUAGCACCGAGCCGAUAGUAGAAGAUGAUUGGCUCCUCAAGACAGCUAGAGAGUUGACCACAGCAGGAUGCACGGAUGCAGAGAAGGUGAAGGUUGCCGCACAUCAGCUUAAAGGACCCGCAGCAUCAUGGUGGGAGAAUUUCACAGCCACUUUCCCUGUUAGUACUGUCACAUGGGACCAGUUUCAGCAGGCUUUUUGAACUGCCCAUGUUUCAGCAGGAGCUAUGGCCAUGAAGAAGCGAGAGUUUCGCAACUUGCGCCAAGGAGAACGGACAGUUGGCCAGUAUGUGGAGGACUUUAGUAAGCUAGCACGUUAUGCCCCAGAUGACGUUGCUACGGAUGCCGCUAAGCAGGAGAAGUUUCUGGAAGGACUGAAUGAUGAGUUGAGCAUGCAGUUGAUGGUAGCAACCUUCAACAACUACCAGGAGUUGGUAGAUUGCGCUCUUAUGAUUGAAGGGAAGCAGCAGCAAAUUGAAAAUCGCAAGAGGAAGUAUGCACAAGGAAAGUACAGUUCAGGAGCUUAGCAGAAGCCACGAUUUACCCCUAGACCGGGAGGACAUUUUCAGCAUACCCAUAGAGGAGGAAGCUUGCACAAUCACAAUGGCCCCAGGAAUGGUAAUGGGAAUGGAGGAAGCAAUGGCCAAAACCGCACCAACCCAUCAACCCCAGCCAAGAAAGACCUGAGCCAAGUCACUUGCUUUAAAUGCCAGAAGACCAGACAUUAUGCCAAUGAAUGUCCUGAAUCACAGAAUGGAAAUGGCAAUGGAAGCUCUGGGAAGAAGCCGAACCCUUUUAACAGGGGACAGGUGAACCACGUUAACGUGGAGGAGGUUGAAGAGCAGCCGGAUGCAGUAAUCGUUAAGUUUUUGGUUAAGUCAUUUACUACACUCGUUCUUUUCGAUACUAGUGUAUCGCAUUCAUACAUAUCAAGGGGAUUUGUGGAUAAGUAUAAACUGCCAACCCAAGCCCUUAGGUCACCCAUGUUAGUAAUCUCGCCUGGAGCAGAAUAUAUGGCUAGUCUAUGGUGUGAUCGAUUACCAUUAAGGAUUGGUAACUAUGUUUUUCCCUCAGACCUAAUAUUAUUGGAAUCCCAAGGAUUGGAUGUGAUAUUAGGCAUUGAUUGGUUAUCAAAGUAUGAUGGGAAUAUUGAAUGUGCUAGUAAGUCAAUUUUUCUUACCACCCCAGAAGGGAGAAGGAUCAAGUAUGUAUCCCGACAUGUGCCAAAGAGGACUCAAGUAAAUUGCUUAACAGGAGUUGUGCAGGAAGAAGUACCAGUAGUGAAGGAUUUCCCUGAAGUAUUUCCAGAAGAGUUGCCAGGCAUGCCACCGGAUAGAGAUAUUGAAUUUUUGAUUGAGCUAUUGCCAGGCAUAGGGCCAAUAUCAAAGAGACCAUAUAGGAUUCCUGCAAAGGAUUUGGUGGAAAUUAAGAAGCAAAUUAAGGAGUUACUAGAUAAAGGUUAUAUUCGCCCAAGUUCUUCACCUUGGGGAUCGCCAGUACUUCUAGUGGAGAAGAAGGAUGGAUCGUUAAGGAUGGUUGUCGAUUAUCGAGGAUUGAAUGAAGUAACCAUCAAGAACAAGUACCCACUACCGAUGAUCAAUGAUCUGUUUGAUCGAUUGCAAGGAGCUAAGGUAUUUUCCAAGAUCGAUCUGCGAUCAGGAUACCACCAGUUGAAGAUUCGGGAACAUGAUAUACCCAAGACGGCUUUUACCACCAGUUAUGGGCUGUACGAGUAUACCGUUAUGUCAUUUGGUCUGACUAACGCACCUGCAUAUUUUAUGAACAUGAUGAACAAUGUGUUUAUGGAGUUCUUGGAUAAGUUCGUCGUAGUGUUCAUUGAUGAUAUCCUGGUUUACUCAAAGAACGAAGAAGAGCAUAAGGAACAUUUGCGUUUGGUUCUUGGAAAGCUCAGGGAACAUCAACUAUAUGCCAAGUUUAGCAAAUGUGAAUUUUGGUUGAAGGAAGUUGGAUUUCUCAGACAUGUUAUAUCCGGAGAAGGUAUAGCAGUAGAUCCCACUAAAGUUGAAACCGUGACCAAGUGGGAAGCACCAACCACCGUGGGAGAGAUCCGGAGUUUUCUUGGACUCGCAGGAUACUAACGGAGGUUUAUUGAGAAUUUCUCAAAGAUUGCGAAGCCUAUGACUGAGUUGUUGAAGAAGGAUACCAAGUUCUUAUGGACAGAGGAAUGUGAGGCUAGUUUUCAGGAGUUGAAGAAACAUUUGGUUACUUCACCAGUGUUGAUUUUGCCAGACCAGACCAAGGAUUAUGAGGUAUAUUACGACGCUUCACGUCGAGGACUUGGAGCAGUGCUUACGCAGGAAGGGAGAGUUGUUUCAUAUGCCUCACGACAGCUUAAGCCUCAUGAGUUGAAUUAUGCUACGCAUGAUUUGGAGUUAGCAGCCGUAGUGCAUGCACUGAAGACUUGGAGACAUUUUCUGAUUGGAAACCAUUGCGAAGUGUACACGGAUCAUAAGAGUCUGAAGUAUAUUUUCACACAGAAGGAGUUGAACCUCAGACAAAGGAGAUGGUUGGAGCUCAUCAAGGGUUAUGAUAUGAAAUUGCAUUAUCACCCCGGAAAGGCUAAUGUAGUAGCUGACGCAUUAAGGCGUAAGAGCCAUGUCAACACCCUAAUGACGGGAGAAUUACCAAAGGAUUUAGCCGAAAAUCUUCGAGAGUUAUGUUUAGAAAUAGUCCCGAGAGGCUAUGUAGCAGCAUUGGAGAUUCAGUCUACUUUGAUGGAUAAAAUCAGAGAAGCCCAAAGGACUAACAAGGAGAUUGCUUCUAUCAAAGAGAAAAUUUGCAAAGGAAAAGCUAAGGGAUUUCGUGAGGAUGAGCACGAUACCUUAUGGUUUGAAGACCGUGUCUAUGUACCAAAUGAUUUGGAGAUCAGGAAACUAAUUCUGCAAGAGGCCCAUGACUCACCAUACUCAAUUCACCCAGAAAAUACCAAGAUGUAUUUGGAUUUGAAGGAUAUUUUCUAGUGGACCGGAAUGAAGAAGGAUAUUGCGGAGUACGUAGCAGUUUGUGAUGUAUGUCAGAGAGUGAAGGCAGAGCAUCAUAAGCCAGCAGGAUUGCUACAACCAUUGCCGAUACCCGAAUGGAAGUGGGAUAAGCUAGGCAUGGAUUUUAUUACAGGAUUUCCCAGAACACGUUCAGGCUAUGACUCGAUAUGGGUUGUAGUCGAUCGUUUGACAAAGGUAGCUCAUUUCAUUCCAGUGAAGACUACCUAUACCAGUGCGAAGUUGGCAAAGAUAUGCAUGACCAGGAUCGUAUGUCUGCAUGGAGUUCCAAGGAGCAUUGUAUCGGAUAGAGGGACCCAGUUUACUUCAAAGUUCUGGAAUCAGUUGCAUGAGACUUUGGGAACCAGACUAGAGUUUAGCACAGCUUUCCACCCACAAACAGAUGGACAGACUGAGAGAGUCAACCAGAUCUUGGAGGAUAUGCUAAGAGCUUGUGCGCUAGAUUACGGAUCUAGUUGGGAUGAGAAUUUGCCAUAUGCAGAGUUCUCUUACAACAACAGCUAUCAAUCUAGUUUGAAGAUGGCCCCUUUCGAAGCCCUGUACGGAAGGAGGUGCAGGACCCCAUUGACCUGGGAUGAAGUUGGAGAUCGCCAGUUGUUUGGACCGGAUCUGAUAAAGGAAUAUGAACAGAAGUGAAAUUAAUUCGCGACAGGCUAAAGGUAGCUCAAUCCAGGCAGAAGAGUUAUGCGGAUUCUAAAUGCAAGGAGACCGAGUUUAUCUUCGAGUAUCACCACUUCGAGGAGUUAAGCGCUUUGGAGCUAAGGGAAAGUUAGCGCCACGUUUUGUAGGCCCAUACAAAGUAUUGGAACGUAUGGGAGAAGUAGCCUACAAGUUGGAAUUGCCUGAAGGAUUGUUAGGAGUUCACGACGUAUUUCAUGUAUCCCAGUUGAAGAAGUGCCACGCGGAGAUGGCUGACAUACCACUGAGAGAUACGGUACCACUGGAAGCAAUUCAGUUGGACAGUGAUUUGACUUAUGAGGAGGAACCAGUUAAGAUUCUAGAGUAUGCCAGUCGAGUCACCCGCAGCAAGGUUAUCAAGUUUUGCAAGGUUCAGUGGAGCCACCACACGGAGGAUGAAGCCACCUGGGAACGAGAGGAAGAUUUGCUGAAGGACCACCCUCACCUAUUUUCUAGCCAACCCGAAUCUCGAGGGCGAGAUUCAUCUUAAGGGGGGUAGGUUUGUAACAUCCCAAAUUUCCAAUUUGCAAUGUUAUACACUAGACCAUCAUUGCAUAUCAUAUUUAUUGCAUUUUGGUUGAUCCUAGAAAUUUUUCUCAACUCAAGGACCAUCGGAGAGAGUUGGGGAUUUCGUUAUUUUCAUAUUUGAGUUGUCUCAAAUUUUGAAAAUAGGGUCAUUUGAUUUUGUUUAUUUUAUCUUCAAUAAAUUUCUAUCACAAAAAUAUGAGAGAGGGAAUAAAAUGACUUUCCCAAAAUAAAGAAAUAUUGAGGAUUUAAUUAAAAAUCAAAUAAGAUUUUAUUUGGUUUUAUUUGCUAUUUUAUUUGAAUUAGGAAAAAAUGUGCGUUUUUCAAAAUUGCAUUUGGGCCCCAAAUAAAUGUUCAUCCUGUGCGGCUUGAUUUUAGAAGCCGGGGAAAAUUUAUUUCAGGAUUUUUGGAGUCCGUUUAGUAUUUCUUUUAUUUGUUUUUUGCGUGUUAUUAUUAAAAAAACGCGAACCGACUCUGGGCCGUACCCGAGCGGGACUCCGCCCGGGGCAGCCCUUAUAAGCCGCCGCCCGGGGCCUGAGUCAGCCCACCCGGGCCGAAACCCUAGCCCCGAUGCCGCCCGUGCCACCGCCCGCCGCCGCCUCGCCGCUCGCCGGACCCGUCGCCUGGUUUUUUUUAAAUCCGCGGUUUAUUUUUUUAGAUUCAUUUUUUUAUUAGAAUGGUUUUUUCAGUUUAGACAAAUUAGCGAGCGUUCGCUCGUUCGUUCGUUUUAACGAACGUGUUCGUCGUUUAGAUCCAGUUAACGAACGUUCGUUCGUUAGACUGUUCGUCGUUUUUCUUUUUCUUGGAUUAAAUCCGCGAUUUUUCUGAUCGCGAUUUCUGAUCCGAUUUUCAUUUUAGUAUAACUUUUCGCUCGUUUGUCGGAAUCAGGCGAUUCAAGCGCCUGGAGUUUUGUAUCGAAACCCUCUUUCCGUUUAACCAACUUAAACAAGUUUUUGCCACUGUAAAAAUUGCCCUAGAUCCAGAAUAGUAAACGAAGUCUGUUUCUUUUGCCGUUUGUCUUUCGUUGCUUCGUUCAAUUUGAUUCUUUUUGCCAGCCGGAGUUCUUAAGUUGAACUUUCUGGUGAGAUCUCUUAUUUGAGUUUUACCUGUGCAUUAGUUGAGUACUUAUUGUUUGCUUGUUUGUUUGCGAUAGAGUACCCGGAGUGCGCCGCUUGUUACUUCGAAUCACUAAGUUUCGCGGAUCAUCAGCAAGGCAAGUAACACUUUGAUCAUACCCUCUACUACCCAGUUUUAUUGCAUUAGAUCAACCCUUAUACAUUGCAUGAUUAGGAUCUAAUUAAAUUGUGGGUUUGGGAAGUAGUUGAGGUAGUACCUAUUACCUGUUUAUUAUCAAACCUUUGGGAGUUACUUCUACGUUUGCUUAUUUUUGCUAUGCUAUGCUAGUAGACGUGGAUUGGGUGAGUGACAUCCAUGACAGAUGUGAGAUUUUUAAAUCAAUGGUUUAUCUAAGGUGGCAACUUAAAUACACAUCUGGGUGGAUUGAGGUACCUGGGUAUUCCAGGAUUGCCUGUUUUCUUUUGGACCACCACCCAGGCUCAAAGGGAUCAUGAGAUUUUUCAUGCUAGAAACUUCUAUGUGCAGCCACAAGCUAUUAUGGGCUCUAGCAUAGUUGACUAAGUCGUGCGAACUCUUACAGUGGUAGACUAGAAGAUGUAGGGGAUAUAGGUGGUACGGUCUACCCAUCGUAAGGUGCUAGCGCUUCUAAAAGACUAUGUCUCGGUCAUCCGUUUCUCAAACACUGUGUAGUGCGAGAAUCCAAACGGAGGCGAUCGAGUCUUGUGGGGAAAAUUGCGGAAACCUCUGCAGAGUGUAUAAACUAAUCAUGAUUAGCCAUGUCCCCGGUUAUGGACAUCUUGAGUAUCCAGUACCUGGAUUAUCAUGUGAAUGUCAACAUGUUACUAUAAAUUUUAAUUUGAUGGGUUUGUUUAAUGAUGUUACUUAAUUGGGAUUGAGGAUGUUGUCAACCAUUCUCAAUGUUGAACAACCACCAUAAUAGUUAAAUAAAAAUUUAUUCCUUUGCAGUAGGGAAAAAUUGGCUUUACGCAAAACUGUAACCAUAGAGCUUUCCACCAUCCGAAUAUGCAUAUAGUAUAGCUGUUUCAUUCCAUUACUCUCUACGUGUUACAUUGCCAGCAUAUUCCAUGUGCUGACCCGUUUUCGGGCUGCAACGUUAAUGUUGCAGACUUUUUCAGACGACGAUUAAGGAGUUUUAGGUCGUGGUUCUAUACUCAAUGAUGCCGUUGGAGUUGAUGGACUCACGUAUCUUCUAAGCCUUCCGCCGUUAUCGUUAUUAGAUGGCCUUAAGCCAUAUUUAUUGUAAUAAGUUCUCUAUUGAGACACUCGAUGUAAUAAGUGUGUGAUUGCUACUCUGUUAUAAACCCUUCAAGUACUGUGUGGUGUCAGCAUUACUGAUCCAGGGAUGACACCGGAGCACAGAGAUUGCACCGUUUGAGGUCUGGUCGCUAUAGUGCAACAGGACGUGAAACUCCUCUUGCAUCGCAGCCAUCCAGAGCGGGUCACGAAGAGAGGCUCGAACGGAGGACGGCAACAGCAACGGCUCAGAGGUGGACGCCGCAUGGACGUAGUCAUCCGAGGCCUAGCGCAAGCUCAGGAGAAAAAUGCCCGUAUGGCCGCGGGUGACCGGACCGGCCACAUGCGCCGAAGGGGCCGCGGGCACCGGGGGCACCGGGGUCGCCGGGGGCGCCAGCAUGGGGGUUGUAGGAGGCGCCACAUGCAGGGGGCGCGCCUCAAAGCCAGGGGCUGAAGGAAAUAUGCCCUAGAAGCAAUAAUAAAGUUAUUAUUUAUUUCCUUAUUUCAUGAUAAAUGUUUAUUAUUCAUGCUAGAAUUGUAUUAACCGGAAACAUGAUACAUGUGUGAAUACAUAAACAACCAUAGUGUCACUACUAUGCCUCUACUUGACUAGCUCGUUGAUCAAAGAUGGUUAUGUUUCCUAACCAUAGACAUGAGUUUUCAUUUGAUUAAACGGGAUCACAUCAUUAGGAUAAUGAUGUGAUUGACUUGACCCAUUCUGUUAGCUUAGCACUUGAUCGUUUAGUUUGUUGCUAUUGCUUUCUUCAUGACUUAUACAUGUUCCUAUGACUAUGAGAUUAUGCAACUCCCGUUUACCGGAGGAACAUUUUGUGUGCUACCAAAUGUCACAACGUAACUGGGUGAUUAUAAAGGUGCUCUACAGGAGUCUCCGAAGGUACUUGUUGAGUUGGCGUAUUUCGAGAUUAGGAUUUGUCACUCCGAUUGUCAGAGAGGUAUCUCUGGGCCCACUCUAUAAUGCACAUCACUAUAAGCCUUACAAGCAUUUGUAACUAAUAAGUUAGUUGCAGGAUGAUGUAUAGCGGAACGAGUAAAGAGACUUGCCGGUAACGAGAUUGAACUAGGUAUUGAGAUACCGAUGAUCGAAUCUCGGGCAAGUAACAUAUCGAUGACAAAGGGAACAAUGUAUGUUGUUAUGCGGUUCGACCGAUAAACAUCUUCGUAGAAUAUUUAGGAGCCAAUAUGGGCAUCCAGGUUCCGCUAUUGGUUAUUAACCAGACAAAUGUCUCGGUUAUGUCUACAUAGUUCUCGAACCCAUAGGGUCCGCAUGCUUAACGUUCGUCGACGAUAUAGUAUUUAUGAGUUAUGUAUGUUGGUAACCGAAUGUUGUUCGGAGUUCUGGAUAAGAUCGCAGACAUGACGAGGAACUCCGGAAUGGUCCAGAGAUAAAGUUUGAUAUAUGGGAUAAUAGUGUUUGGUCUCCGGAAGGGGUUCUGGAUGUUUCUCGAAAUGUUUGGGUACGAGAACACUUUAUUUGGGCCAAAGGGGAAAGCCCACAAGGUUUUUGGAAAGCGCAAAAGGAAGUUUUGCGAAGUCCAGGGGCCAGACGCCAGGGUCCCUGGCGUCUGGGUCCAGACGCCGGGAACCCUGGUGUCUGGCCCUGGAGUCUGGGAAGGACUCUUGCCUUUCGGGUGAAACCGACUUUGUGGAGGCUUUUACUCCAAGUUUCGACCCCAAGGCUCAACAUAUAAAUAGAGGGGUAGGGCUAGCACCCAAGACACAGCAAGAAACACCAAACCGUGUGCCGGCUACCCCGUCCCAUCUAGUUUAUCCUCCGUCAUAGUUUUCGCAGUGCUUAGGCGAAGCCCUGCGGAGAUUGUUCUUCACCAACAUCGUCACCAUGCCGUCAUGCUAGCGGAACUCGUCUACUACUUCGCCCCUCUUGCUGGAUCGAGAAGGCGAGGACAUCAUCGAGCUGAACGUGUGCUGAACGCGGAGGUGUCGUACAUUCGGUACUUGAUCGGGACGGAUCUUGAAGGUGUACGACCACAUCAACCGCGUUGAUAAACGCUUCCGCUUACGGUCUACGAGGGUACGUAGACAACACUCUCCCCUGUCAUUGCUAUGCAUCACCAUGAUCCUGUGUGUGCGUAGAAUUUUUUUUGAAAUUACUACGUUCCCCGACAGUGGCAUCCGAGCCUGGUUUAUGCGUAGAUGUUAUAUGCACGAGUAGAACACAAGUGAGUUGUGGGCGAUACAAGUCAUACUGCUUACCAGCAUGUCAUACUUUGGUUCAGCGGUAUUGUUGGAUGAAGCGGCCCGGACUGACAUUACGUGUACGGUUACGCGAGACUAGUUCUACCGACGUGCUUUGCACAUAGGUGGUUGGCGGGUGUCAGUUUCUCCAACUUUCGUUGAACCGAGUGUGGCUACGCCCGGUCCUUGAGAAGGUUAAAACAGCACUAACUUGACGAACUAUCGUUGUGGUUUUGAUGCGUAGGUAAGAAUGGUUCUUGCUCAGCCCAUAGCAGCCACGUAAAACUUGCAACAACAAAGUAGAGGACAUCUAACUUGUUUUUGCAGGGCAUGUUGUGAUGUGAUAUGGUCAAGACAUUAUGCUAUAUUUAUUGUAUGAGAUGAUCAUGUUUUGUAACGGAGUUAUCGGCAACUGGCAGGAGCCAUAUGGUUGUCGCUUUAUUGUAUGCAAUGCAAUCGCCCUGUAAUUGCUUUACUUUAUCACUAAGCGGUAGCAAUAGUCGUACAAGCAAUAGUUGGCGAGACGACAACGAUGCUACGAUGGAGAUCAAGGUGUCGCACUGGUGACGAUGGUGAUCAUGACGGUGCUUCAGAGAUGGAGAUCACAAGCACAAGAUGAGGAUGGCCAUAUCAUAUCACUUAUAUUGAUUGCAUGUGACGUUUAUCCUUUAUGCAUCUUAUUUUUCUUUGUUUGAAUAGCAUUAUAAGAUGAUCUCUCACUAAAUUCAAGAUAAAAGUGUUCUCCCUGAGUAUGCACCGUUGCCAAAGUUCGUCGUGCCGAGACACCACGUGAUGAUCGGGUGUGAUAAGCUCUACGUCCAUCUACAACGGGUGCAAGCCAGUUUUGCACACGCAGAAUACUCGGGUUAAACUUGACGAGCCUAGCAUAUGCAGAUAUGGCCUCGGAACACUGAGACCGAAAGGUCGAGCGUGAAUCAUAUAGUAGAUAUGAUCAACAUAAUGAUGUUCACCAUUGAAAACUACUCCAUUUCACGUGAUGAUCGGUUAUGGUUUAGUUGAUAUGGAUCACGUGAUCACUUAGAUGAUUAGAGGGAUGUCUAUCUAAGUGGGAGUUCUUAAGUAAUAUGAUUAAUUGAACUUAAAUUUACCAUGAACUUAGUACAUGAUAGUAUUUUGCUUAUCUAUGUUGUUGUAGAUAGAUGGCCCGUGUUGUUGUUCUGUUGAAUUUUAAUGUGUUCCUUGAGAAAGCAAAGUUGAAAGAUGAUGGUCGAAAUUACACGGACUGGGUCCGUAACUUGAGGAUUAUCCUCAUUGCUGCAUAGAAGAAUUACGUCCUGGAAGCACCGCUAAGUGCCAAACCUGCUGCAGGAGCAACACUAGAUGUUAUGAACGUCUGAAGAGCAAAGCUGAUGACUACUCGAUAGUUCAGUGUGCCAUGCUUUACGGCUUAGAACCAGGACUUCAACGACGUUUUGAACGUCAUGGAGCAUAUGAGAUGUUCCAGGAGUUGAAGUUAAUAUUUCAAGCAAAUGCCCGGAUUGAGAGAUAUAAAGUCUCCAAUAAGUUCUAUAGCUGCAAGAUGGAGGAGAAUAGUUCUGUCAAUGAGCAUAUACUCAAAAUGUCUGGGUAUCAUAAUCACUUGACUCAACUGGGAGUUAAUCUUCUUGUUGAUUGUGUCAUUGACGGAGUUCUUCAAUCACUGCCACCAAGCUACAAAAGCUUCGUGAUGAACUAUAAUAUGCAAGGGAUGAAUAAGACAAUUCAUGAGCUCUUCGCGAUGCUAAAGGCUGCGGAGGUAGAAAUCAAAAAGGAGCAUCAAGUGUUGAUGGUUAACAAAACCACCAAUUUUAAGAAAAAGGAUAAAGGGAAGAAGAAGAGGAACUUCAAGAAGAAUGGCAAACAAGUUGCUGCUCAGGAGAAGAAACCCAAGUCUGAACCUAAGCCUGAGACUGAGUGCUUCUACUGCAAACAGACUGGUCAGUAGAAGCGGAACUGCCCCAAGUAUUUGGCGGAUAAGAAGGAUGGCAAGGUGAACAAAGGUAUAUGUGAUAUACAUGUUAUUGAUGUGUACCUUACCAGAGCUCGCAGUAGCACCUGGGUAUUUGAUACUGGUUUUGUUGCUAAUAUUUGCAACUCGAAACAGGGACUACGGAUUAAGCGAAGACUGGCUAAGGACGAGGUGACGAUGCGCGUGGGAAAUGGUUCCAAAGUCGAUGUGAUCGCCGUCGGCACGCUACCUCUACAUCUACCUUCGGGAUUAGUUUUAGACCUAAAUAAUUGUUAUUUGGUGACAACAUUAAGCAUGAACAUUAUAUCUGGAUCUUGUUUGAUGCGAGACGGUUAUUCAUUUAAAUAUGAGAAUAAUGGUUGUUCUAUUUAUAUGAGUAAUAUCUUUUAUGGUCAUGCACCUUUGAAGAGUGGUCUAUUUUUGUUAAAUCUCGAUAGUAGUGAUACACAUAUUCAUAACGUUGAAGCCAAAAGAUGCAGAGUUGAUAAUGAUAGUGCAACUUAUUUGUGGCACUACCGUUUGGGUCAUAUUGGUAUAAAGCGCAUGAAGAAACUCCAUACUGAUGGACUUUUGGAAUUACUUGAUUAUGAAUCACUUGGUACUUGCGAACCGUGCCUUAUGGGCAAGAUCACUAAAAUGUCGUUCUCCGGAACUAUGGACCGAGCAAUAGAUUUGUUGGAAAUCAUACAUACUGAUGUAUGUGGUCCGAUGAAUAUUGAGGCUCGCGGCGGGUAUCGUUAUUUUCUCACCUUCACAGAUGAUUUGAGCAGAUAUGGGUAUAUCUACUUAAUGAAACAGAAGUCUGAAACAUUCGAAAAGUUCAAAGAAUUUCAGAGUAAAGUGGAAAAUCAUCGUAACAAGAAAAUAAAGUUUCUACGAUCUGAUCGUGGAGGAGAAUAUUUGAGUUAUGAGUUUGGCCUACAUUUGAAACAAUGCGGAAUAGUUUCGCAACUCACGCCACCCGGAACACCACAGCGUAAUGGUGUGUCCGAACAUCGUAAUCGUACUUUACUAGAUAUGGUGCGAUCUAUGAUGUCUCUUACUGAUUUACCACUAUCGUUUUGGGGUUAUGCUUUAGAGACGGCUGCAUUCACGUUAAAUAAGGCACCAUCAAAAUCUGUUGAGACGACGCCUUAUGAACUAUGGUUUGGCAAGAAACCAAAGUUGUCAUUUCUUAAAGUUUGGGGCUGCGAUGCUUAUGUGAAAAAUCUUCAACCUGAUAAGCUCGAACCCAAAUCGGAGAAAUGUGUCUUCAUGGGAUACCCAAAGGAAACUGUUGGGUACACCUUCUAUCACAGAUCCGAAGGCAAGACAUUCAUUGCUAAGAAUGGAUCAUUUCUAGAGAAGGAGUUUCUCUCGGAAGAAGUGAGUGGGAGGAAAGUAGAACUUGAUGAGGUAAUUGUACCUGCUCCCUUAUUGGAAAGUAGUUCAUCACAGAAACCGGUUCCUGUGACAUCUACACCAAUUAGUGUGGAAGCUAAUGAUGAUGAUCAUGAAACUUCAGAUCAAGGUACUACCAAACCUCGUAGGUCAACCAGAGUAAGAUCCGCACCAGAGUGGUACGGUAAUCCUGUUUCGGAGGUCAUGUUACUUGACCAUGACGAACCUACGAACUAUGAGGAAGCGAUGAUGAGCCCAGAUUCCACAAAAUGGCUUGAGGCCAUGAAAUCUAAGAUGGGAUCCAUGUAUGAGAACAAAGUGUGGACUUUGGUUGACUUGCCCGAUGAUCGACAAGCCAUUGAGAAUAAAUGGAUCUUCAAGAAGAAGACUGACGCUGACGGUAAUGUUACUGUCUAUAAAGCUCGACUUGUUGCGAAAGGUUUUCGAUAAGUUCAAGGAGUUGACUACGAUGAGACCUUCUCACCUGUAGUAAUGCUUAAGUCCGUCCGAAUCAUGUUAGCUAUUGCCGCAUUUUAUGAUUAUGAAAUUUGGCAAAUGGAUGUAAAGACUGCAUUCCUGAAUGGAUUUCUGGAAGAAGAGUUGUAUAUGAUGCAACCUGAAGGUUUUAUCGAUCCAAAGGGUACUAACAAAGUGUGCAAGCUCCAGCGAUCCAUUUAUGGACUGGUGCAAGCAUCUCGGAGUUGGAAUAAACUUUUUGAUAGUGUGAUCAAAGCAUAUGGUUUUAUACAGACUUUUGGAGAAGCCUGUGUUUACAAAAAAGUGAGUGGGAGCUCUGCAGCAUUUCUAAUAUUAUAUGUGGAUGACAUAUUAUUGAUUGGAAAUGAUAUAGAAUUUCUGGAUAGCAUAAAAGGAUACUUGAAUAAGAGGUUUUCAAUGAAAGACCUCGGUGAAGCUGCUUACAUAUUACGCAUCAAGAUCUAUAGAGAUAGAUCAAGACGCUUAAUUGGACUUUCACAAAGCACAUACCUUGACAAAGUUUUGAAGAAGUUCAAAAUGGAUCAGACAAAGAAAGGGUUCUUGCUUGUGUUACAAGGUGUGAAGUUGAGUAAGACUCAAUGCCCGACCACUGCAGAAGAUAGAGAGAAAAUGAAAGAUGUUCCCUAUGCUUCAGCCAUAGGCUCUAUCAUGUAUGCAAUGAUGUGUGCCUUGCUAUUAGUCUAGCAGGGAGGUACCAAAGUAAUCCAAGAGUGGGUCACUGGACAGCGGUCAAGAACAUCCUAAAAUACCUGAAAAGGACUAAGGAUAUGUUUCUCGUUUAUGGAGGUGACAAAGAGCUCAUCAUAAAUGGUUACGUUGAUGCAAGCUUUGACACUGAUCCGGACGAUUCUAAAUCGCAAACCGGAUACGUGUUUUUAUUGAACGGUGGAGCUGUCAGUUGGAGCAGUUCUAAAUAGAGCGCCGUGGCGGGAUCUACAUGUGAAGCGGAAUACAUUGCUGCUUCGGAAGCAGCGAAUGAAGGACUCUGGAUGAAGGAGUUCAUAUCCGAUCUAGGUGUCAUACCUAGUGCAUCGGGUCCAAUGAAAAUCUUUUGUGACAAUACUGGUGCAAUUGCCUUGGCAAAGGAAUCCAGAUUUCACAAGAGAACCAAGCACAUCAAGAGACGCUUCAACUCCAUCCGGGAUCAAGUUCAGGUAGGAGACAUAGAAAUUUGCAAGAUACAUACAGAUCUAAGUGUUGCAGACCCGUUGACUAAGCCUCUUCCACGAGCAAAACAUGAUCAGCACCAAGGCUCCAUGGGUGUUAGAAUCAUUCCUGUGUAAUCCAUAUUAUUGACUCCAGUGCAAGUGGGAGACUGAAGGAAAUAUGCCCUAGAGGAAAUAAUAAAGUUAUUAUUUAUUUCCUUAUUUUAUGAUAAAUGUUUAUUAUUCAUGCUAGAAUUGUAUUAACCGGAAACAUGAUACAUGUGUGAAUACAUAGACAAACAUAGUGUCACUAGUAUGCCUCUACUUGACUAGCUUGUUGAUCAAAGAUGGUUAUGUUUCCUAACCAUAGACAUGAGUUGUCAUUUGAUUAAACAGGAUCACAUCAUUAGGAGAAUGAUGUGAUUGACUUGACCCAUUCCGUUAGCUUAGCACUUGAUCAUUUAGUUUGUUGCUAUUGCUUUCUUCAUGACUUAUACAUGUUCCUAUGACUAUGAGAUUAUGCAACUCCCGUUUACCGGAGGAACACUUUGUGUGCUAUUCCCAACGUAACUGGGUGAUUAUAAAGGUGCUCUACAAGUGUCUCUGAAGGUACUUGUUGAGUUGGCGUAUUUCGGGAUUAGGAUUUGUCACUCCGAUUAUCGCAGAGGUAUCUCCGGGCCCACUCGGUAAUGCACAUCACUAUAAGCCUUGCAAGCAUUGUAACUAAUGAGUUACUUGCGGGAUGAUGUAUUGCGGAACGAGUAAAGAGACUUGCCGCUAACGAGAUUGAACUAAGUAUUGAGAUACCGACGAUCGAAUCUUGGGCAAGUAACAUACCGAUGACAAAGGGAGCAAUGUAUGUUGUUAUGCGGUUCGACCGAUAAAGAUCUUCAUAGAAUAUGUAGGAGCCAAUAUGGGCAUCUAGGUUCCGCUAUAGGUUAUUGACCAAAGAAAUGUCUCGGUCAUGUCUACAUAGUUCUCGAACCCGUAGGGUCCUCACGCUUAACGUUCGUUGAUGAUAUAGUAUUUAUGAGUUAUGUAUGUUGGUAACCGAAUGUUGUUUGGAGUUCCGGAUAAGAUCACGGACAUGACGAGGAACUCCGGAAUGGUCCGAGAGGUAAAGUUUGAUAUAUGGGAUAAUAGUGUUUGGUCUCCGGAAGGGUUCCGGAAUUCACCGGAAGGGGUUCCGGAUGUUUCCCAAAAUGUUUGGGUACGAGAACACUUUAUUUGGGCCAAAGGGGAAAAGCCCACAAGGUUUUUGGAAAGCGCAAAAGGAAGUUUUGCGGAGUCCAGGGGCCAGACGCCAGGGUCCCUGGCGUCUGGGUCCAGACGCCGGGAGCCCUCGCGCCUGGCCCUGGAGUCCAAGAAGGACUAUUGCCUUUCGGGUUAAACCGACUUUGUGGAAGAUUUUACUCCAAGUUUCGACCCCAAGGCUCAACAUAUAAAUAGAGGGGUAGGGCUAGCACCCAAGACACAUCAAGAAACACCAAGCCGUGUGCCGGCUACCCCGUCCCCUCUAGUUUAUCCUCCGUCAUAGUUUUCGUAGUGCUUAGGCGAAGCCCUACGGAGAUUGUUCUUCACCAACACCGUCACCACGCCGUCGUGCUGCCGGAACUCAUCUACUACUUCGCCCCUCUUGAUGGAUCGAGAAGGCGAGGACGUCAUCAAGCUGAACGUGUGCUGAACGCGGAGGUGCCAUACUGCUACUUCUUGAGCAUUGCGUUGGUUUUUCCCCGAAGAGGAAGGGAUGAUGGAGCAAAGUAGCGUAAGUAUUUCCCUCAGUUUUUGAGAACCAAGCUAUCAAUCCAGUAGGAGGCUACGUGUGAGUCCCUCGUACCUGCACAAAACAAAUAAAUCCUCGCAACCAACGCGAUAAGGGGUUGUCAAUCCCUACACGGCCACUUACGAGAGUGAGAUCUGAUAGAUAUGACAAGAUAAUAUUUUUGGUAUUUCUAUGAUAAAGAUGCAAAGUAAAAUAAAAGCAAAGGAAAAAAGCAAAGGAAAUAACUAAGUAUUGGAAGAUUAAUAUGAUGAAGUUAGACCCGGGGGCCAUAGGUUUCACUAGUGGCUUCUCUCAAGAGCAUAAGUAUUCUACGGUGGGUGAACGAAUUACUGUUGAGAAAUUGACAUAAUUGAGCAUAGUUAUGAGAAUAUCUAGGUAUGAUCAUGUAUAUGGGCAUCACGUCCGAGACAAGUAGACCGACUCCUGCCUGCAUCUACUACUAUUACUCCACUCAUCGACCGCUAUCCAGCAUGCAUCUAGAGUAUUAAGUUAAUGAAAACAGAGUAACGCCUUAAGCAAGAUGACAUGAUGUAGAGGGAUAAACUCAUGCAAUAUGAUGAGAACCCCAUCGUGUUAUCCUCGAUGGCAACAAUACAAUACGUGCCUUGCUGCCCCUACUGUCACUGGGAAAGGACACCGCAAGAUUGGACCCAAAGCUAAGCACUUCUCCCAUUGCAAGAAAGAUCAAUCUAGUAGGCCAAACCAAACUGAUAAUUCGAAGAGACUUGCAAAGAUAACCAAUCAUACAUAAAACAAUUCAGAGAAGAUUCCAAUAUUGUUCAUAGAUAGACUUGAUCACAAACCCACAAUUCAUCGAUCUCAACAAACACACCACAAAAAGAAGAUUACAUCGAAUAGAUCUCCAUGAGAGAGGGGGAGAACAUUGUAUUGAGAUCCAAAAAGAGAGAAGAAGCCAUCUAGCUAAUAACUAUGGACCCGUAGGUUUGAGGUAAACUACUCACACUUCAUCGGAAGGGCUAUGGUGAUGAUGUAGAAGCCCUCCGUAAUGGAUACCCACUCCGGCGGAGCUCUGGAAUAGGCCCCAAGAUGGGAUCUCGUAGCUACAGAAAGUUGUGGCGGUGGAAUUAGGGUUUUGGCUCCGUAUCUGAUCGUUUGGGGGUACGUAGGUAUAUAUAGGAGGAAGGAGUACGUCGGUGGAACAACAGGGGGGCCACGAGGGUGGAGGGCGUGCCUGGGGGGUAGGCGCGCCCCCUACCUCGUGGCCUCCUCCUUUGUUUCUUGACGUAGGGUCCAAGUCUCCUGGGUCAUGUUCGGCGAGAAAAUCACGUUCCCGAAGGUUUCAUUUCGUUUGGACUCUGUUUGAUAUUCCUUUUCUUUGAAACCCUAAAAUAGGCAAAAAAAACAGCAAUUCUGGGCUGGGCCUCCGGUUAAUAGGUUAGUCCCAAAAAUAAUAUAAAAGUGGAUAAUAAAGCCCAAUAAUGUCCAAAACAGUAGAUAAUAUGGCAUGGAGCAAUCAAAAAUUAUAGAUACGUUGGAGACGUAUCAAGCAUCCCCAAGCUUAAUUCCUGCUCGUCCUCGAGUAGGUAAAUGAUAAAAACAGAAUUUUUGAUGCGGAGUGCUACUUGGCAUAAUUUUAAUGUAAUUCUUCUUAAUUGUGGUAUGAAUAUUAAGAUCCGAAAGAUUCAAGAUAAAAGUUCAUAUUGACAUAAAAAUAAUAAUACUUCAAGCAUACUAACUAAGCAAUUAUGUCCUCUCAAAAUAACAUGGCCAAAGAAAUUUCAUCCCUACAAAAUCAUAUAGUUUAGUCAUGCUCCAUUUUCGUCACACAAGAAUGCUCUCAUCAUGCACAACCCCGAUGACAAGCCAAGCAAUUGUUUCAUACUUUAGUAAUCUCAAACCUAUAAAAUUUCACGCAAUAUAUGAGCGCGAGACAUGGAUAUAGCACAAUGGGCGAAAUAGAAUAUGAUGAUGGGGGUUAUGUGGAGAAGACAAAAAAAGGAGAAAGUCUCACAUCAACGAGGCUAAUCAAUGGGCUAUGGAGAUGCCCAUCGAUUGACGUUAAUGCAAGGAGUAGGGAUUGCCAUGCAACUGAUGCACUAGAGCUAUAAAUGUAUGAAAGCUCAACAAAAGAAACUAAGUGGGUGUGCAUCCAACUUGCUUGCUCACGAAGACCUAGGGCACUUGAGGAGGCCCAUUGUUGGAAUAUACAAGCCAAGUUCUAUAAUGAAAAAUUCCCACUAGUAUAUGAAAGUGACAAAACAAAAGACUCUCUAUCAUGAAGAUUAUGGUGCUACUUUGAAGCACGAGUGUGGAAAAAGGAUAGUAGUAUUGUCCCUUGUUUAUAUUAUUUUUUAUUUGGCCUUUCUUUUUUUUGGCCUUUUUUGGACAAUGCUCUAUGAAUGAUGGUCAUCACACUUCUAUUUACUUACAACUCAAGAAUUACAACUCGAUACUUAGAACAAGAUAUGACUCUAUAUGAAUGCAUCCGGCGGUGUACCGGGAUAUGCAAUGAACCAAGAGUGACAUGUAUGAAAGAAUUAUGAACGGUGGCUUUGCCACAAAUACUAUGUCAACUACAUGAUCAUGCUAAGCAGUAUGGCAAUGAUGCAUGUGUCAUGAUGAACGGAAUGGUGGAAAGUUGCAUGGCAAUAUAUCUCGGAAUGGCUAUGGAAAUGCCAUACUAGGUAGGUAUGGUGGCUGUUUUGAGGAAGAUAUAAGGAGGUUUAUGUGUGAAAGAGCGUAUCAUAUCACGGGGUUUGGAUGCACCGGCGAAGUUUGCACCAACUCUCAAUGUGAGAAAGGGCAAUGCAUGGUACCGAAGAGGCUAGCAAUGAUGGAAGGGUGAGAGUGCGUAUAAUCCAUGGACUCAACAUUAGUCAUAAAGAACUCACAUACUUAUUGCAAAAAUCUACAAGUCAUCAAAAACCAAGCACUAUGCACAUGCUCCUAGGGGGAUAGAUUGGUAGGAAAAUACCAUCGCUCGUCCCCGACCGCCACUCAUAAGGAAGACAAUCAAAUAACACCUCAUGCUUAAAAUUUGUUACAUAACAUUUACCAUACGUGCAUGCUACGGGACUUGCAAACUUCAACACAAGCAUUUGUCAAAUUCACAACUAAUCAACUAGCACGACUUUGAUAUUAUUACCUCCAUAUCUCAAAACAAUCAUCAAGCAUCAAACUUCUCUUAGUAUUCAAAACACUCAUAAGAAAAAUUUUAUUAAUCUUGAACACCUAGAAUAUUAGGAUUAUUUAAGCAAAUUACCAUGCUAUUUAAGACUCUCAAAAUAAUCUAAGUGAAGCAUGAGAGAUCAAUAGUUUCUAUAAAACAAAUCCACCACCGUGCUCUAAAAGAUAUAAGUGAAGUACUAGAGCAAAACUAUAUAACUCAAAUGAUAUAAGCGAAGCACAUAGAGUAUUCUAACAAAUUCCAAAUCAUGUAUGGCUCUCUCAAAAGGUGUGUACAGCAAGGAUGACUGUGUUAAAAUAAAAAUCAAAGACUCAAAUCAUAAAAGACGCUCCAAGGAAAACACAUAUCAUGUGGUGAAUAAAAAUAUAGCUCCAAGUAAAGUUACCGAUAGAAGUAGACGAAAAGAGGGGAUGCCCUCCGGGGCAUCCCCAAGCUUGGCUUUUAGGUGUCCUUAGAUUAUCUUGGGGGUGCCAUGGGCAUCCCCAAGCUUAGGCUCUUGCCACUCCUUGCUCCAUAAUCCAUCAAAUCUUUACCCAAAACUUGUAAACUUCACAACACAAAACUUAAAGUAGAAAAUCUCGUGAGCUCCGUUAGCGAAAGAAAACAAAAUACCACUUCAAGGUACUGUAAUGAACUCAUUCUUUAUUUAUAUUGCUGUUAAACUUACUGUAUUCUAACUUCUCUAUGGUUUAUAAACUAUUUUACUAGCCAUAGAUUCAUCAAAAUAAGCAAACAACACACGAAAAACAGAAUCUGUCAAAAACAGAACAGUCUGUAGUAAUCUGUAGCUAGCGCAAGAUCUGGAACCCCAAAAAUUCUAAAAUAAAUUUCUGGACGUGAGGAAUUUAUCUAAUCAUCUGCAAAAAUAAUUAACUAAAUAUCACCUUCCAAAUAAAAAUGGCAGCAGUUCUCGUGAGCACUAAAGUUUCUGUUUUUUACAGCAAGAUAUCAAGACUUUCCCCAAGUCUUCCCAACGGUUCUACUUGGCACAAACACUAAUUAAACACAAAAACACAACCUAAACAGAGGCUAGAUAAAUUAUUUAUUACUAAACAGGAGCAAAAAGCAAGGAAUAAAAAUAAAAUUGGGUUGCCUCCCAACAAGCGCUAUCGUUUAACGCCCCUAGCUAGGCAUAAAAAGCAAGGAUAGACCUAGGUAUUUCCAUCUUUGGUUUUUCAACUUUUUAGCGUAAUCAAGCUCGAAUCCGGGGGGUUCUUUACGUUUCCCUUCAUAUUCUUAAAUUUUUAGAUCUAACGAAUCCAACCGCUUAUUGCAAAGGGUAAUCAACAUAUUCAUGCGGUGGAGAUUCCCGCUAACGCAUUUAAGAGGUUCAAGAGACUUUUGUAAAAUCUUGGUUACUUCGCAAAUUUUCUCAAAAACUUGCGUUUUCUCUUGGGUAUGAUGAGGCCCCUUUUGUUGAGGUAGAGUUCCUACUAUACCUUCUAUAAUUUCAUGCGCAAUACUGGGAUCAAUUUCAAUAAAAUUGCCUUUGGCAACGCAAUCCAAAAGUUGUCUAUGAGACAUAUUUAGUCCAACAUAGAAGUUGCGAAGCAAAAUUCUAAAAUUCACCUCUAGGGUACAAUUACGAUAAGAUUCCAUCAUUAUAAACCAAGCAUCUUUUAAAUUUUUUACUUGCCUUUGUUUGAAGUGAAGAACCUCAAACUCGGGAGACAAAGGAGCAGAUAAGGGACUAGCCAUAACGACAAGCAAAUGGAAAAGAGGCGAACGGAAAAAGAGAGGGAGAAUAGAGAGAGAGGGCGAAUAAAACGGAAAGGGUGAAGUGGGGGAGAGGAAAACGAGAGGCAAAUGGAAAAUAAUGUAAUGCGGGAGAUAAGGAUUGUGAUGGGUACUUGGUAUAUUGCCUUUUGCGUAGACUCCCCGGCAACGGCGCCAGAAAUCCUUUUUCCUGCCUCUUUAGCACUACGUUGGUUUAUCCCCAAAGAGGAAGGGAUGAUGCAGCAAAGUAGCGUAAGUAUUUCCCUCAGUUUUUUCGAACCAAGGUAUCAGUCCAGUAGGAGGCUACGCGCGAGUCCCUCGUACCUGCACAAAACAAAUAAAUCCUCGCAACCAACGUGAUAAGGGGUUGUCAAUCCCUACACGGCCACUUACGAGAGUGAGAUCUGAUAGAUAUGAUAAGAUAAUAUUUUUUGUAUUUCUAUGAUAAAGAUGCAAAGUAAAAUGAAAGCAAAGUAAAAUGCAAAGGAAAUAACUAAGUAUUGGAAGAUUAAUAUGAUGAAGAUACACCUAGGGGCCAUAGGUUUCACUAGUGGCUUCUCUCAAGAGCAUACGUAUUCUACGGUGGGUGAACGAACUACUGUUGAGCAAUUGACAGAAUUGAGCAUAGUUAUGAGAAUAUCUAGGUAUGAUCAUGUAUAUAGGCAUCACGUCCGAGAGAAGUAGACCGACUCCUGCCUGCAUCUACUACUAUUACUCCACUCAUCGACCGCUAUCCAGCAUGCAUCUAGAGUAUUAAGUUAAUGAAAACAAAGUAACGCCUUAAGCAAGAUGACAUGAUGUAGAGGGAUAAACUCAUGCAAUAUGAUGAAAACCCCAUCUUGUUAUCCUCGAUGGCAACAAUACAAUACGUGCCUUGCUGCCCCUACUGUCACUGGGAAAGGACACCGCAAGAUUGAACCCAAAGCUAAGCACUUCUCCCAUUGCAAGAAAGAUCAAUCUAGUAGGCCAAACCAAACUGAUAAUUGAUGUCUACUACACAACCUUCUUCUUGUAGACGUUGUUGGGCCUCCAAGUGCAGAGGUUUGUAGGACAGUAGAAAAUUUCCCUCAAGUGGAUGACCUAAGGUUUAUCAAUCCAUAGGAGGCGUAGGAUGAAGAUGGUCUCUCUCAAGCAACCCUGCAACCAAAUAACAAAGAGUCUCUUAUGUCCCCAACACACCCAAUACAAUGGUAAAUUGUAUAGGUGCACUAGUUCGGCAAAGAGAUGGUGAUACAAGUGGUAUAUGGAUAGUAGAUAAUAGUAUUUGUAAUCUGAAAAUAUAAAAACAGCAAGGUAACAAAUGAUAAAGGUGAGCGUAAACGGUAUUGCAAUGAUGGUAAAUAAGGCCUAGGGUUCAUACUUUCGCUAGUGUAAGUUCUCUCAACAAUACUAACAUAAUUGGAUCACAUAACUAUCCCUCAACAUGCAACUAAGAGUCACUCCAAAGUCACUAAUAGCGGAGAACGAACGAAGAGAUUGUGGUAGGGUACGAAACCACAUCAAAGUUAUUCUUUCCAAUCAAUCCGUUGGGCUAUUCCUAUAGGUGUCACAAACAGCCCUAGAGUUCGUACUAGAAUAACACCUUAAGACACAAAUCAAUCAAAACCCUAAUGUCACCUAGAUACUCUAAUGUCACCUCAAGUAUCCGUGUGUAUGAUUAUACGAUAUGCAUCACACAAUCUCAAUUCAUCUAUUCAACCAACACAUAGAACCUCAAAGAGUGCCCCAAAGUUCCUACCGGAGAAUCACGACGAAAACGUGUGCCAACCCCUAUGCAUAGGUUCCCAAUGUCACGAAACCCGCAAGUUGAUCACCCUAACAUACAUCAAGUGGCACGUGGUAUCCCAUUGUCACCACAGAUAUCCACGGCAAGACAUACAUCAAGUGUUCUCAAGUCUUUAAAGACUCAAUCCGAUAAGAUAACUCCAAAGGGGAAACUCAAUUCAUUACAAGAGAGAAGAGGGGCAGGAGAAACAUAAGAUCCAACUAUAAUAGCAAAGCUUGCGAUACAUCAAGAUCGUGCCAAAUCAAGAACACGAGAGAGAGAGAGAGAUCAAACACAUAGCUACUGGCACAUACCCUCAGCCUCGAGGGAGAACUACUCCCUCCUCGUCAUGGAGAGCGCCGGGAUGAUGAAGAUGGCCACCGGUGAGGGUUCCCCCCUCUGGCAGGGUGCCGGAACGGGUCUAGAUUAGUUUUCGGUGGCUACGGAGGCUUCUGGCAGCGGAACUCCCGAUCUAUGUUGCGUUCUGGAAGUUCUAGGUCACGUAGGUAUAUAUGGGUGCAGGAGGUACGGCAGGGGACCCACGAGGGUCCCACGAGACAAGGGGUGCGCCCCCGAACCUCGUGAACACCUUGUUCCUUCCUUGACGUAGGGUCCAAGUCCAUCGAGUGUGUUUCCUUCCAAAAAUAACUUCUCUAGUUGAUUUCGUUCCGUUUCGACUCCGUCUGAUAUUCCUUUUCUUCAAAACACUGAAAUAGGCAUAAAAUAGCAAAUCUGGGCUGGGCCUUCGGUUAAUAGGUUAGUCCCAAAAAUAAUAUAAAAGUGGAUAAUAAAGCCCAAUAUUGCCCAAAAUAGUAGAUAAUAUAGCAUGGAGCAAUAAAAAAUUAUAGAUACGUUGGAGACGUAUCAAGCAUCCCCAAGCUUAAUUCCUGCUCGUCCUCGAGUAGGUAAAUGAUAAAAAAGAUUUUUUGAUGCGGAGUGCUACUUGGCAUAAUUUCAAUGUAAUUCUUCCUACUUGUGAUAUGAAUAUUCAGAUCCAUAAGAUUCAAGAAAAAAGUUCAUAUUGACAUGAAAACAAUAAUAAUUCAAGCAUACUAACUAAGCAAUUAUGUCUUCUCAAAAUAACAUGGCCAAAGAAAGCUAUCCCUACAAAAUCAUAUAGUCUGGCUAUGCUCCAUCUUCACCACACAAAAUAUUUAAAUCAUGCACAACCCCGAUGACAAGCCAAGCAAUUGUUUCAUACUUUUGAUGUUCUCAAACUUUUUCAAUCUUCACGCAAUACAUGAGCGUGAGCCAUGGAUAUAGCACUAUAGGUGGAAUAGAAUGGUGGUUGUGGAGAAGACAAAACGGGAGAAGAUAGUCUCACAUCAACUAGGCAUAUCAACAGGCUAUGGAGAUGCCCAUCAAUAGAUAUCAAUGUGAGUGAGUAGGGAUUGCCAUGCAACGGAUGCACUAGAGCUAUAAGUAUAUGAAAGCUCAAGAAAAGAAACUAGUGGGUGUGCAUCCAACUUGCUUGCUCACGAAGACCUAGGGCAUUUUGAGGAAGCCCAUCAUUGGAAUAUACAAGCCAAGUUCUAUAAUGUAAAAUUCCCACUAGUAUAUGAAAGUGACAACAUAUGAGACUCUCUAUAUGAAGAACAUGGUGCUACUUUGAAGCACAAUAUAUGAGACUUGCUAUAUCAUGGUGCUACUUUGAAGCACAAGUGUGGAAAAAGGAUAGUAGCAUUGCCCCUUUUUAUUUAUUUUCUCUUUUUUGGGGGGGCUUUUUUUUUUCUUUGGCCUUUCUCUUUUUUUAUUGGGACAAUGCUCUAUUGAAUGAUGAUCAUCACACUUCUAUUUAUUUACAAUUCAAUGAUUACAACUCGAUACUAGAACAAAGUAUGACUCUAUAUGAAUGCCUCCGGCGGUGUACCGGGAUAUGCAAUAAAUCAAGAGUGGCAUGUAUGAAAGAAUUAUGAAUGGUGUCUUUGCCACAAAUACUAUGUCAACUACAUGAUCAUGCUAAGCAAUAUGACAAUGAUGAAUGUGUCAUUAUGAACGGAAUGGUGGAAAGUUGCAUGGCAAUAUAUCUCGGAAUGGCUAUGGAAAUGCCAUAAUAGGUAGGUAUGGUGGCUGUUUUGAGGAAGGUAUAUGGUGGGUUUAUGGUACCGGCGAAAGUUGCACGGUACUAGAGAGGCUAGCAAUUGUGGAAGGGUGAGAGUGCGUAUAAGCCAUGGACUCAACAUUAGUCAUAAAGAACUCAUAUACUUAUUGCAAAAAUCUAUUAGUUAUCGAAGCAAAGUACUACGCGCAUGCUCCUAGGGGGAUAGAUUGGUAGGAAAAGACCAUCGCUCAUCCCCGACCGCCACUCAUAAGGAAGAUAAUCAAUAAAUAAAUCAUGCUCCGACUUCGUAACAUAACGGUUCACCAUACAUGCAUGCUAUGGGAAUCACAAACUUCAACACAAGUAUUUCUCAAAUUCAUAACCACUCAACUAGCAUGACUCUAGUAUCACCAUCUCCAUAUCUCAAAACAAUCAUCAAGCAUCAAACUUCUCUUAGUAUUCAACACACUCAUAAGAGAAUUUUUAUUAUUCUUGAAUACCUAGCAUAUUAGGAUUUUAAGCAAAUUACCAUGUUAUUUAAGACUCUCAAAAUAAUAUAAGUGAAGCAUGAGAGUUCAUCUAUUUCUUCAGAAUAAAACUACCACCAUGCUCUAAAACAUAUAAGUGAAGCACUAGAGCAAACAACAAACUACUCCAAAAGAUAUAAGUGAAGAUCAAUGAGUAGUUGAAUAAUUAUGCAACCAUGUGAAGACUCUCUAACAUUUAAUAAUUUCAGAUCUUGGUAUUAUAUUCAAACAGCAAGCAAAGCAAAAUAAAAUUACAUUCUAAGAAUGGAAACAUCAUGUGAAGAAGCAAAAACUUAGGAUCAACUGAUACUAACCGAUAAUUGUUGAAGAAGAAAGGUGGGAUGCCAACCGGGGCAUCCCCAAGCUUACACGCUUGAGAAUUCUUGAAAUAUUAUCUUGGGGUGCCUUGUGCAUCCCCAAUCUUGAGCUUUUGUGUCUCCUUAAUUCCUCUCAUAUCACGGUCUCCCUAAAUCUCAAAAGCUUGAUCCACAUAAAACUCAACAAGGACUCGUGAGAUAAGUUAGUAUAAACCAUUGCAAAAACCUUAUCAUACUCUACUGUAGCAAAUCACUAAAAUUAUUAUUCAACAUUGCAUACUAAAUGUAUCUGCAUAUUUAAUAGUCCUAUCCUCAAAUAGAAUCAUUAAAGAAGCAAACAUAUGCUAACAAUGCAAACAUAACAGCAAUCUGCCUAAACAGGAUAGUCUGUAAAGAAUGCUGCAACAUCCAUACUUCCCUAGCUCCAAAAAUUAUACAAUAAAAUUCCCACUGUAGUAAAUUUAUCAGAGCUUCAUAUGCAGAAGGUUUCAACACUUUAUCACAUUCUGACUUUUCUAGGGAAUUAUUGCAACAGCGGUAAACUUUCUGUUUUCAAACAGCAACAUGUAUACUUGUAACAUAGGCAUAUUAAAGGCUAUCAAUGCCACUUUUAUUGAAAUAAAAGAUGCAAAACAUUAUUCUAAAUAACAUAAAGCAAAUCCUAACAAAAUAAAUUGACGCUCCAAGCAAAACACAUAUCAUGUGGCGAAUAAAAAUAUGGCUCCAAGUAAAGUUACCGAUGAACGAAGUUUAAAGAGGGGAUGCCUUCCGGGGCAUCCCCAAGCUUAGGCUCUUGGUUGUCCUUGAAUAUUACCUUUAUUUUCCAUGGGCAUCCCCAAGCUUAGGCUCUUGCCACUCCUUAUUCCAUAGUCCAUCGAAUCCUUACCCAAAACUUGAAAACUUCACAACACAAAACUUAACAGAAAACUCGUAAGCUCCGUUAGUAUAAGAAAAUAAAUCACCACUUCAAGGUACUGUAAUGAACUCAUUAUUUAUUUAUAUUGGUUUUAAACCUACUGUAUUCCAACUUCUCUAUGGUUUAUAAACUAUUUUACUAGCCAUAGAUUCAUCAAAAUAAGUAAACAACACAUGAAACACAGAAUCUGUCAAAAACAGAAUAGUCUAUAGUAAUGUGGAUCAAACGUAUACUUCUGGAACUCAUAAAAUUCUCAACUAAAUUUCUGGACCUGAGGAAUUUAUCUAUUAAUCAUCUUCAAAAAUAAUUAACUAAAUAUCACUCUCCAAAUAAAAAUGGCAGCAAUUAUCGUGAGCGCUAAAGUUUCUGUUUUUUACAGCAUGAUCAACAAGACUUUCCGCAAGUCUUCCCAAAGGUUCUACUUGGCACAAACACUAAUUAAAACAAUAAAACCACAUCUAAACAGAGUCUCUAUGAAUUAUUUAUUACUAAACAGGAGCAAAAAUCAAGGAAUAAAAAUAAAAUUGGGUUGCCUCCCAACAAGCGCUAUCGUUUAACGCCCCUAGCUAGGCAUGAUGGUUUCAAUGAUGCUCAUAUAAGGAUAAGAAUUGAAACAUAAAGAGAGCAUCCUGAAGAAUAUGACUAGCACAUUUAAGCCUAACCCACUUCCUAUGCAUAGGGAUUUUGUGAGCAAACAAAUUGUGGGAAGAAUAAUCAACUACCAUAGGAAGGCAAAACAAGCAUAACUUCAAAACUUUAAGCACAUAGAGAGGAAACUUGAUAUUAUUGCAAUUCCUACAAGCAUAUAUUCCUCCCUCAUAAUAGUUUUUAGUAGCACCAUGAAUGAAUUCAACAAUAUAACCAGCACCUAAAGUAUUCUUUUCAUGAUCUACAAGCAUAGAAAAUUUACUACUCUCCACACAAGCAAAAUUCUUCUCAUGGAUAAUAGUGGGAGCAAACUCAACAAAAUAACUAUCAUGUGAUUGAAAAUUAAGAUCAAGAUGACAAGGUUCAAUGUUAUUAUCAUUCUUUAAAGCAUAAGUGUCAUCACAAUAAUCAUCAUAGAUAGGAGGCAUGCUUUCAUCAUAAUAAAUUUGCUCCUCAAAACUUGGGGGACAAAAAAUAUCAUCUUCAUCAAACAUAGCUUCCCCAAGCUUGUGGCUUUGCAUAUCAUUAGCAUUAUGGAUAUUCAAGGAAUUCAUACUAACAACAUUGCAAUCAUGCUCAUCAUUCAAAGAUUUAAUGCCAAACAUUUUAUAGAUUUCUUCUUCUAGCACUUGAGCACAAUUAUCCUUUCCAUCAUACUCACGAAAGAUAUUAAAAAGGUGAAGCGUAUGAGGUAGACUCAAUUCCAUUUUUUUAUAGUUUUCUUUUAUAAACUAAACUAGUGAUAAAACAAGAAACUAAAAGACUCGAUUGCAAGAUCUAAAGAUAUACCUUUAAGCACUCACCUCCCCGGCAACGGUGCCAGAAAAGAGCUUGAUGUCUACUACACAACCUUCUUCUUGUAGACGUUGUUGGGCCUCCAAGUGUAGACGUUUGUAGGACAGUAGCAAAUUUCCCUCAAGUGGAUGACCUAAGGUUUAUCAAUCUGUAGGAAGCGUAGGAUGAAGAUGGUCUCUCUCAAGCAACCCUGCAACCAAAUAACAAAGAGUCUCUUGUGUCCCCAACACACCCAAUACAAUGGUAAAUUGUAUAGGUGCACUAGUUCGGCGAAGAGAUGGUGAUACAAGUGGUAUAUGGAUAGUAGAUAAUAGUAUUUGUAAUCUGAAAAUAUAAAAACAGCAAGGUAACAAAUGAUAAAAGUGAGCGUAAACGGUAUUGCAAUGAUGGUAAAUAAGGCCUAGGGUUCAUACUUUUGCUAGUGUAAGUCCUCUCAACAAUACUAACAUAAUUGGAUCACAUAACUAUCCCUCAACAUGCAACUAAGAGUCACUCAAAAGUCACUAAUAGCGGAGAACGAACGAAGAGAUUAUGGUAGGGUAUGAAACCACCUCAAUGUUAUUCUUUCCAAUCAAUCCGUAGGGCUAUUCCUAUAGGUGUCACAAACAGCCCUAGAGUUCGUACUAGAAUAACACCUUAAGACACAAAUCAAUCAAAACCCUAAUGUCACCUAGAUACUCCAAUGUCACCUCAAGUAUCCGUGGGUAUGAUUAUACGAUAUGCAUCACACAAUCUCAAUUCAUCUAUUCAACCAACACAUAGAACCUCAAAGAGUGCCCCAAAGUUCCUACCGGAGAAUCACGAUGAAAACAUGUGCCAACCCCUAUGCAUAGGUUCCCAAUGUCACGAAACCCGCAAGUUGAUCACCCUAACAUACAUCAAGUGGCACGUGGUAUCCCAUUGUCACCACAGAUAUCCACGACAAGACAUACAUCAAGUGUUCUCAAGUCUUUAAAGACUCAAUCCGAUAAGAUAACUCCAAAGGGGAAACUCAAUUCAUUACAAGAGAGAAGAGGGGGAGGAGAAACAUAAGAUCCAACUAUAAUAGCAAAGCUCGCGAUACAUCAAGAUCGUGCCAAAUCAAGAACACGAGAGAGAGAGAGAGAUCAAACACAUAACUACUGGCACAUACCCUCAGCCUCGAGGGAGAACUACUCCCUCCUCGUCAUGGAGAGCGCCGGGAUGAUGAAGAUGGCCACCGGUGAGGGUUCCCCCCUCCGGCAGGGUGCCGGAACGGGUCUAGAUUGGUUUUCGGUGGCAACGGAGGCUUCUGGCGGCGGAACUCCCGAUCUAUGUUGCGUUCUGGAAGUUUUAGGUCAAGUAGGUAUAUAUGGGUGCAGGAUGUACGUCAGGGGAGCCACGAGGGUCCCACGAGACAGGGGGCGCGCCCUAGGGGCUCCCCCCACCCUCGUGAGCACCUCGUUCCUUCCUUGACGUAGGGUCCAAGUCCAUCGGGUGUGUUUCCUUCCAAAAAUAACUUCUCCAGUUGAUUUCGUUCCGUUUCGAAUCCGUCUGAUAUUCCUUUUCUUCAAAACACUGAAAUAGGCAUAAAACAGCAAAUCUGGGAUGGGCCUUCGGUUAAUAGGUGUUGGGGAACGUACUAAUUUCAAAAAAAUUCCUACGCACACUCAAGAUCAUGGUGAUGCAUAGCAACGAGAGGGGAGAGUGUGAUCUACGUACCCUUGUAGACCGACAGCGAAAGCGUUAGCACAACGCAGUUGAUGUAGUCGUACGUCUUCACGGCCCGACCGAUCAAGCACCGAAACUACGGCACCUCCGAGUUCUAGCACACGUUCAUCUCGAUGACGAUCCCCGGACUCCGAUCCAGCAAAGUGUCGGAGAAGAGUUCCGUCAGCACGACGGUGUGGUGACGAUCUUGAUGUACUACCAUUGCAGGGCUUCGCCUAAGCACCGCUACAAUAUUAUCGAGGACUAUGGUGGAAGGGGGCACCGCACACGGUUAAGAAUAUGAUCACGUGGAUCAACUUGUGUAUCUAGGGGUGCCCCCUGCCCCCGUAUAUAAAGGAUCAAGGGGGGGUGCGGCCGGCCAGGAGAAGUGCGCGCCAGGAGGAGUCCUACUCCCACCGGGAGUAGGAUUCCCCCCUUUCCUAGUUGGAAUAGGAUUCGGGAGGGGAAAGAGGAGAGAGAGAAGGAAGGGGGAGCGCCGCCCCCCUCUCCUUGUCCUAUUCGGACUAGGGGGGGAGGGGCGUGCGGCCCAGCCCUGGCCACCUCUCCUCUAUUCCACUAAAGCCCACUAAGGCCCAUAUACCUCCCGGGGGGGUUCCGGUAACCUCCCAGUACUCCGGUAAAAUCCCGAUUUCACCCGGAACACUUUCGAUAUCCAAAUAUAGGCUUCCAAUAUAUCAAUCUUUAUGUCUUGACCAUUUCGAGACUCCUCGUCAUGUCCGUGAUCACAUCCGGGACUCCGAACAACCUUCAGUACAUCAAAAUGCAUAAACUCAUAAUAUAAAUGUCAUCGAAACCUUAAGCGUGCGGACCCUGCGGGUUCGAGAAUAAUGUAGACAUGACCGAGACACGUCUCCGGUCAAUAACCAAUAGCGGAACCUAGAUGCUCAUAUUGGCUCCUACAUAUUCUACGAAGAUCUUUUAUCGGUCUGACCGCAUAACAACAUACGUUGUUCCCUUUGUCAUCGGUAUGUUACUUGCCCGAGAUUCGAUCGUCGGUAUCUCAAUACCUAGUUCAAUCUCUUUACCGGCAAGUCUCUUUACUCGUUCUAUAAUACAUCAUCUCACAACUAACUCAUUAGUUGCAAUGCUUGCAAGGCUUAUGUGAUGUGCAUUAUCGAGAGGGCUCAGAGAUACCUCUCCGACAAUCAGAGUGACAAAUCCUAAUCUCAAAAUACGCCAACCCAACAUGUACCUUUGGACACACCUGUAGAGCACCUUUAUAAUCACCCAGUUACGUUGUGACGUUUGGUAGCACACAAAGUGUUCCUCCGGCAAACGGGAGUUGCAUAAUCUCAUAGUCAUAGGAACAUGUAUAAGUCAUGAAGAAAGCAAUAGCAACAUACUAAACGAUCGGGUGCUAAGCUAAUGGAAUGGGUCAUGUCAAUCAGAUCAUUCAUCUAAUGAUGUGAUCCCGUUAAUCAAAUAACAACUCUUUGUCCAUGGUUAGGAAACAUAACCAUCUUUGAUUAACGAGCUAGUCAAGUAGAGGCAUACUAGUGACACUCUGUUUGUCUAUGUAUUCACACAUGUAUUAUGUUUCCGGUUAAUACAAUUCUAGCAUGAAUAAUAAACAUUUAUCAUGAUAUAAGGAAAUAAAUAAUAACUUUAUUAUUGCCUCUAGGGCAUAUUUCCUUCAGUCUCCCACUUGCACUAGAGUCAAUAAUCUAGAUUACACAGUAAUGAUUCUAACACCCAUGGAGCCUUGGUGCUGAUCAUGUUUUGCUCGUGGAAGAGGCUUAGUCAACGGGUCUGCUACAUGCAGAUCCGUAUGUAUCUUGCGAAUCUCUAUUUCUCCCACCUGGACUAGAUCCCAGAUGGAAUUGAAGCGUCUCUUGAUGUGGUUGGUUCUCUUGUGAAAUCUGGAUUCCUUUGCCAAGGCAAUUGCACCAGUAUUGUCACAAAAGAUUUUCAUUGCACCCGAUGCACUAGGUAUGACACCUAGAUCGGAUAUGAACUGCUUCAUCCAGACUCCUUCAUUUGUUGCUUCUGAAGCAGCAAUGUAUUCCGCUUCACAUGUAGAUCCCGCCACGACGCUUUGUUUAGAACUGCACCAACUGACAGCUCCACCGUUUAAUGUAAACACGUAUCCGGUUUGCGAUUUAGAAUCGUCUGGAUCAGUGGCAAAGCUCGCAUCAAUGUAACCAUUUACGAUGAGCUCUUUGUCACCUCCAUAAACGAGAAACAUAUCCUUAGUCCUUUUCAGGUAUUUUAGGAUGUUCUUGACCGCUGUCCAGUGAUCCACUCCCGGAUUACUUUGGUACCUCCCUGCUAGACUUAUAGCAAGGCACACAUCAGGUCUGGUACACAGCAUUGCAUACAUGAUAGAGCCUAUGGCUGAAGCAUAGGGAACAUCUUUCAUUUUCUCUCUAUCUUCUGCAGUGGUCGGGCAUUAAGUCUUACUCAACUUCACACCUUGUAACACAGGCAAGAACCCUUUCUUUGCUUGAUCCAUUUUGAUCUUCUUCAAAACUUUGUCAAGGUAUGUGCUUUGUGAAAGUCCAAUUAAGCGUCUUGAUCUAUCUCUAUAGCUCUUAAUGCCUAAUAUGUCAGCAGCUUCACCGAGGUCUUUCAUUGAAAAACUCUUAUUCAAGUAUCCCUUUAUGCUAUCCAGAAAUUCUAUAUCAUUUCCAAUUAGUAAUAUGUCAUCCACAUAUGAUAUCAGAAAUGCUACAGAGCUCCCACUCACUUUCUUGUAAAUACAGGCUUCUCCAAAAGUCUGUAUAAAACCAAAUGCUUUGAUCACACUAUCAAAGCGUUUAUUCCAACUCCGAGAGGCUUGCACCAGUCCAUAAAUGAAUCGCUGGAGCUUGCACACUUUGUUAGCUCCCUUUGGAUCGACAAAACCUUCUGGUUGCAUCAUAUACAACUCUUCUUCCAGAAAUCCAUUCAGGAAUGCAGUUUUGACAACCAUGUGCCAAAUUUCAUAAUCAUAAAAUGCGGCAAUUGCUAACAUGAUUCGGACAGACUUAAGCAUCGCUAUGGGUGAGAAGGUCUCAUCGUAGUCAAUCCCUUGAACUUGCCGAAAACCUUUUGCGACAAGUCGAGCUUUGUAGACAGUAAUAUUACCGUCAGCGUCAGUCUUCUUCUUGAAGAUCCAUUUAUUCUCAAUUGCUUGCCAAUCAUUGGCAAGUCAACCAAAGUCCAUACUUUGUUCUCAUACAUGGAUCCCAUCUCAGAUUUCAUGGCUUCAAGUCAUUUUGCGGAAUCUGGGCUCACCAUCACUUCUUCAUAGUUUGUAGGUUCAUCAUGAUCUAGUAGCAUGACUUCUAGAACAGGAUUACCAUACCACUCUGGCGCGGAUCUCACUCUGGUUGAUCUAUGAGGUUCAAUAGUAUCUUGUUCUGAAGUUUCAUGAUCAUUAUCAUUAGCUUCCUCACUAAUUGGUGUAGGUGUCACAGAAACAGGUUUCUGUGAUGUACUACUUUCCAAUAAGGGAGUAGGUACAGUUACGUCGUCAAGUUCUACUUUCCUCCCACUCACUUCUUUCGACAGAAACUCCUUCUCCAGAAAGUUUCCGAAUUUAGCGACAAAAGUAUUGCCUUCGGAUCUGUGAUAGAAGGUGUAUCCAAUAGUUUCCUUUGGAUAUCCUAUGAAGACACAUUUCUCCGAUUUGGGUUCGAGCUUAUCAGGUUGAAGCUUUUUCACAUAAGCAUCACAACCCCAAACUUUCAGAAACGACAACUUUGGUUUCUUGCCAAACCACAGUUCAUAAGGCGUCGUCUCAACAGAUUUUGAUGGUGCCCUAUUUAACAAGAAUGCGGCCGUCUCUAGAGCGUAUCCCCAAAAACGAUAGCGGUAAAUCAAUAAGAGACAUCAUAGAUCGCACCAUAUCUAGUAAAGUACGAUUACGAUGUUCGGACACACCAUUACGCUGUGGUGUUCCGGGUGGCGUGAGUUGCGAAACUAUUCCACAUUGUUUCAAAUGUACACCAAACUCGUAACUCAAAUAUUCUCCUCCACGAUCAGAUCAUAGGAAUUUUAUUUUCUUGUUACGAUGAUUUUCAACUUCACUCUGAAAUUCUUUGAACUUUUCAAAUGUUUCAGACUUGUGUUUCAUUAAGUAGAUAUACCCAUAUCUGCUUAAGUCAUCUGUGAAGGUGAGAAAAUAACGAUAUCCGCCACGAGCCUCAACAUUCAUUGGACCACAUACAUCUGUAUGUAUGAUUUCCAACAAAUCUGUUGCUCUCUCCAUAGUACCGGAGAACAGUGUUUUUGUCAUCUUACCCAUAAGGCACGGUUUGCAAAUACCAAGUGAUUCAUAAUCAAGUGGUUCCAAAAGCCCAUCAGUAUGGAGUUUCUUCAUGCGCUUUAUACCGAUAUGACCCAAACGGCAGUGCCACAAAUAAGUUGCACUAUCAUUAUCAACUCUGCAUCUUUUGGCUUCAACAGUAUGAAUAUGUGUGUCACAACUAUCGAGAUUUAAUAAGAAUAGACCACUCCUUAAGGGUGCAUGACCAUAAAAGAUAUUACUCAUGUAAAUAGAACAACCAUUAUUCUCUUAUUUAAAUGAAUAACCGUCUCACAUCAAACAAGAUCCAGAUAUAAUGUUCAUGCUUAACGCUGGCACCAAAUAACAAUUAUUUAGGUCUAAUACUAAUCCCGAAGGUAGAUGUAGAGGUAGCAUGCCGACUGCGAUCACAUCGACUUUGGAACCAUUUCCCAUGCGCAUCGUCACCUCGUCCUUAGCCAAUCUUCGCUUAAUCCGUAGUCCCUAUUUCGAGUUGCAAAUAUUAGCAACAGAACCAGUAUCAAAUACCCAGGUGCUACUGCGAGCAUUAGUAAGGUACACAUUAAUAACAUGUAUAUCUCAUAUACCUUUGUUCACCUUGCCAUCCUUCUUAUCCGCCAAAUACUUGGGGCAGUUCCGCUUCCAGUGACCAGUCUGCUUGCAGUAGAAGCACUUAGUUUCAGGCUUAGGUCCAGGUUUGGGUUUCUUCUCUUGAGUAGCAACUUGCUUGCUGUUCCUUUUGAAGUUCCCCUUCUUCUUCCCUUUGCCCUUUUUCUUGAAACUAGUGGUCUUGUUGACCAUCAACACUUGAUGCUCCUUCUUGAUUUCUACCUCCGCAGCUUUCAGCAUUGCGAAGAGCUCGGGAAUAGUCUUAUUCAUCCCUUGCAUAUUAUAGUUCAUCACGAAGCUCUUGUAGCUUGGUGGCAGUGAUUGGAGAAUUCUGUCAAUGACGCAAUCAUCUGGAAGAUUAACUCCCAAUUGAAUCAAGUGAUUAUUAUACCCAGACAUUUUGAGUAUAUGCUCACUGACAGAACUGUUCUCCUCCAUCUUGCAGCUAUAAAACUUAUUGGAGACUUCAUAUCUCUCAAUCCGGGGAUUUGCUUGAAAUAUUAACUUCAACUCCUGGAACAUCUCAUAUGCUCCAUGAUGUUCAAAACAUCGUUGAAGUCCCGAUUCUAAGCCGUAAAGCAUGGCCCACUGAACUAUCGAGUAGUCAUCAGCUUUGCUCUGCCAGACGUUCAUAACAUCUGGUGUUGCUCCAGCAGCAGGCCUGGCACCCAGCGGUGCUUCCAGGAUAAUUCUUCUAUGCAGCAAUGAGGAUAAUCCUCAAGUUACGGACCCAGUCCAUGUAAUUGCUACCAUCAUCUUUCAACUUUGCUUUCUCAAGGAACGCAUUAAAAUUCAAUGGAACAACAGCACGGGCCAUCUAUCUACAAUCAAACAUAAAUAAGCAAGAUACUAUCAGGUACUAAGUUCAUGAUAAAUUUAGGUUCAAUUAAUCAUAUUACUUAAAGAACUCCCACUUAGAUAGACAUCCCUCUAAUCCUCUAAGUGAUUACGUGAUCCAAAUCAACUAAACCAUGUCCGAUCAUCACGUGAGAUGGAGUAGUUUCAUUGGUGAACAUCACUAUGUUGAUCAUAUCUACUAUAUGAUUCAGGCUCGACCUUUCGGUCUCCGUGUUCCGAGGCCAUAUCUGUAUAUGCUUGGCUCGUCAAGUAUAACCUGAGUAUUCUGCGUGUGCAACUGUUUUGCACCCGUUGUAUUUGAAUGUAGAGCCUAUCACACCCGAUCAUCACGUGGUGUCUCAGCACGAAGAACUUUCGCAACGGUGCAUACUCAGGGAGAACACUUCUUGAUAAUUAGUGAGAGAUCAUCUUAUAAUGCUACCGUCAAUCAAAGCAAGAUAAGAUGCAUAAAAGAUAAACAUCACGUGCAAUCAAUAUAAGUGAUAUGAUAUGGCCAUCAUCUUGUGCUUGUGAUCUCCAUCUUCGAAGCACCGUCGUGAUCACCAUCGUCACCAGCGUGACACCUUGAUCUCCAUCGUAGCAUCGUUGUCGUCUCGCUAAUCUUAUGCUUCCACAACUAUCGCUACCGCUUAGUGAUAAAGUAAAGCAUUACAGCGCGAUUGCAUUGCAUACAAUAAAGCGACAACCAUAUGGCUCCUGCCAGUUGCCGAUAACUCGGUUACAAAACAUGAUCAUCUCAUACAAUAAAAUUUAGCAUCAUGUCUUGACCAUAUCACAUCACAACAUGCCCUGCAAAAACAAGUUAGACGUCCUCUACUUUGUUGUUGCAAGUUUUACGUGGCUGCUACGGGCUUAAGCAAGAACCAAUCUUACCUACGCAUCAAAACCACAAUGAUAGUUUGUCAAGUUGGUGCUGUUUUAACCUUCGCAAGGACCGGGCGUAGCCACACUUGGUUCAACUAAAGUUGGAGAAACUGUCACCCGCUAGCCACCUUUGUGCAAAGCACGUCGGGAGAACCGGUCUCGCGUAAGCGUACGCAUAAUGUCGGUCCGGGCCGCUUCGUCCAACAAUACCGCCGAACCAAAGUAUGACAUGCUGGUAAGCAGUAUGACUUAUAUCGCCCACAACUCACUUGUGUUCUACUCGUGCAUAUAACAUCAACACAUAAAACCUAGGCUCGGAUGCCAUUGUUGGGGAACGUAGUAAUUUCAAAAAAAAAUCCUACGCACACGCAAGAUCAUGGUGAUGCAUAGCAAUGAGAGGGGAGAGUGUGAUCUACGUACCCUUGUAGACCGACAGCGGAAGCGUUAGCACAACGUGGUUGAUGUAGUCGUACGUCUUCAUGGCCUGACCGAUCAAGCACCGAAACUACGGCACCUCCGAGUUCUAGCACACGUUCAGCUCGAUGACGAUCCCCGGACUCUGAUCCAGCAAAGUGUCGGAGAAGAGUUCCGUCAGCACGACGGUGUGGUGACUAUCUUGAUGUACUACCGUUGCAAGGCUUCGCCUAAGCACCGCUACAAUAUUAUCGAGGACUAUGGUGGAAGGGGGCACCGCACACUGUUAAGAAUAUGAUCACGUGGAUCAACUUGUGUAUCUAGGGGUGCCCCUGCCCCCGUAUAUAAAGGAUCAAGGGGGGGUGCGGCCGGCCAGGAGGAGGGCGCGCCAGGAGGAGUCCUACUCCCACCGGGAGUAGGAUUCCCCCCUUUCCUAGUUGGAAUAGGAUUCGGGAGGGGAAAGAGGAGAGAGAGAAGGAAGGGGGGCGCCGCCCCCCUCUCCUUGUCCUAUUCGGACUAGGGGGAGGGGCACACGGCCUAGCCUUGGCCACCUCUCCUCUAUUCCACUAAAUCCCACUAAGGCCCAUAUACCUCCCGGGGGGGAGGGUUCCGGUAACCUCCCGGUACUCCGAUAAAAUCCCGAUUUCACCCGGAACACUUCCGAUAUUCAAAUAUAGGCUUCCAAUAUAUCAAUCUUUAUGUCUCGACCAUUUCGAGACUCCUCGUCAUGUCCGUGAUCACAUCCGGGACUCCGAACAAUCUUCGGUACAUCAAAAUGCAUAAACUCAUAAUAUAAUUGCCAUCGAAACCUUAAGCGUGCGGACCCUACGGGUUCGAGAACAAUGUAGACAUGACCGAGACAUGUCUCCGGUCAAUAACCAAUAGCGGAACCUGGAUGCUCAUAUUGGCUCCUACAUAUUCUAUGAAGAUCUUUUAUCGGUCAGACCGCAUAACAACAUACGUUGUUCCCUUUGUCAUCGGUAUGUUACUUGCCCGAGAUUCGAUCGUCGGUAUCUCAAUACCUAGUUCAAUCUCGUUACCGGCAAGUCUCUUUACUCGUUCUAUAAUACAUCAUCUCAUAACUAACUCAUUAGUUGCAAUGCUUGCAAGGCUUAUGUGAUGUGCAUUACCGAGAGGGCUCAGAGAUACCUCUCCGACAAUCAGAGUGACAAAUCCUAAUCUCGAAAUACGCCAACCCAACAUGUACCUUUGGACACACCUGUAGAGCACCUUUAUAAUCACCCAGUUACGUUGUGACGUUUGGUAGCACACAAAGUGUUCCUCCGGCAAACGGGAGUUGCAUAAUCUCAUAGUCAUAGGAACAUGUAUAAGUCAUGAAGAAAGCAAUAGCAACAUACUAAACGAUCGGGUGCUAAGCUAAUGGAAUGGGUCAUGUCAAUCAGAUCAUUCAUCUAAUGAUGUGAUCCCGUUAAUCAAAUAACAACUCUUUGUCCAUGGUUAGGAAACAUAACCAUCUUUGAUUAACGAGCUAGUCAAGUAGAGGCAUACUAGUGACACUCUGUUUGUCUAUGUAUUCACACAUGUAUUAUGUUUCCGGUUAAUACAAUUCUAGCAUGAAUAAUAAACAUUUAUCAUGAUAUAAGGAAAUAAAUAAUAACUUUAUUAUUGCCUCUAGGGCAUAUUUCCUUCAAUAGGUUAGUCCCAAAAAUAAUAUAAAAGUGGAUAAUAAAGCCCAAUAUUGCCCAAAACAGUAGAUAAUAUAGCAUGGAGUAAUCAAAAAUUAUAGAUACGUUGGAUACGUAUCAAUAAUUCGAAGAGACUUGCAAAGAUAACCAAUCAUACAUAAAAGAAUUCAGAGAAGAUGCAAAUAUUGUUCAUAGAUAGACUUGAGUCAUAAACCCACAAUUCAUCGGUCUCAUCAAACACACCGCAAAAAGAAGAUUACAUCGAAUAGAUCUCCACAAGAGAGGGGGAGAACAUUGUAUUGAGAUCCAAAAAGAGAGAAGAAGCCAUCUAGCUAAUAACUAUGGACCCGUAGGUCUGAGGUAAACUACUCACACUUCAUCGGAAGGGCUAUGGUGAUGAUGUAGAAGCCCUCUGUGAUGGAUACCCCCUCCGGCGGAGCUCCAGAACAGGCCCCAAGAUGGGAUCUCGUGGAUACAGAAAGUUGCGGCGGUGGAAGUAGGGGUUUGGCUCCGUAUCUGAUUGUUUGGGGUACGUAGGUAUAUAUAGGAGGAAGGAGUACGUCGGUGGAGCAACAGGGGGCCCACGAGGAUGGAGGGCGCGCUUAGGGGGUAGGCGCGCCCCCUACCUCGUGGCCUCCUCCUUUGUUUCUUGACAUAGGGUCCAAGUCUCCUGGAUCAUGUUCGGCGAGAAAAUCAUGUUCCCGAAGGUUUCGUUCCGUUUGGACUCCGUUUGAUAUUCCUUUUCUUCGAAACCCUAAAAUAGGCAAAAAAAACAGCAAUUCUAGGUUGGGCCUCCGGUUAAUAGGUUGGUCCCAAAAAUAAUAUAAAAGUGGAUAAUAAAGCCCAAUAAUGUCCAAAACGGUAGAUAAUAUAGCAUGGAGCAAUCAAAAAUUAUAGAUACGUUGGAGACGUAUCACGUACGUUUAGUACUUGAUCGAUACGAAUCGUGAAGGUGUACGACUAAAUCAACAGCAUUGAUAAACGCUUCCGCUUACGGUCUACGAGGGUACGUAGACGACACUCUCCCCUCUCGUUGAUAUGCAUCACCAUGAUCCUACGUGUGCAUAGGAAAUUGUUUGAAAUUACUAUGUUCCCCAACAGGGCCAGGCCAAGAGAGGCGCGCGAGCGCCCUGGGAGAGGCUUCGAGGAGCCCGCGUCACCGGCGGAGGGAGGAACGGCCGGGGGUACCUGCUGAAACGAAAACACAUGCUCAUCAAAGUAAACGUGCCGGGAAGUGAACACACGGUGGAAGACGAGAUCGUAGCACCGAUAUCCCUUGGAGUUAGAGGGGUAGACGAUGAAGAUGCAAGCGACGGAACGAGGUGCGAGUUUGUGAGGAGCGGAGUCGGCAGUGCUAGGAUAGCAAAGGCACCCGAAAAUACGCAAGCCAUCAUAACAUGGGGGCGUACCGAAGAGAAGAUGGUGAGGUGCAUAGUUCCAUCGUGGGCGACAGGGGCGAAGCUUAAGGAGAAGUGAAGCAGUGGCGAGUGCGUCCGGCCAGAAACGAGGUGGCACAUUAGCAUGGAACAUGAGCGUGCGAACGCAACCAUUCAGAGUGCGAAGGACGCGUUCGGCUCUACCGUUCUGCUGUGAAGUAUACGGGCAUGUGAGAUGAAAGACUGUGCCGUGGUGCGACAGAAAAGUGCUGAAAGCAAGGUUGUCGAACUCUUUUUCAUUGUCAGUCUGAAGAGCAAGGAUGGGACACCCAAACUGCGUGCUAACAUAGGAGUAAAAAGCCGUCAAAAUGGAGAGUGCAUCUGACUUUCGUCGUAAAGGAAACGUCCACACAUUGUGAGAAUAAUCAUCAAGGAUAACCAGAUAAUAUAAAUAGCCCGAAUUACUGGGAAUCGGAGAGGUCCACACAUCACUAUGAAUCAAGUGAAAAGGAAAAGAAGCUAUGGUGGUCGAGUUAUUAAACGGGAGGCGAACAUGUUUGCCGACACGACAGGCAUGACAGGUGGGAUCCUCUAUAUUAUUACAAUUUAAGCUGAAAGUCCUAAGAAUAUGACGAAGUGUGACGGGGUUGGGAUAAACCAAAUGAACGUGCCAGAGAUCAAUGCCAGUGGAGAGAGCAACCGAUGCGGUGGUGGAGGUGGACGGCGGAUGCACCGGAUAGAGCUCAUCGAGGCUGUCACAUCGGUGAAGUACCAUCCUGGUUCGAGCGUCCUUGACACAAAAACCAAGCUCGUAAAAUUCAACAGUAACAAGAUUUUCACGAGUUAAACAACAAGCGGAAAUAAGGUUCUUAAUAAGAUGAGGUGACACAAAUAUGUUAGACAAAGUAAUAGGCAUGGAACUGGAAGGAAAAGAAGUGUGCCCGACAUGUGUGAUAGGGAGUGUGGAACCCUCGCCGACAAUGAUGCGGCGGUCGGUGGUGACGGGAGUGUAGGGGGCAAGAUUACCAGGAUGAGCAAACAUGUGAGCCGUAGCCCCGGUGUCCAUGUACCAAUCACCGCCUCCAGUGUAGUUGUUCGGCAUAGGCGCGGUGUGCAGCGCGGCGAGAAGCGUCGGAUCCCAAGGCGCCGGUGGCAGGGCCGGUGAGGGCAGAGGUGGGGCCGCAGGGAGACCGUAGGCGCCGCUCAGCUGCGGUGGUGGGUAUCCUCCAUACGUCUGCGGAGCCGCGUAGUACGCCUGGUGCGCCGGUGGGCGCGACACGGAAAGGGUCAGUGCAGGAGCCCGUGGAACCGGCAUGGUGUACGCAUGAACAACGUCGGUCCAUGGGUUGUAGCCGGAGGCCCACGAAGGGGCACCUGCUGCUGAUGGGGCGGGUCGGUGCCCUGCGACUGCUGCUGUUGACCGCCGCGGUGGCCCCCACCGUGCUAGCCCCCACGGCGUCGUUCGACGAGAGGGCGGGCGGUUCAUUGAUACGUCUCCAAUGUAUCUAUAAUUUUUAAUUGUUCCAUGCUAUUAUAUUAUCAACCUUGGAUAUUUUAUAUGAAUUUAUAUGCUAUUUUAUAUGAUUUUUGGGACUAACCUAUUAACCUAGAGCCCAGUGCCACUUUCUGUUUUUUCCUUGUUUUUGAGUAUUGCACAAAAGGAAAAACCAAAUGGAGUCCAAUUGACCUGAAAUUUCACGGAGAUCAUUUUUCGACCAGAAGAAGCCCAUGGAGUAUCGAAGAUGGGCCAGAAGAGUCCCGAGGCCACCACAAGGGUGGGGGACGCGCCCUACCCCCCUGUGCGCGCCCCCCUACCUCGUGGCCGCCUCGGGGACCCCCCUGACUUGUUCCCGACUCCAACACCUCUUAUAUAACCCCAAACUUCUAGAAAGAAACCUAGAUCGGGAGUUCCGCCGCCGCAAGCCUCUGUACCCAUCGAAAACCAAUCUAGACCCGUUUCGGCACCCUGUCAAAGGGGGGAUCCCUCUCCGGUGGCCAUCUUCAUCAUCCCGGCGCUCUUCAUGACGAGGAUGGAGUAGUUCUCCCUCGGGGCUGAGGGUAUGUACCAGUAGCUAUGUGUUUGAUCUCUCUCUCUCUCUCUCGUGUUCUUGAUUCGGCACGAUCUUGAUGUAUCGCGAGCUUUGCUAUUAUAGUUAGAUCUUAUGAUGUUUCUCCCCUCUACUCUCUUGUAAUGGGUUGAGUUUUCCCUUUGAAGUUAUCUUAUCGGAUUGAGUCUUUAAGGAUUUGAGAACACUUGACGUAUGUCUUGCAUGUGCUUAUCUGUGGUGACAAUGGGAUAUCACGUGAUCCACUUGAUGUAUGUUUUGGUGAUCAACUUGUGAGUUCCGUGACCUCGUGAACUUAUGCAUAGGGGUUGGCACACGUUUUCGUCUUGACUCUUCGGUAGAAACUUUGGGGCACUCUUUGAAGUCCUUUGUGUUGGUUGAAUAGAUGAAUCUGAGAUUGUGUGAUGCAUAUUGUAUAACCAUACCCACGGAUACUUGAGGUGACAUUGGAGUGUCUAGGUGACAUUAGGGUUUUGGUUGAUUUGUGUCUUAAGGUGUCAUUCUAGUACGAACUCUACGAUAGAUUGAACGGACAGAAUAGCUUCGUGUUAUUUUACUACGGACUCUUGAAUAGAUCGAUCAGAAAGAAUAACUUUGAGGUGGUUUCGUACCCUACAAUAAUCUCUUCGUUUGUUCUCCGCUAUUAGUGACUUUGGAGUGACUCUUUGUUGCAUGUUGAGGGAUAGUUAUAUGAUCCAAUUAUGUUAUUAUUGUUGAGAGAACUUGCACUAGUGAAAGUAUGAACCCUAGGCCUUGUUUCAACGCAUUGCAAUACCGUUUGUGCUCACUUUUAUCAUUUGUUACCUUGAUGUUUUUAUAUUUUCAGAUUACAAAAACCUAUAUCUACCAUCCAUAUUGCACGUGUAUCACCAUCUCUUCGCCGAACUAGUGCACCUAUACAAUUUACCAUUGUAUUGGGUGUGUUGGGGACACAAGAGACUCUUUGUAAUUUGGUUGCAGGGUUGCUUGAGAGAGACCAUCUUCAUCCUACGCCUCCCAUGGAUUGAUAAACCUUAGGUCAUCCACUUGAGGGAAAUGUGCUACUGUCCUACAAACCUCUGCACUUGGAGGCCCAACAACGUCUACAAGAAGAAGGUUGUGUAGUAGACAGCAAGCACUUUUCUGGCGCCGUUGCCGGGGAGGCGAGUGCUUGAAGGUAUAUCUUUAGAUCUUGCAAUCGAAUCUUUUAGUUUCUUGUUUUAUCACUAGUUUAGUCUAUAAAAGAAAACUACAAAAAAUGGAAUUAAGGGUACCUCAUAUGCUUCAUCUUUUUAAUAUCUUUCAUGGAAAUAAGGAUUCUGAUAAUUGUGCCAAAAUGCUAGAAGAAGAAUGUAUUAAAAUGUUUGGCACUAAAUCUUUGGAUGAUGAGCAUGAUUGCAAUGUUGUUAGUAUGAAUUCUUUGAAUAUCCAUAGUACUAAUGUUGAUUGCACUAGUCAUGAUGAAAAUGUCUCUUAUAAGCAUGUCAAUUUUUGUGGAGUGCAUAGGGUUUGCAAGUACACACAAAAUAGGGAAGAUUUAUUUUGCAAGAGGCAUAAGUAUUUAGAAACUAAAUGGUUGCAAGAAAGGCUAGAUGUUUGUGCUGAAAAUUUAAAUUUUCUUAGUCAUCCUUGUGAACUUUGCAAUGAACAUGGUCAUUUAAAUAUCCAAUGCCAAUUGUUUCAUGAUCGAAUCGUGUCCAAAAUUGUGAUGACUUGAUUUCCCUUGCACAUCAUAAUGAACUUAGUUUGCUUCUCGGUUAUGAAGAAAUGAAACGUAUAACUAAGGAUAUUCCAGAAUUUGCCCUUGACAAAGUUCUUGAUUUUGAUCUAGAGAAAUUUAUAUGUUUUGUGCGGUAAAUUGCAUUGAAAAUCCUUGUAUUGCCAAUUACAUAAAGACAGAAAAACAAAUAGAAUAUGAAGAUAAUACUAAUGAAAGGGAAGAGACUUCCAAAUAUCCUCCUAUUAUUUCUUAUGAUGAAUCAGGUAAUGAGGAGGAGCCUUCUAUUCAACCAAUCUCAUUAAUAAGGAGCUCCGAAAAGAGGAUUAAACCCACACAUGAUGUGAAUAAGAGAAAGAAAAGACGGAGAAGCAAAGGUAAAAAUGUAUCCCUCCCAAAUGACGUUGCUCCUAUUACUCAUUGUGAUGAUGAUAAUUGUUAUACUAUUGAUGCUAUCCAUACUAUCAAUGAUGAGAGUGAUUAUGCUUAUGAUAUGAAAAGGCCCAAGCUUGGGGAUGCUAUGUUUGAUGACAAUGACAUGUUUGAGAAUGUAUUUGGUGCAAUUAAUGUUUGUCCCAAGCUUGGGGAUGCUAUGUUUAAUGAACAUGAUAUUUUUAGUCUCUCAAGUUUUGAUGAGCAAAUUUAUUAUGAUGAUAGCAUGCCUCCUAUUUAUGAUGAUUAUUGUGAUGACACUUAUGCUAUAAAAAGUAGUGAUGAUUAUAUUUAUAAAACUUGUCAUGAUUAUGAUUACCAUUUUUCUGAACAUUGCUCUUUUAAUGUGGAAACAAUUUAUAGUAUUCGAGUUUCUUAUGAUACUCCCACUAUCCUGAACGAGAAGAAUUUUGCUUAUUUGGAGAGUAGUAAAAUUUCUAUGCUUGUAGAUCAUGAAAAGAAUGCUUUAUGUGAUGGUUAUAUUGUUGAAUUUGAUUAUGAUCCUACAUGUAAUUAUUAUGAGAGAGGAAAAUAUGGUUGUAUAAAUUUUCUUGUUACAAAAUUACCUCUCGUUAGGUUGAGAUUGUUAUUGUUUAUUUCUUCUUCCUUGCAUAUGGUGGUUUCUGCUUGUCUUAAUAAUUUGUUUGCUUACAAAAUCCCUAUGCAUAGGAAGUGGGUUAGACUUAAAUGUGCUAGUCAUAUUCUUCAUGAUAAUCUCUUUAUGUUACAAUUCUUAUCUUUUAUGUGAGCAUCAUUGAAAUCAUCAUGCCUAGCUAGGGGCAUUAAACGAUAGCGCUUGUUGAGAGGCAACCCAAGUUUAUUUUUGUUCUCUGCUUUUUGUUACUGUUUAGUAAUAAAUAAUUCAUCUAUCCUUUGUUAUGAUUGUGUUUUUUAUGUUUUAAUUAGUGUUUGUGCCAAGUAGAACCUUUGGGAAGACUUGGGUGAAAUCUUUGCGAUCUUGCUGUAAAAAAUAGAAACUUUUGCGCUCAUGAGAUUUGCUGCCAUUUUUUACUGGAGAGUGAGGUUAGGUUGAUUAUUUUUGCAUAUGAUUAAUAGACAAAUUCCUCACGUCCACCAAUUUAUUUCAGAAUUUUUGGGGUUACAGAAGUAUUCGAAACCUACAGAUUACUACAGACUGUUCUGUUUUUGACAGAUUCUGUUUUCAUUGUGUUGUUUGCUUAUUUUGAUGAAUCUAUGAGUAGUAUCGGAGGGUAUGAACUAUAGAGAAGUUGGAAUACAGUAGAUAUUACACCAAUAUGAAUAUAGAAUGAGUUCUCAACAGUACCCUAAGUGGUGAUUUAUUUUCUUAUACUAACAGAGCUUACGAGUUUUCUGUUGAGUCUUGUGUUGUGAAGUUUUCAAGUUUUGGGUAAAGAUUUGAUGGACUAUAGAAUAAGGAGUGGCAAGAGCCUAAUCUUGGGGAUGCCCAAGGCACCCCAAGGUAAUAUUCAAGGACAACCAAGAUCCUAAGCUUGGGGAUGCCCCGGCUGGCAUCCCCUCUUUCGUCUUCAUUCAUCGGUAACUUUACUUGGAGCUAUAUUUUUAUUCACCACAUGAUAUGUGUUUUUCUUGGAGCGUCAUUUUAUUUUCUUUUUCUUUGCUUGCUGUUUGAAUAAAUUACCAAUAUCUGAAAUUCUUAAAUGUUAGAGAGUCUUCAUAUAGUUACAUAAUUAUUCGACUACUCAUUGAUCUUCACUUAUAUCUUUCGGAGUAGUUUGUCAUUUGCUCUAGUGCUUCACUUAUAUCUUUUUAGAGCACGGCGGUGGUUUUAUUUUGAAGAAAUAGAUGAACCCUCAUGCUUCACUUAUAUUAUUUUGAGUCUUUUAGAACAGCAUGGUAAUUUGCUUUGGUUAUGAAUUUAGUCUUGAUAUUAUGGGCACCCAAGAUGGGUAUAAUAAAAACUUUCAUAUAAAGUGCAUUGAAUGCUAUGAGAAGUUUGAUACUUGAUGAUCGUUUUGAGAUAUGAAUGUAGCGACCCGACCCGAAUGGGUCAAGUCUCUGUGCUUAAGUGUCAUCCCUGGAUCGGUAUGCUGACACACACAGUACUCGAGGAUUUAUAACAGAGGUAAAUCACAUGUAAAAGUAACGUAAAUACGAUUACCUCAAUCCAAAAUAGUGGAAGUAACAAGGUUGUGGAUUCCCAUCAACACAAACGGCAAAGUUGAGUGUAGAAAUCGUAACCCUAACGUAUCACUUACUCGUUGUAAGAUAAUCCUGCAACAUGAGACGUUGCAGCCACAGAGGGUCAGUACAUUGAAUGUACUGGCAAAUUCACACCAUAGAGAAUGAUGAAUAAAGGCUAUCACUACAUGCAUAUUUGGCUGGUGGAAAAGCUCUAUGGUUAUAAGGUUUUUGCGAAAAGCCAACUUUUCCCUACUUCAAAGGAAUAAAUUUUAUUUAACUAUCAUGGUGGUUGUUGAACAUUGAGAAUGGUUGACAGCAUUCUCAAUCCCAAUUAAGUAACAUCAUUAAACCCAACAAUAUUCAUUUAAAGUAACGUGAUGAGAUCAACAGGAUAAUCCAAGAACUAGAUACUGAAGAUGUCCAUAACCGGGGACACGGCUAAUCAUGAUUAGUUUAUACACUCUGCAGAGGUUUGCGCACUUUUCCCCACAAGAUUUGAUCGCCUCCAUUUGUUUUCUCGCACUACAUGGUGUUUGAGAAGACGGAUGACCGAGACAUAGUCUUUUAGAAGCGCUAGCACCUUACGAUCGGGUAGACCGUACCACCUACAUCCCCUACCUCUGCUAGUCUACCACUGUAAGAGUUCGCACAACUUAAUCAACUAUGCCAGAGCCCAUAAUGGCUUGUGGCUGCACACGGAAGUUUCUAGUAUGAAUAAUCUCAUGAUCCCUUUGAGCCUGGGUGGCGUUCCAAAAGAAAACAGGCAAGUUCUGGACUACCCAGGUGCCUAGACAGGCAAUCCUAGAAUAACCAGGUGCCUCAAUCCACCCAGAUGUGUGUUUAAGUUGCCACCUUAAGUAAACCAUUAAUUAACAAUCUCACAUCUAUCAUGGAUACUCUCAAAACCCAAUCCACGUCUACUAGCAUAGCAUGGCAUAAUAAGCAAACGUAGAAGUAACUCCCAAGGGUUUGAUAAUAAACAGGUAAUAGGUACUACCUCAUCUACUUCCCAUCCCACAGUUUAAUUAGAUCCUAAUCAUGCAAUGUGUGAAGAUUGAUCUAAUGCAAAAAAACUGGGUAUGGAAGGGGAUAUGAUCAAAGUGUGAACUUGCCUGCAAUGUUGAUGAAGACGAUUCGCACUCAAAAUUCUUGAUAGUUCUACUCGUCACACUCCGGUCAAUCUAUCGUAAGCAAGCAAUAGUAACCACACAUAAGCAAUCACUCAAAAGAUCAGAAAGAACGAAGAAGACGAUUCGGAAAACAUCAAAACCAAGCAAAUAACUCUUGCAACAUAAAACAAUUUCUAACAGUACCAAAAUUAUGUGAAUUUGGCCUUAUAAGAAUGUUUAGGUCAAGAGCUUCGAUUUGCAAAAACAAUCAACUCAAACGGAGCUACGAAACUCAAGUUAUGAUCAAACGAAGUUUGAAUUCAAAUCUGAUCUAAUUCAAAUUUUAAACUUCUCAAAAACAUGUUUGAGUUGGAUUACUGGAUAGAGGAGAUCCUAACGAAGACGUGAGCAUUGGUUUCGUUGGAUUUGGAUAAACGGGUAAGAAGUUGUGCUUGUUUGAAGAACAGGGACUAUUCUGUAAAUAAAGUAUUCACAUCCAGGUCCCUGGCCGAAAUUACAGAAAAAGAAAAAGGACUAAGUAGCGAACGUUCGCUGCAGAAGCCUAUAAGACGAAAACUGUUCGCUACAAAUCCUAAACUAGCAAACGUCCACUAAUUAACCUAACUAUUAAAUAAAACUGGCUUUAGAAGAAAACCAGAGAAAACCAAAAAUAAAAUAAACCGGACCGGGCGGUUAAUUACCGGUUCGGGCAGUUUUCGUCGAAAAGACCACCGGCGGCGGUUAGCAGAUCGGCAGCGACGCCGGAUCGAGCGGCAGCGGCGGGCUCCGGCGGCAGCGAGCGGUGGCGCGGCAGCUGGCAGNNNNNNNNNNNNNNNNNNNNNNNNNNNNNNNNNNNNNNNNNNNNNNNNNNNNNNNNNNNNNNNNNNNNNNNNNNNNNNNNNNNNNNNNNNNNNNNNNNNNNNNNNNNNNNNNNNNNNNNNNNNNNNNNNNNNNNNNNNNNNNNNNNNNNNNNNNNNNNNNNNNNNNNNNNNNNNNNNNNNNNNNNNNNNNNNNNNNNNNNNNNNNNNNNNNNNNNNNNNNNNNNNNNNNNNNNNNNNNNNNNNNNNNNNNNNNNNNNNNNNNNNNNNNNNNNNNNNNNNNNNNNNNNNNNNNNNNNNNNNNNNNNNNNNNNNNNNNNNNNNNNNNNNNNNNNNNNNNNNNNNNNNNNNNNNNNNNNNNNNNNNNGUCGAGGCGGCAGCGGCGAGCUCCGGCGCGGAGGCGAUCUAUGGCGGCGGCGGCUCGGGAUGCGGGAGGGCAGGCGGCGGAUUUAUAAGAAGGGGCGGAGGCCUUGGGGAAGGGGCCAAGGAGAGGCCGGGACGGUCACGGCCGUCGAGGCCGGCGCUCGGGAGGCGUGCGGCGGCCGGUCUCCCGCUCGAUAGCUCGGGGAUGGCGGCGGCGUGGGCUGGGCCGCGGCCUGGCCUGGGAGCUGGGCCGGCCCGGUUGGCGGGAAGGGUUUUUUUUAUAAAGUUUUUUUUCAAAGAACUAAAAUAAUAAAAACAAAAUAACUAAAAAUAUUAUAUAGGCAUAUAAUAUAUCAAAAUUUUCAGAAAAAGAUUUUCUACAACAUGAACAUUAUUCUAGCAUUAAGUAAAAUACACACCAAUUCUAAUAAUUCAAAGAGUGCUACCGGUCUAAUAGAAUCCAACAAAAAUCAUUUUAAAAUUUCCAAAAAUGAUUUCAAAUAAAUUUUUCUCCAAUUUUCUAUUGUAGGGAAUCAUGUUACCCUAAUUUCCAUGUAUUUUAUUUUUGGAGAAAAAUAAUUUGAAUAAAACUCAAAAUAACUCCAAAUUGAAAAUAAAUUCAAAAGAACUUUAAAUUUAAUUCUUUGAAACUCCCAACUCAUAUUUCAUAUAAUUUGAAGAAGUCAUUUUAUCUUCUCUCAUGAAAAUCAUUGAGCUGCAUGAAGUUUAUGAAUUGAAAUAUUUCCAAAUGAAAUCCAAUUAUUUUCAAAUACCCUUUCAUUUAAUUAAAUGGAAGAAGUCAUGUCAUCUUCGCUCAAGGGUUUUGUAUUUGAAAGGAAUUUAAAUUCAUGGAGAUCAGAAAGCAAAUAUGAAAGUUUGGGAAAGUCCUUUUAUUCCCUCUCAUUUAACUUUCAAAAAGUUUUCGAAUUCACUCACUUUCACACAAUCAAUUAAUUCUAUCUAUUUAUUAUAACAUUCCAAAAUUUAGAAUUUUGGGAUGUUACAAACCUACCACCCUUAAAUGAAUCUCGCCCUCGAGAUUCGGAGAGGCUAGCAAGAAAAAGGUUAGGUUCGGGGUCUUCUCAAAAUCCUUGGAUCGUCUCCGGGGUCUCGGGUGCUACCACCCUUAAAAACAUGGUUACGGUUCCAUCAAAACUCAUAUACUCCAUCCUUAUUGUUGACAGUGUCGGUCUUGUAGAUCUCGGAAAAAUUCCAUCUCUGGCUCUUCCGGUAGCGGCAUAACCUUUUCCUCAAUUCUUAUGUCCUUUCAUCUUGGUAAGGUUAUUCCGAGACUGGGUCUUCUUAGCUGACGGUCUGGUGCCAAGACUAAACAACUAUCGAUAUCUCAUGGUGGUCAACAAUUUGUGGUUUCUCCUGCAGGAAAUGGGUCUGGGUGUUCCUCACCGUAUAACCUACGGUUGGAAAAGCUGCCUUGUACAAGGGUAAAAUACCUAUACCAUUCUAAGGCUUAAACGAGGUUUUGAUCAUCGGCACUCUACUAUAGGUAAGUCACUCAGAUUUACCAUCCCAUAUAGCAAGGCGAAUAAUGAGAGUAAUUCGGUAUGGUGAUCAAUCCAUCCCGCACCCAAAUCAUUACCAUGUAUACAGUUUAGCGAAUCUCGCAUACUAACACUCAGUCAUCCUCACAAGCAUUGCAGAAUUUCUCUCGUCUUCGAACCAAGUUCGGAAUAAUCCAUUGAUUCUGUAAGCCAAGCAAACAUCUAUCGUUCCUUCACAACUCUCAGGUUUUGCGUAAACUCCUAUAAAAUCGUCUGUCGACAAAGGUAUAUCCACUUCCAGGGUUUUUCCUUCAGCAAGAAUGUGCUUCCUUCUUGGCAGGUCCUGGGGCCUGUGGGUUAUGGCACAUCUCAUCACUUGUAGUCCUUGAACUUAUCAUCGGGCAACUUAUCAUUAUUCCAACAUCCAACUUCCAGCUUCCUAGCAUACUUAGAAUCCAUCCAAUUGUAUUGUCUUCUUCCUUCUAUUGGCACCAAACUAGGACAUGAUUACUCAGACACAUCAUGGAGUUUCCAUUGAUCCAUAUUUCCGACAUCAUACCUCCUUUAUAUCCAAUAGUAAUUCAUCUCUUCAUCCUCGUGGGAUAUCCCUCAUACCAAGAUAAAAACUUAUACUUAUGAAGUCCAUAUUCCACUUGGUGGAACAUCAUUAUCCUUUCCGCGGUCAAGCGUCCUUACAUGGGAAUAUUGGCCAUCUCUGCAUGGCACUUCUUCAACUGGGGAAUGUGAAACACAUCAUGAACUCCUGACAGUCCUUCGGGUGACUCCAACUUGUUGGCCACUUCUCUCAUACGCUCCAAAACUCGGUAUGGUCCUACAAAUCUCGGGGCUAACUUUACCUUAACUCCAAUUCGUUUAACUCCUUGCAGAGGGAACACAUGAAGACAUGCUCUGUCUCCAAUUUCAUAGACUACCUCCUUGAGUUUUUGAGUCUACAUAACUCUUCUGCCUGGACUGAGCUACCUUCAGUCUAUCUCGAAUCAACUUAACAUUCUCUUCUGACUCCUUGAUCACAU